RNAcentral lists this long non-coding RNA (94589 nucleotides) under Sorghum bicolor (sorghum). RNAcentral describes it as "long non-coding RNA (SBIC_LNC004419)". The record is from RNAcentral. Lineage: Eukaryota; Viridiplantae; Streptophyta; Magnoliopsida; Poales; Poaceae.
GUAGUUUGCAUAAAGUUUGCUGAAACAUUCAAUGAAAAUAUGCCUUGCAUCCGAGUUUGGGACUGAAAUGUAACCCUUUUAGGCUAGUAGUUAUUAGUAUUUUGAAAUACUCUAGACAUCUAUCUAUCAGGUUAGCAUUAUCUCAUGGCAAGUCAUUACAGAAUGUUUAAUUUGGUUCCAUUCUAGAUUUUGUUGUGCUAUCUUAAUUGCGCUGUUCAAUUUGCAACUUAGAUCAAUGAGUUCCAAGGUUUGGUUUUGUUCUUGACAGCUCAUUUCGUGACGAAGGAAUGAAUUUAUCUGUUCAUGUGGCUUUGUUUGUUGUUGAGAAGAAUCCAAUGACUGCACUAAACAAUGCUCACACAAGUAUGUAUCAACGUGCACUGUCAAUUGGGCUUUGAGCACGAAAUAAGCCAGUAACUGCUGCUUGUAACUCGAAAUGUAUUUGUAGAAUCUCGUUUAACCUAGAAGUUAUCUUCUCUGCACAAAGCAUCACAGCUGUAAUCAUUUCAAGCACAAAGUUAGCAUCGUUUGAUUGUAUUAUUCUUCAGGUUGUUUUGAUGUUGCUGGAUUUCAAACCGACUAUUUUUGUAUGUCGAUAGCAUUACUGCAGAAUCGGUCAGCUACUUGUGUCCAACAGCAUUACUGCACCAUGAAGUUGGACCUUUGGCAUGUAGCAGUAUCAGCAAUUGACAAUAGCAACUAGCAAUUUUUCAUAAACAUUAGAGCCAUUAGCCCAUUACAAGCCAGUCUCUCUGCCGAGCUCACUUAAAAGAAAUGCCAUACUUGCACUUCAUUUGUGAAAUGCAAAACUCGUUAUGGGGAGAUAAUAACAACCAAGAUGUAUAUGUAUUCCAUGGGAAGUAGUUUCAAUAUCCCAAGUCUGCAUCCAUUUGAUGCGAAAAUAAUAGUGUUAAAUCUCAAGUUUGCCGAACAGAAAUGUGAGAAUAAAUAGUGUUACAUCUCAUGCUUGUGGAAGUGAAAUUUAGGCCCUAGAGGGUGAACAUCAUAGGAGGAAAAGUAACAUUAUAUACAUGAUGUUUGGCUGCUGACAGUAAACAAGGCACAUCAGUCCCUGCAACAGAUAGGUUAUGCGAUCAGCACUAAUAACUCGAGAUGAUUGUAAUCAAGACCCAAGAAUUUAAGAAAUGUUGAUAUGGUACUAACCUGUUUAUUAACCUUUCUUGUGCUUUGCGUUAUUUCCAAUUCCAGCUCACUAAGGGCCUGUUUAGAUCUCAAAUCUUUACAUCUCAAAACUUUUGGCUGUAAACUUUACAUUCAAAUAGGUGUUUAGAUGCUUCCCAAAUUUUUUGGUCAACAAGACACAUGACACGGGUCCCUAAGCAAGUUUACACAUUUUUGAAGCUCCAAGGUCCCAAAUUCCAAAUCUUUACAGCCAAAUUUUACAAGCCCCUGUUUAGAUCCAUUCUUCCAAAAAGUGCUCAUUUCUCCAAAAGUUUUGGCUGUAUGGCUGCAUCUAAAUAGGCCCUAAUUUCUACAGCUCGCAUAUUUCCAUGUCUUUGGCUUCAGUAGCUUUGCACCUGGUGAUAGCUUAUGUUAGGAUUUGUGCAUAUAAAUUUAUAGGAACAUGAAAAAGCGUACAGCAAGAACAUUCGGGUAUAGCAUCUUAAAAGUGUAUUGCUACUAAGUUGUACAAACUAAUUGUCGAAUUCUUUCUGGAACGAAAAACAGACAUAUUACACUUUUGUGCAUCCUAUCAGUGAAGUUAAUGCUAUAUAUUUCCCUGAACUUCAAUUAGUCAAAUUCCGUCAGCUAGAUAGGAGAAAUGUUAAUUAAACUGACAAGUACAAAUCUUCGUUGGCAUCUCUGUUGGGAAGGUAACACCAGUCUUGUGUAAAACUACCUCUUUAGUAGUGUUUGCUAUUUAGAAAGUCAAAGUAGCAUAAUUAAGUGACAGAAAAGUAUAGGAACUCGUAUGAGCUUCAAUGGAAAUUCAGGGAUUAACGACAUGAAUAGAAAGGCACCACAAUCAUGUGUGUGUGCUGGACUUUUCUGCAAUCAACAUUUGUAGAUCCAAAUAGGUCUACUAUGAAAAUAUAUGAUGUAAUUAAACUAAUGAUGUUUAUUUGAUAUCAUAAUAUUAGUAUUUUUUCAUAUAUAUUUGGUCAAAAUUGAGAUUGUUUGACUUUUCAAAAUUUGAGAUCAAGACUUAUUUUGGGAUAAAGGGAGUAUUUGCUAUGUAGAAAGUCAAAGUGGCAUAGUUAAUGGAAAUUCAUGGAUUAAUGACAUGAACAGAAAGGCACCACAAUCAUUUGUGGUGUCCUGCACUUCUCUCCAAUGAAAAACAUUAAGCUCAUUAUAUCAUUUAAUGGUUCUAUUAGGAGCAAAGCAAAAAUAGCACACUGGUGACUUCAUAGUUGAUCAGUGAACAUUCGACCACACAUGUAUAUUCAAAUGAUAAAUAUAUCUCAGGACCUAAACAAGAUACUGCAUGCAUGACUAAGGGCUAAGGUAACUGAUAUAUAUUUCUAGAUAGCGAGUAGCAGCUUGACGAGGACAAUACACACGAGCAGACGAUUUUACACAAUUGAUGGUGAAAUGGCAAAGUUAUAGUUUAGUGGGUACCUUGGUAACGAGCAUCCAGAUAUUUAACAUUGUCAUCGAGGCUGCCCAGUUGCUGCCGCAGGGACGAAGGGAGCGACUUUAUACCUGGGCAGCCUCUAAUUGUAACGUAACGAAGAUAUGUGUGUGCUUGUGGCCUACUGGACAAGAAUGGUGCUAGGAUUUUGCAAUUCCAAAGAAAGAGGCGUUCCAGCAUCUGGAGCUCUCCGGAGGUAGAUUCCAGUGAUCUCAACCUUGGGCACCAACCAAUGUCCAGUGUUCGGAGUGCAUCCAGCUGGCCCGAGAGGAGUUGUAGUUUGUCGCAAUCAAAAAUAUCUAUUUUCCUGAGGGAUGGUGGAAGGUUGACAACCUCUGACAAGCUGCCACACUCGUGUAUGAAUAGGGAUUCAAGGCAUGGAAGGAAGCGAUCCCAGCUGGCCGAUGAAGACAGCUCUGGUACAGCAGCCGUGGAUGCCAUGACGUCAGUGCUAGGCCCUUGAUUCCAUGUCGGCUUGUCCUGUUGCUUGCCAAAUAAGGACUUAAGUUCAGGACACCUCUGAACCUCCAUUGUCUUGAGAGAUGCGGGCAUGUUGAAGAUCUCUACCAGACUUUCACAAUCCCUUAUGUUUAGAGACUCGAGGUUGGGCAGAAGUUGGCUCCUUUCUGAUGUUGGUUGGCCAGGAGCAGCUGGUGCGUAUCCAAUCAGUUUAUUGCAGUCCUCAAUUUCCAGAUUCCUCAAGGACACCAAGCUCUGGAACUCCUCCACUGGCCAGUAGACAAGCGCAUCACAGUCCUGAAUUCUCAGAACUUGGAGCUGUACAAAAGAUGUCCAUAGUGCUAGUGCGCUUGAGUGGAAGAGCAAAUUGCAGUUGCUUCCUAGCUGCAGACUUGUCAGAGGGGAUUUAAUACUGCUGCUGUCCGCCAGCUCAAACGCACCAGCUGGUAAGGCGGCUGCUGCUGCAUCGUUGAAAGAUAUCACUAGUUUGGAUAGUGAAUCAAUAACUCUAGGAAUUGCUGCUAAGAAGAUCUGCUGGUGGCUAUCUAUUAUUUCUAAUGAGCUGAGCUUUGUUACCUCAGGUAGAGUUGUCAACCCUAGGCUUUCAUAAAUAUUAGAUUUUGGUAGUGCUAUUAGAUUUUGGCAACUAUCAAUUGAUAAAUUUUCAAGGCACGGAAAUAUUAUCUGUUGUCCUUGAGUUUCUUCAUCAGCUGCUCCCCAUUUCUGAAAGUUCUCUAGCUUUUCCAGUUCAAGUACCUUCAAUUCCGGAAAUGCUGAGUGCGCCUUUCCAUAAUCUCCACCACACAAUUCAUGGAGAAAUGGUCCUUCCGGUAGUGCUAUCAGAUUUCGGCAAUAACCAAUUGAUAAAUUUUCAAGGCACGGAAAUAUUAUAUGUCGUUGUCCUUGAAUUGCUUCAUCAGCUGCUCCCCAUUUCUGAAAUUUAUCUAACUUUUUCAACUUUAGCUCCUUCAGUACUGGAAACGCUGAGAGUGCCAUUUUAUAAUGUACCCCACAAAAUUCUUCAAGCAGUGGAGCUUCUGGUAGAGCUAUCAACUCUUGGCAGCUGCGAAUAGAUAACUUUUCAAGAUGUGGAAACAUUAUCUGGUGUCCUCGAGUGGCUUUGAUCGUCUCCCAUCCAUGAAAGCUCUCUAGAUCUUUUAAUUUGAGUAUCUUCAAUGCUGCAAAUGGUGACCAUAUCUCAGUACAAUUCUGACCGCAUGAUUGUCCGAGUGGUGCUGUUUCUGGCAAUGAUAUCAGCUUUUCACAUUUCUUAACGGACAACUUCUCAAGUUGAGGAAACAUUACCUGCUCCCCUUGGAGCCAGUUUACUUCGCACCAUCUGUCAAAAGCAGGCAUUCCAACCAGCACAAGCUCCUUCAGACUAGGAAAACUGAAGAGUGUAUCACUACUACACAAGCAUUGCAAUUCUUCCAAUCCUUUUAAACAUAAAACUUGCAGACCUGGUACUUGCCACAAUGGUUGAAGAUUCUUUGACUUCUUACAAUCAUAAAGAUGAAGCUCGACCAUGUUUGGCAGCAUACUCAUCCACGCUGGGAAACUGGUUCCUCGGUAAUCAUUUAUCCUUAGAGCCUUAAGUCCAUAAGGAGCUUCUAGACCUUCAAGGACCUUAAGACAGUUUGGUUUCUCCUCCUCGGUAGUUGUCCAUCUUAAUGACAAUGCUGUGAGUUCCUUUUUAUUUUCAAGAUGGGCCAUCUUUGCAUCUAUUGCUUCUGUCACAUUUUCGAGUUGACUAAGCACCAGUGAACCACUAAGGUUAUUUAAAUGUUGCAGCUCUCCAAUACUACUGCAAUCAGGCCCUGUACCCACUACAAAAUUAGUGAGUGUUUGCAGGGAAGUGAGUUGCCCAAGCUUUGGAGGCAGGCCCUCCAAAUUCCCACAUCCGUGAGUGUAGAGAUGACGGAGUGCAGUCAUGUACUUUAUUUCCUUUGGAAGCCGGCUAAGAUGCCAACAGAAAGAAACAUCCAGCGUAUGCAGAUGAUAUAAGAUGCUUAUAUCCUUUGGAAAUGACUCUAUACCACUAUAUGAAACAUUAAGAUACCUCAGGUGACGUAGAUACUUUGGUUUCAGUAGGAAUGUGCCCUUACUUGGAGGGAAAUAUAAGGCUCACACAGAGCUGUAUUUUUCUACAUGAUGUAGUGAACUUUUGAUUCUUGGACAUAUUACUGUUUGGAUAGCUGGAGACCUUGUCUUCAGAGAACUGUUCAAAAUGGCCUCUGGCUCAUCACACAACAAAGCUAUAUGGCGACAAGUGUUUUGAAGAAACUCACUCUGCUUUGGAUCAUUCAAUUAUGGUAGCAACUUCAUUUUCCAUGGCAGACAGUGCCACAUCAUGCAUGAGAUCAUGGAUUUUACAUGUAGUGCUAGGGCAAUACCAAUCCACAUCACUGAUUUCUCACUAUCCCCUUUGACUUGCUUCACAUCUUGAAAGAAUGACCUCGAGACAAGCUCCUCGAAAAUGUGUUUACCAGUGGUUUCAAGACGAAUGUCUUUUUCUUUGGGAACAAAGCCAUUUGCCAUCCAUAGUUGGAUCAGGCGUUCCAUGUCAAUCUCAGUGUCCUUGGGAUACACAGCACAGAAAGCAAAGCACUGCUUCAUAUAUGAUGGCAGGUCAUCGUAACUGAGCUUGAGAAUAGGCAGGAUUUUAUCUUCCUUGUUAUGGGCGAUGCUUUUGCUUAGGACAGCCUUCCAUUCUUCUGGACUUGUCUUCCCACGUAGCACAGAUCCUAGUGCAUUGGCGGCCAAGGGAGAUCCUCCACAUCUCUCCACAAUGCCAUCAACCAAGACCAGUAGCUCAGUUGGGCUCUUCUCUUGUGAACCAAAUGCUUUAGUCUCUAUAAUUUUCUUUAUGACUCCGGCAUCCAGAAGUGCAAUAUCAUGGGCUUUAACUGUACCCAUUAGUUUCGCAACUCCUUCCUUGCGAGUGGUUGUCAAUACGGCACAACCGUUCCCACCAUGCUCAAGGCUGGCUUUUAGCUUUUCCCACUUGUCACUGUCCUCAUUCCAGACGUAAUCCAACACAAUAAAAUACCUGUGUGACAAAUAAGCCUGGCAUUAGUGCGUGGAGAACACAACACAAGAGAUUGCAAGUUUUCUGCAUGUUGGAGAGGGUAGUAGAUCCUGCGUGUCCUUUUCAAAAGGAGUGCAAUUCUGGGUUUGGACGAUUGGACUAAGUCACAUUUUAUUAAAUUUAACUAUAUUUGUAGCAAUCACAAAAACAAUAAUAUCUAUAAUUAUAUCUCUGUAAGUUUAUACUCCUCCUGUCUCUCGAUAAAUCAAAUUUAAGAAAGUUAUCUUAAGUCAACUUUUAAGUUUGAACGAAUUUAUGAAACCAAAUUAAUAUCAUUAUAUACACCAUAAACUAUCUUUUCAUAAUGUGUUCAUGUGCUGUCGUAAAUAUGUGUGCUCUUUUCAUUAAAUUUGGUCAUACAUUAGAAAAAUGACCUUAGACAACUUUUUUCAUUGAGCGAGAAUACAACAAGAGAAGCCCCCGCUAUAAGAUUUUUUUACUAAAUAAAUAGAGGAAAAAACACCGUACAACUAAACAACAGACACCAAAAUCAAAAGAAGCAACAGGUAAAAGGAAGAACUUCAGACAACUUUCUAGAAAUUGAUCUAUACAGAGACGAAGUGAGUAGAAAAUACUAGAGAGUUGUCUGAUUAUUUACGGAGUAAUAUAUUUCAUUGUAAUAGGUUUGACUUCCUAGUGACGUUGAUGCUUUGGUUAAUGUGGAAGGAGCAGAACAGGCGUUCUGGGUCUGUUUGGUUACCUGGCUUUCUUGUAGGCUGGCUAGAAAAUAAGCCAAGCUAGCCUAGAACUGUCUCUAGCAAGUUAAGAUGGACUUGUUUUGUUGUCUACACUAUUAAGCCUGGCUUCAUAGAAGUCAAAGAAAUGCGUUUAUUUGUGGGACGGAGGGAGUAUGUUUUAUUGUAAUGGGUUUGACUUCCUAGUGGCGUUGAUGCUUUGGUUAAUGUGGAAAGAAGCAGAACACGACGUUCUAGACUUCCUAGAGCCUGGUUAGAAGAUAUAGUCACCCAACUAAACAUGCCCUAUGUGGCUCUUUAUUGCCACGCGCUUUGGCACUAAGGAUUAUAAAGAUGAGGCGCAAUGCUAGGUGCAGGCUGUGGAUGCCUGUAGUCGUCGUUUGUUCGGUUCUGAACUUCGGAUGUACAAUUUAUCGUUUACAAUAGGUUUAUUUUGUCUGUUGUUGAGUAAGGUUUUAUUUAGAUGUGAAUUUUUUUAGAUUUCCCUACUGUAGCAUUUUUGUUUAUUUGUGGCAAAUAUUGUUUAAUUAUGGACUAACUAGGAUCAAAAGAUUCGUCUCGUGAUUUAAAGGCAAACUGUAUAAUUAGUUUUUGUUUUCAGCUAUAUUUAAUGCUUCAUACAUGUGCCACAAGAUUCCAUGUGGCGGAGAAUCUUGAAAACUUUUUAGUUUUUGGGGUGAACUAAACAAGGCAAAAUAUUGUAAGACCCACUGUUUUCAGGUCGUCCGAUUAAUCGCGAUUAAUCGCGAUUAAUCGUCCUGGUCGGUCAGGAGUGCUCGAUUAGGAGGUCUGACCCGACCAGGUCGACCAGAAACCUGGUCGUCCGAUUAGUCGUCCACUUAUCGCGAUUAAUCGUCCGAUAAGGACAUGGACGACCAGGUUGUGUGCUCUGUUUUUGGGCUUUUUUGACUGGGCAGAUAUGUGGGGGGUAUGGAGAUGCUGUUGGUUGUCCCAGUUCUCUAGAAAUAGUUAAGAAGGAGAUGUUGGUUUACAUCAAAAAGAGUUGAAGAUGAAGAGGAAUGUUGGUUUACAGUAAUGCAGUCUUGAUGCUUCCUUUAUUGUGUAUAAUAUAGUGUAUAUAUAGAGGUAUAUAUAUAGGUCGACCAGCUGAUAUGCCUGGACGACCAGGGACGACCAGGGGGACGACCAGGGUCGAUUAAUCGACCUGGUCGCUGAUUAAUCGCGAUUAAUCGCCUGGUCGGUCCCAGGUCGACCAGGAUCGACCAGCCGACCAGAAAACAUUGGUAAGACCCUACCCGUUCGCUUGUCUUAUAAGCCAUACUUCUUUUGCCAGCUAACAUUGUUAUUUUCUUAUAAUAAAUCAGCGAACAAUAUUUUCAGCAUGGCUUUUCAGACCAGCAAACAAUACUGUUCCACCCUAAAACUUUUUGCCCUAUGGUAUCGAAUGUGUAGACACAUACAGAGAACAUUAAAUAUAAAUUAAAAAAUAAUUAAUUAUACAAUUUAUAUGUAGUAUUUUGCAAGACGAAUCUUAAAACUAAUUAGUUUAUGAUUGAACACUAAUUGUUAUAGUUAUAAAUAUACUAUAAUACUCAAAAACUUUUAUUUUCAUAAACUAGGCUAUAUUCGUGCAAUCCAAGGUAACUAAUAGUGAAUAGUUGUUUCGUAGCAAUGUAGUGUUUGUGUAGUGGAUCGCACGGAUUGCAGGUGCUAUAGCUGACGCUAAGUUCCAGUAGCAGAGUAUUAAAAAUAAUCAUUUUUUAGGAUACGUCAAUACUAAUAUCAUGUUAAUUCUAAAAAAAUACUGAUAUCCUGUUUUCUUGAAUAAUUUAAAGUUUUUAGUUAAAUAUUAUAUUUUAAUGACAUGAAACCACAUAGAACCAUAUAAAUGAAUAAGGUAUUAAGGUAUAAAGAAGGCACGUGGGGACAAAUUGCCAUUAAGUUCUCGUAUCAGUUUAAAAUGAUACGAUUAAUCAUGCUAUCAUCCUUUAUGAUCGAUUGAUCAUACAAAUUACCAUCUUAGUAUUUUAUUACCCAUGGAACCGUCCACAUCAUCAUUUGAAUCAUCAACACAGUAAAAUAGCAGACAUGCGUGUGGUCGCAUGUUUCCUUAUAUUUAUUAAUUAAAUGUUUGCUCAGCCACAUCCAUGAAUAAAUAUAUCUCCAAAUAUAUAAGUUUGCUCUGAAAAUAUAUUCCAUGGUUCAGUACCAAAAGGAUUAGUGUUUGUUAUACAUUUGGUUAAAUUUAAAAACUAGAAUUUGAUACUUUUUUAGAACAAAGGGUGCAAGUUUUAGAAACAUUAUUCUCUACAAAAAAAUGUUUGAGAAAUAUAUGAGAGAGAAUCCACUUUACCUCUUUCCUUUAAGUUCAUUCUGGAGCGUCUUCUGUGCCUCUUCAAGGUUCUUCUCAGAUUUGUUGCAGAUCUUGUUUGCAAGCUUAGGGUCUGUUUAGAUUGGGAACGAAAAUUUUUUGGGUGUCACAUCGAAUGUGUCGGAAGGAUGUCGGGAGGGGUUUUUAGAAACUAAUAAAAAAACAAAUUACAUAGCUCGUCAGGAAACUGCAAGACAAAUUUAUUAAGCAUAAUUAAUCUAUCAUUAGCAUAUGUGGGUUACUGUAGCACUUAAGGCUAAUCAUGGAGUAACUAGGCUUAAAAGAUUCGUCUCGCGAUUCUCAACUAAACUGUGUAAUUAGUUUAUUUUUUUAUCUACAUUUAAUGUUUCAUGUAUGUGUCCAAAGAUUCGAUGGGAUGGAUGAAAAAAUUUUGGGUGGGGAACUAAACGGGGCCUUAAAAACAUCAAACUCAUCUGACACACAGACCCACUUGCAUAGUUCAAAAUGCUUCUUGACAUCAGGGUCGUUGUAGAUGAGCUGAGCUAGGGUAGUCUUGCCCAACCCACCCAUUCCAACAAUAGGAAGGACAGUGAGCUCUACAAAGUUAGCUCUAUCAAUCAGCAUCUUAACAAUCUUCUGCGUCUCUGCAUCUCUUGAUUUGGCAGCAAUAUUCUCGGAGUCAACAAGGCUGGAAUCAGUCUCACGCCACUGCUUUGGUGCUGGUGCUUGGUUUUGAUAGUUGAAUCCAAAUGUAUUCAUUUCAGUCACAAGAACUUCAAUGGUCUGCACAAUCUUGUUAAGCUUGUUGCCCAUCUUCUUACGGAAUGCAACACGGUUGUGAGUAGGAAAGAGCUUCACUCCCUCGAAGCCAAGCUUGCGGAUGUGCCCCUUCUCCUUGGCUUCUCGACGGAGCGCCCCAUAGUUGAACUCAUCAAAAGCUUCAUUUGCCUCGUACGCCACCGCCUUGACCUCCUUGAGCCAUGCCUUCGCUCCUUCUCGGUGGGUCGCCUUCUCCUCAGCGUCGGCGAUGACGUCAAGGAUGGCAGGCAGCUUGCGCAUCAGGAUCUUGUGCUGCUCCUCCAUGCCCUCCAUCACCUUGUACUGCUCCAGGAGGUAGCUCGACGCCUUCUCCUUCACCAGGGACAGCAGUGGCCCGACCACCAUGCUGACCACCAGCUCCGCCAUUGCAGUAGUCGGAGCUCACAAGAACACACACUCAGAACAAGGUCAGGGAAUAGCACACAACCGCCGGAGUCGAGGAGGCAUGGAGGGGAUGGAGAGAGCCAGAAAGGUUGAAGAGGAGAUAAUAUGGUGGGGAAGGAGGACAGUGGUAGAUGAAACUCCAACGGUGCAUUGAACACAGGAUCAUCGAUUGGUCCCUCACACUAAAGGAUAGCUAGCUGUGCCUAUCAUUCAUAUUAUGUGAACUGGCCCACAAACAUUGUCGUGACUGAUAACAUUCACUCUUUCAGUGUGUGAAGAAAUUUUGGCACCACUUGUCGAUGCGUACUGUGUGAUGUGGAUGAGACAACGAGGCUGCACAAUUUGCAGUGGCAUGAUUACUCUCCCACGUACCAGGCUCAUUAACCAUACUGAUAACCCCAGCCAUUCGUUAUGAAAGCACGUCAGAGUGUACUUCUAAUUUGCAACUGAGGCACCAUGAUAAAAUGAAGACGGUACUAGUUGUUUAUUAGGGAAGAGAGCACAUGUAUAUUAUAUUUCUUGAUUUCAAUUGGCUUCCACUGUGUUUGAAAUCAUGUGAGUUCAGGCUACGGUUUCCAUCCAAUGACGAAGAUGUAUCAAGAGAUUGUGAAGUAGCUAAAGUUCAGUCCUACCAGGCUACGACCAUUUCUCUUAGUAAUUAUUUAUCGAUUUUGGUCUACUGUAUCUGCAAGCAGCAAUGUAAACUGUUCAUGAAUGAGGUAUGUAUGUCCAUGCCGGAGCAAUUGGGUCACUCUGCAUGCUGGAUUAGUCUAGAUAUAUUCUUGCUCUUUUCCGGCAACAACUUGAAAUUAUGAACGUUACCAUACCAGGAAGGAUCGGAGGAGCAGGAUCGUUUCAAAAAGGAGAUACUUGAAUUACCCAAGGCAUUACAAGUACGUAUACUGGGUCCGGGAAUCAUAUUGGAAAAGAAGAUUCAAAAUGAGGCGGAGUCACUGAAACAUCCCAUGGUUAUGUGUGUGGAUAAUAACAAUCUCAAGUACUCUGAGUCUGUGUUUUUUUGGGGGGCAAAAGUAACCUUUGUUAGGAUGCAAGCUUGAUUUAGUCACACGUACGACCAAGCAUUAGGAAGGAGCAAAGAAGACCCAAUUUAAUCUAUAAACUUCUCUCAGGACUCGUCCUCUCCUAAUUCAUCGUAUCUUCAGGGCAGUGAGUAUUUAACCACAAAUGAUGGUCUAAAGGACUUUAACACCCCCAACACCAACGUCUCGAUCUGAGGUGUUUCUGAGUAAGGACUUAACCACUAUCGUAUCUUCCAAUACAGUCACAAGGACUUGCUGCGUGCGUUGUCGACGGCAGUAAAACACUGCCGAGGCGUCAGUGUGCAAGGACAAUUAUGUUUGCUGCCAGCUGUACUAGACUCCAAUGAGGUCGUGCAUGAGGGACCAAGUCUCUUAAGGCUGAUGGUUACUGCUCAUGACCAUGGCGCCGGGUUAAUAAUGAUGACAAGGACAGAGGCUCCGGCACCAGAUAAGCACUCAGCAAGCAAAAUCAACCAACCUGUGUGCAAGAAAUUCAUACCUGGCUGCCGUUCACUCCUACCGGGGGGCGCAAAACGUCGAGUAGCUAGCGUGCAUCCUCCCCUGCACGCCGUCCUCUCGCCGCACCCGGCUCGGGUAAGCGACCGCAGAGGGAGCUUCUGUGAAACCUCCCCGUGGAGGCCCCUCUUAGCUCCACGAAUGGCCGCCCUCCGCCUCCUGACGCUGCACUCCGCCGAAGGUCCGGCCGGCGGUGCCCAGACCUCCCGAGGACAGCACGGGGGACCUUCAGCCACCGCAGCGUCGAGCUCCCCUCGCUCCGUCGAGCCCCGUGGAAUCCCCAUCCCUUCGCCACACGAUCGUUUCCGCCCACCAACUACGCCGGAGACGACCCCACCGGCCUCGCCGGGAGGGCGUGGCGGAGGAGAACGCAAUCGCCUGCUUAGUUGCCUGUCGAGACACCCGUGGAUGUCCUGGGCUAAUCAGCGCAGAAGGCGCCACCAACACGGCCUGACCCUCCACGCUCCGUCGCUCCGCACUCGCGGACUUGCAGCACCGGACUGCCGGUGCCGUGGACGGUGGCUGAACUGAAGCAACUCCGCUCGGAGCCUCCGACGCCUGGCGAAAACGCGACCGGAGAGCCCCUGCACCAGGACGUCUGGCUUCCUACUGAAGCACGCCGCGGUGUGAAAAGAGUAAAUCCUAUUUUCCAACCUUCAACGAUCAUGCUAGUCCGAUUCAGUCCUAAACUCAGCGGCGGAGGAAGGAUUUAAAUUGAGUUGUGACGAGUAUCGAAAUAGCUAAUAUAGGUAGCAUAUAAUUUAAAAGUAAAGUGAUUUCUAUACAAAUGCAAAAUUAUUAAAUUCUAUUCAUCAAGUACAAAACAUAUAAGAACUACAUAUAUAUAUAUAUAUAUAUGGAAGAAAUCGAAUAUUAAGAUAAAAUAUUGAAAAAAGAUGCGAAUGAAUUCAAUGAACAAACCGAGUGCUGAAGCUUCAGUUACGAGACCUAGGUAAUUGCAUUUUCCUAUCUUUCUACUUUUGAACUGCAUUCUUAAUUUUCUCAAGAUCAAUUCCUUUGAAUCUCUGUCUCAAUGUACUAGUGUUAAUCGUGUGUUUUAAUAAAUGUAUUGCCGGCCUGUGCACAUACAGUCAAGCCCACAAGCUAGAAGAGAUCAAGAGUUCAAGACCCCAAGUAUGUUCAGAUAGAAGCAUUCAGCCUUCAAUGAGGCUUCUUCAGAGUAUUCAAAGCAGCAGUUUAGAGUAAAAGAAAUCAAUCUACUAGAAGCGCUAAUGGGCAGGAAGUAAUUUAGGAGAGAGUGGCUCAGAAAUUGAGAUAUGGCAAGAGCCAUACCUUGCCAUAUGGGUGGCUCCGCCCAUGCCUAAACUACGAAGGCAAACACAUUCCCUUAUCAUAGAAACUAUGUAAAACGUAUAACCUCAUAGCAAUUUUUCUUGAUUUCAUCACACAUGCCGCUUGCGUAGAGCGGUUUUGAUACAAAAAUCUAUUAUUUGUACAAAAAUCUUUUGAGAAUUUAUUCAGAGUUAUCCUAAGUAAAAGAUUUUUACAUUUGACAACCAAUAUUUGUAAUAGUAAGAUUACAAGCUAGUAGUAGUCUCUCUACCAAGCUCACUUACAAAGAAAUGCAGAACACAUCAACUCAUGGGAAGGUAACAGCGAAGGUGAGUGUAUUCCAAUAUAUCCCAGUCUCCGUAUCCAUUUGAUGCGAGAAUAAAUAGUGUCACAUCUCUUGGUUAUUAAGGAGAAAUAUCAGGUAUAAAAUUCUAUUCUCUUCCACAACUUGCAUCUGUGUCUAUAUGGUAAUUUAGCCCUGGAAAGUGAACACCAUACCAGAGGAGGAAAAGUAUGAUUAUCCACAUGGUGGUUUGGACGCUGACAGUAAACAAGGUACACCAUGAGACCUGUCCCUAAGAUAGAUAAGAUAUGCAAUCAGCACUAAUAACUCGAGAUGAUUGUAAUUAAGACCCAAUAAUUUAAGAAACAUUGAUGCUCCUAACCAAUUUAUCAACCUUUCAGGUACUUGGCGUUACUUCCGUCUCACUAACUGCUACAGCUGGCAUAUUUCCAUGUCUUUGGCUUCAGUAGCUUUGCACCUGGUGAUAGGUGAUGUUAGGAUUUGUACAUAGAAAUAUAGAGUAAAUGAAAAGGCAUACAACAAAAUGAUUUGAGAGUAUGGCAUCUUAAAAAGGGACUAUAUAUUGCUAUUCAAUUGUACCGAGUAAUUUCCCAAUUCUUUCUAAAACGAAAGGCAUACAGUGCCAUACUGUUGACACCGUUUUUUGACACGUGUCUCUGGAUACGCAUCUGGAGUUAAUGAAGCGUAGAUCGGCAGAUUAGGCGAUGGUGGCUAAUCUACAGGGAGGUUGCCGAUGGAGGAUGGUGCCGAUGGAGAAACAAUUGAAUAUGACUAAGUCCAGGGGUGGUGAUGCCGAUGACCAGUGCCGGUGUUUACCGAUGGAUGCAACAGGCAGUCUGCCGAUGACUCUGAAGAAAAGCGCGGUGGUUACCGAUUGAUUCGUGGCGGUGUCCCGAUCAGUUACGGGGGAUAGUUUAAUGUUUUCCUUAGUAAUUAGAAUUCGUUUUGUGUACGACUUCUAUUUAAUUUGGAAUUUGAGUCCUAGUCGUGUCUGGUUGUAAUUCUUCGGACAGGGUAUAAAGGUAGACCCUAGGGCAAUGUAAUGAGACAAUCUAUCAAUCAAUCAAACACAAGUUUUUACUCAUAUUCCAGCAUCUACUUUUUCGACGACUUCGUCACAUUUUCUUUUUAUUACGAGUUCUUAGGAAUUCGUCGAGUUAAACUCGGCGUGUUCUCAAGUUCCGCGUGAUCACCUCUUGGCCGUGACAUCCGGGCGUAUCGCUGUUGUCGGGACCAAAGUGGUCGAGUUACCACCUUUGUCGAUUGUAAGGUCAAAUCGGCUGGCACGUCUUAACGUUUGAAUCGGGUAUUAGCCCUUUGUGUUUGCAGAUCAGCUUUUGCACCAACACAUCUUUUGGCAUGCCCAGUGGGACAGAUUCAAGAUCAAGAUCAACAUGUCGAACACCGAUUUCGACUUGGAGAACGUCAUCCCCGUGACGGAAGCCAAUCUCAGAGAUGAGCAGAAGCAAGCUAUUGCAAAAGCUAUGGAGGACUACAAGCAGCAAUGCUUGAAAUCCUUUAGUAUCAACAGGAGCGGCGAUGUGAUCCAAAAGAAAGCAUUGUCGGCACCUCGGCAGAUUACUUUUGAAGCCAAUCAUGGUAAACUCCAAGACAUGGUUGACAGUGCUAUUAACCGCGCCUUGAUCAAUCAAGCUGGUGUGCUGUCCAACACAGUGUUCAAUGCGGUGGCUAGAACUUUCAAGGAAGGUCAAUUACCACCAAAUUAUGUGGGUCCUGCCCAUCAUCAGCCAGGGUCACCAGUGGUCACAGCUCCAUCGGCUACUACGGCCGCUGCGGGCGUAGAAGCUACUUCUCCUCCAAGCACAUUAGGGGUCACUAAUGUGCAAUCUACACCAAUGACGACCAAUCCAUCAACAUCAGACGGGCAAAUCAAGCUUGCCACAGAUCUAUUGGCAUCGGCAAUGUCGGGAUCUGUUCCUCCUAACUGGUGGGGUUAUGGUAUGCCCCCAGAGAUGAUGUUGAAGACUCCUAGAACGUCUCAAGUGGCUGAUAUGACAGGCAAGGCUCCUAUGGCAUCGGCACCUCCAAAUCUGCCGAUGAAUCAGAGUCUCCAGUAUACUACAACUACUACUGCAAGACCUUACACUGGAAAUUCUCAAGCUCCAACGUUCCAGAUGCCUAACGCAUCGGCAGAUUCAAUGCCGACGCAACAAAGGUUUAUGACACAGCCAGGGUACGUCAAUUCAAUGAUGAUGCCCAAUUACCAGUCAUUAGCAGGGCUUAUGCCGAUGAAUGCUAACAGUGGAUGGACAGGACAGUUAGUCUUUCCACAUAUGCAUCAGCAGAAUCAUCAGGCUGCAGGGUUUCAACAGGGACAAAUCCAACCUGGGUUUCAGAAUCAAGGGUUGGUCAACCAGCCGAUGAAUCUUGGUCAGCAGAUUGGUGGUCAGAUGAUUAACCCAAUGUUCCAUGCAGAUCGUGCACCUCAGAGACACGUGGAAGCUUAUUAGCAGGCGCUAGAUCCACAACCGCCUCAUCGGCAAGAUGCCGAUGCCUAUUGGGCCGAUAAGAUAGCUGAAGUAAUGAGAGACCAAUUUGGGAUAAAGCCCAAAGUCAACACUUACUCUUAUCGGACACUGUAUCCUCCUGCAUACGAUUUAAUUCCACUUCCAAAUCGGUACAAGGUACCAGAUUUCACUAAGUUUUCUAGACAGGAUGAUACAUCGACUAUGGAGCAUGUCAACAGGUUCAUCAUUCAAUGUGGGGAAGCUGCUAACAGAGAUGAGUUAAGGGUUUGUUUGUUUUCAUCAUCUUUGUCUGGAUCGGUUUUUACCUGGUUUAUUUCGUUACCUCCCAACUCAGUAAUUACUUGGGCCGAUCUAGAGAAGCAAUUCCAUAAAUACUUCUUUUCUGGGGUCCAUGAGAAGAAGAUCACCAAUUUAGUCAGGUUGAAGCAACGUAAUGAUGAAUCGGUUGAAAGCUUUGUGCAGAGGUUGCGAGAAGUUAAGAACAAGUGCUAUAGUCUGGUUCUGGACGAUCGGCAGCUAGCCGAUUUGGCUUUCCAGGGUUUGUUGCCACAUAUCAGAGACAAGUAUGCUUCUCAAGAGUUCGAGAGUCUAAGUCACUUGGUGCAGAGGAUUUCUGACCAGGAUAUCGAACCCUUUGAGCCUAAGAGAGCAUGGAACAAAAAGGUGUCAUUUGUUGAUGAGGCAGCAAGCUCAGAUUCUGAUGAGGAGCCAGUCAUCGGCUUGGCAGAAUGGGUGAAAAAUAAGAAGCCAAUGUCUUGCCCUUUUGGGCAUAAAGAACCAGAGAAGUUUGCAUUUGAUAUCACUAAAGCCGAUAGGAUAUUUGAUUUUCUACUUCAGGAAGGGCAAAUCAAGUUGUCUCCCAAUCAUGUGAUUCCAUCGGCUGAAGAAUUAAAGAAGAUGAAAUACUGCAAGUGGCACAAUGCAACAUCCCACAGCACAAAUGAGUGCAAGGUUUUCAGACAGCUGCUGCAAUCGGCUAUAGAAUCUGGGAGGAUCAAGUUUGAUAAUUCUAAAGCUCAGAAGCCGAUGAAGAUUGAUCAACAUCCUUUCCCAACAAAUAUGUUGGAUGCUAAGGGAAAAACCAAGGUCUUGACAUCAGAAGCAGCUGAAAGAAGUGCAUCGGUGGAUCCUCAGCAUCAGAUUACUACUGUCGAUGCUAAAGGAAAAGGUUUGAUCCAGGAAGGAACUAACUCAGGAAGACCUCCCCGAUCUGGCAUUGUGAUAACUCAUAGAAGGCAUCGGGAGACUUGGCAGCAACGUGAAGAUCGGUAUCGGCAUCAACAAGAAAGAUUAUCGUCGGGAAGAAGAGAGGCGCCGACAGGAGUGGAAUCGGCAUAAAGAUCACUAGAACUGCCCGUUCUUUAUCCAUUGCUGUGAGCAGAACAUUAAAUUGCCCACUGUUAGAGAUUUCUCUGAAUGCAAUGGUUAUGAUCGGUAUGAUAGACCUGAUCGGCACUACCAAAAUGACGAUCGACAAUUUAACGGACCGAUUAGGGGGAGAGCUUCAGUUCAUGACCGGCUAGGGGGAAAACUCAGUGUGCAUGACAGACUUGGUGACCGUGUCAAAUAUUUUCCCAGAAACCAAGAGGAUCUUGAAGAAAUGGCCAAUGCACGGGUUCCCGAUGGGUUCAUAUUUUGUGGGAUGCUAACACCUAUCGAGUGGAGUCAAGGGAAGCUCGUCGCCCGUCGGCAAGGCAGCCACAACUUCCUCCGUGGUGUCUAGAAGGAUUGACUAGGACACAGAAAAGAAGGCUGUAGCGUGAAAGACGAGAAGACUUGAACAUGGGAGAGAAUUCUGGCAAGUCCGAAGAUCAGCAGCAGCUGGAUCCUAAAGGAAAAAGGCCAUCGGUAGAAGUCAACAUGGUAUUUAUGUUGCCGAUGGAGUUCCUUGCGCCGUCCAGUGAUGAUGAGGAGCUGGAUUUUUCCGACCAGAUAGCUUAGUUGGCUCUGGAUCCGAUGACGACUAUCUUUGAAAAGCCUGUUGACAAUGAAAGGCAGCAUCUUAAAGCUUUGUUCGUCAAAGGAAGAGUCGAUGGACAGCCGAUGACCAAAAUAUUGGUUGAUGGUGGGGCUGCUAUCAAUAUUAUGCCAUAUGCAGUCUAUCGGAAGCUUGGGAAGGGAGAUCAAGAUUUGACCAAAACCGAUAUGAUGCUAAAGGACUUUGAAGGAAAUGUGUCUCCAGUUAAGGGGGCAAUAUGCGUCGAGUUGACCAUCGGCAGCAAGACCUUGCCGACAACUUUCUUUGUGAUCAGUGGAAAAGGUGCUUAUAAUCUGCUACUAGAGAGAGAUUGGAUCCAUGCCAAUUGUUGCAUCUCAUCAACAAUGCACCAGUGCUUGGUUCAGUGGGUAGGUGACAAGAUUGAGAUUGUCCCGGGAGAUUCUUCUUAUGUCAUUGCAUCGGCAGAGGCGGAUACUUAUGAAAGGACCAGGUGUAUCUCGGGAGAAAUUUGGGAAAAGGAUUUCCUCAAAGUUGUCGAUUAUGAAAUUCCACCGAUCCAAGCAGUUGGUUCUGAUGAGGAGUUUUAAUGGAUAGGUUUGCCGAUGAUGGAAAAUUAGGCCGGGGGUUCACAUCGGCCGAUGAUUUAGUAGAGGUAGAUAUAGGUAGUGGAGAUAAGCCUAGACCUACUUUCAUUAGUGCUAAGUUAGAUUCUGAGUGUAAGCAACAUUUAACCGAUUUUUUAAAGGAAUAUAAAGAUUGCUUUGCUUGGGAUUAUACCGAAAUGCCUGGUUUAGACCGAUCAAUUGUUGAACAUCGGUUGCCUAUCAAGUCUGGGUUUCGGCCACAUCAGCAGCCAGCUAGCCGAUGUAAUCCUAAUAUUCUUCCUGAUAUUAAGGCCGAAAUAACCAAACUUAUCGAAGCUAAAUUUAUUCGGCAGUGUCGGUAUGCCGAGUGGAUUUUCAAUGUUGUUCCAGUUUACAAGAAAAACAGGAAGCUUCGGGUCUGCAUUGAUUUUAGAAAUCUUAACAAAGCUACGCCGAUGGAUGGCUACCCAAUGCCAGUUGCCGAUUUGCUAGUUGAUGCUGCAGCAGGACAUCGAAUUAUUAGCUUUAUGGAUGGCAAUGCAGGAUAUAAUCAGAUAUUCAUGGCUGAGGAAGAUAUUCUGAAGACUGCAUUUAGAUGUCCUGGUCAUGUUGGGCUGUUUGAAUGGAUAGUCAUGACCUUUGGCUUGAAAAAUGCUGGUGCUACCUCUCAAAGAGCUAUGAAUUUUAUCUUUCAUGAGUUUAUCGGCAAGCUGGUAGAAAUUUAUAUUGAUGAUGUGGUAGUCAAGUCUGGGGAUUUCACAAAGCAUCUUGCCGAUCUGCGAAAAGUGUUGGAGUGCACAAGAAAACAUGGUUUAAAGAUGAAUCCUAAUAAGUGUGCAUUUGGUGUUGAAGAUUGAUUGACGCUGAAACCAGGUAUUCGGCCAUUGAAAAAUUAUGUUUAUGCCUAUAUUUUUCUUGCACUAAAUUGAGGCACUAUUUGCUAUCGGUCGAAUGCACUAUUAUAUGCAAAGAUGAUGUGGUCCGAUAUAUGCUAUAUAUGCCGAUUAUGAGUGGUAGAAUCGGUAAGUGGAUUUUGGCACUGUCAGAAUUUGAUCUACGUUACGAAUCGGCUAAAGCGGUUAAAGGGCAUGGCCGAUUUUGUGACUCAACAUUGCGGUGUAGUGGAGACUUUGGAAAUUGUGCCUUGGACGCUCUUCUUUGAUGGAUCCACGUGUGACCGGGGGGCAGGAAUCGGCAUAGUGUUAAUUUCCCCUCAGGGAAGGAAGUAUGAGUUCUGUUUGCCGAUUGUUGCCACGUCAACAAAUAAUCAAGCCAAGUAUCAAGCUUUAAUCAAGGGGUUGGAGUUGUUGAAAGAAGUUCAUGCUGAUGCUGUUGAAAUCUUCGGGGAUUCUAUGCUGGUUAUAAAUCAAUUGGCUGGAAGCUAUGAAUGCCGAAGCGAAGUCCUGAUAACUUAUUACGAAAAGAGUAUACAACUAUUAUGGGAAUUCAAAGAUUUCCGAUUAGAGCAUGUUCCUCGGUUACAUAAUGAGGAGGCUAAUCGGUUGGCUCAGCAUGCCUCGGGGUAUCAACCCAUAUUGAACACGUUAUCGGCAAUCAGUGCUGAUGAUUGGAGAAAAGAAAUCAUUGAUUAUUUAAGGGAUCCAUCUAAGAAGGUUGAGAGGCGUGUUCGGUUUCAAGCUACCAAGUAUGUGCUCCUCGAGGAUGAAUUAUAUUAUCGAACGAUCGAUGGAGUUCUUCUCAAGUGCUUAGGUGAUGAUGAAGCUAAAAGUUUGAUGAGAGAGAUCCAUGAAGGAGUGUGUGGAGCACAUCAGUCGGCUUUUAAGAUGAAAUGGAUGAUCAGGAGAAAUGGGUAUUAUUGGCCAACUAUACUUGAGGAUUGUUUUAAGUAUUUCAAAGGGUGUCAAGGAUGUCAGAAAUUUGGCAAUAUUCAAAGGGCGCCCGCAUCGGCCAUGAAUCCCAUUGUUAAACCUUGGCCGUUCAGGGGAUGGGCUAUUGAUUUGAUCGGCCAGAUUUAUCCACCAUCUAGCAAAGGGCAUAAAUUCAUCUUAGUUGCUACUGAUUAUUUCACCAAGUGGGUUGAAGCUAUUCCUUUGAAGAAAGUUACAUCGGCCAAUAUGAUUGAUUUUGUGAAAUAGCAUAUUAUUUACCGAUUUGGUAUUCCUCAAACAAUUACUACCGAUCAGGGUACUAUGUUUACAUCGGGUGAGUUUGAUGAAUUCGCAAUCGGUAUGGGAAUUAAAGUGUUAAAUUCUUCUCCUUAUUAUGCUCAAGCUAAUGGGCAGGCCAGUGGCGGAUCUAGGGGUAUUCCCUAGUAUUCCCGGAAAUACCCAACUAUUUUGGUACACUUCUAUGUAAAUAUGUGUAUACACUUAUAUAUAUAAAUGUAUAAUGCUAUAAUAUAUAGUAUUUUGCACAUUUGAGUUCAAAACAUAUAAAAAAACUAGCAUUUCAAUUAGAAGUCUAUAUUCUAGAAAGCAAAUAUUAGUUUAAAGUUGCUAACUUGCAGUAUAAUUGACUAUAUUUUCAACCUAUAGAUUAACUUUGUGAAAGUAGGAAUACCCAAGUUUAAAAUUCUGGCUCCGCCACUGGGGCAGGCCGAGGCAUCUAACAAAGGAAUUAUCAAACUUAUCAAACGGAAGAUUGAAGAAAAUCCUAGGAGGUGGCAUACAUUGUUGAAUGAAGCUUUAUGGUCAUAUCGGAUGGCUUGUCAUGGGUCGACCAAAGUUUCACCUUAUCAGUUGGUGUACGGGCACGAUGCAGUACUACCAUGGGAGAUUAAGACUGGGUCUAGGCGGCUAUUUUUCUAAGAUCAGCUGGCUGCCGAUGACUAUGCUACUUUAAUGAAAGAUGAAUUAGAUGGUUUAACAGGGCAUCGGCUGAGGGCUUUGGUAAGUAUAGAGGAAAAUAAAAAGAGAGUUGUCAGGUGGUAUGAUAAAAAGGUAAAAGCUAAGGAGUUUACCGAUGGUGAUUUGGUAUGGAAGCUGAUAUUACCGGUUGGGACUAAAAGUUCAAAGUUUGGCAAGUGGUCUCCCAAUUGGGAAGGUUCUUAUCGGAUAAGUCGGUCUCCUCCUGGUAAUGCCUAUAUUCUGGAAACUCUCGAAGGAGUUGAAUUUCCCAGAGCAUUGAAUGGAAAAUAUUUGAAGAAGUAUUACCCAAGCAUAUGGGUCGACACAUAAAAAGUUUAAGUGCCGAUAACACUCCUAUCGGCUGGAUUGAAAUGUAUCUGGGACUCAAUACGAUGUUUUAAAAGAUGUCGAUAACAGUCCUAUUGGCUAGACCAAAAUAAUCAGGAGUUUUUAAAAGAAAAGAGCAAAACACGCCAUCGAUGAAGAGUUCAUACGUUUAACAGAGCUUGGAUCGCCUGAAAGGACCUGAUUGGCCUAGAGGGGGGUGAAUAGGCCUUUUGAUAGAAUCUGAAACUCACAAACUUGAACUUGCGAAAGUUAGUAACCAGACCGGAAGUUCCGGUAGUCUGGAUCGGAAGUUUCGGUCGGCUUGAUCAGAACUUCCGGUGUAGACUUCCUGAGCUUCCGGUUACCUAAGGAUACUGCAAAAUCUGAGAAAAGACAAGGGGGAGUUCAGAUCUAGUGUCACCACACACUCCUAGAGAUUGUUGAAGUUGGUGUUGAACUUCACCGACUUCUUUUCACUCCUAGUUGCGGAUCCAAGAAUAUCACCCUGUGAAAUAGGAGGAGGAAAGGACAGACAACAACUCACAAAGCAAGAGGGUGGUCGAAGCCACCGCCACAGUAGGACAAGAGAUUUAAUCCGAGGUUCGGCAAUCUCCACUAAGGAGUUCCUAUGUCCUCGUUGUUGAGGUGACCACUAAGAUCUGACCACGAAGGUCUCCUCUCUCAAGCAACCACACAGGUUAACUUAAGAUAUCCACUAAGAGUCAAGAGGUAGUUACAAACACUUCGGGGUGCCCUCACUAGUAAAUCAACACGGGCAACCAUGAAGAACGCCUAGCCGGCUAGGGUUCAGAGAACCCAAGAGUAAUAAACACAAAACCAGCCUGCAAGAAGGGGAAACCAAGUGCUCAAGUCGUAGAUCUAUGCUCCAACUCUCUAAUCUCACUUCCCUAGCUCAAACAAUCUGGAUUGAGAUUCGGAGACAUAGGGGGAGAGAGAGUAGGUGAGUCACAGCUUAGACAGGAUGGAAGGCUCAGCUAGAGAGUUGUUCUGAUAUCUCUAACGGUUAGAAAGAGAUAAGGAUAUAUAUAAAGGAAGGUACCGGAACUUCCGGUAACAGGUACCAGAACUUCCGGUUUACUCAAGACUAACGGAAAGUGCCAAUACAGGCACACCGGAACUUUCGCUCACUGACCGGAAGUGAAAAACGAAACGCGAGACGUUUCGCAGAAAACUUACAUCGCGGACUUCCGGUCCUGGACCGGAACUUCCGGUCCGUACCGGGACUUCCGGUCAGCCACCGGAAGUGAAAGCUGAGACGCGAGACGGUCCGCAGAAAACUUACAGCGCGGACUUCCGGUCCCGGACCGGAACUUCCGAUCCGUACCGAGACUUCCGGUCAGCGACCGAAAGUGAAAGCUGAAAUGCGAGACGGUGACCCUGAGGCUGUCGGAACUUCCGGUCUGAAUGACCAGAACUUUCGGUCUGCUAACUCCGCUAAGAAAGGCACCUCUUGAUAGUGCGGCGUUUCCUAUUACCCAAAAAGAAAGAACAAAGUUGAAGACAGGGUCAAAACGUCUUUAGUCCGUAUGAGCUGCAGGUUACCGAAGGUUCUUUAUUUAACUCCAUCAAAUAGGCUAUUUCCUAUAGAUUUGCACUUUAAGAGCAGAUUAGUCCCUAAGUUGAUUAUCAUUAAUUAUCCAAAACCCACAAUGGGAGCGAAUGCACUUACAAACUCCCCCUUUUUGGUAAUUGAUGACAACCAACUUAGGCUUACAAGAGAUGUAAACAGUUGAAAGUAAGAAUUUAAAAACCAAGCUUUAGGUUGAGCUCCCCCUUAAUGUAUGCAUAAGUUUUGAAGUUUCGAAUCUUGAUUAUAAGCAAGAUAACAUACAUUUAGGAUGAGCUCCCCCUAAGUCCUGCUAUCUGUGGGGUGCCUAAGUGUGUGAAGCAAAAGAAAGCGUGAUGCACAUGACAGGAUAUAUCACAAAAAAAUGGUUAUUCAUCAUAACCGUAAACAACUCAUCACAAAAAGAGGGCAAAGCAAAGAUAGAGAUAAAACAGGGAGGAUUUACCCUACAAUCAUUCAUCACACAAAAUAAAAAGGUUUACGACAUGGUUCACCACACUUAGAAGCAGGGAAUUGUUUUAAAAAAAGUUUGACUACCCCUAUUACAAUAAAGAUAAGCCUAACACUCCCCCUUUGGCAUCAAGUGCCAAAAAGGGUAGGCGCGCGAGAAAGCACCAGUGAACUACUCUUCAUCUUCAUCGUCAUCAUCAUCUCCAUAGUCGACAAGGGAAGCUUUGCCAAAAGGAUCAGCAGAGGUAGACUGGCCUGCCCAAGAAGUGGAAGUCCUUGUGAUGUGAUCAGCACCACUGAAGAUAUCCUGAUAAGAAAAACCAGCCUCGGUAUCCUCCAUGGUGUAACCAGCAGGAAGAUCAGCCCCAUAGGAAGGAUCAAAGGCACCUGACUGCUGAAAAUCCAGCUGCUCAAACUCCUGAUAGGGAUCCUAAAAGGGGCGAAGAGGAGAAGCAAGAGGAAGACCAGCCUUCUCCUCAAGGCGCGUCAUGCGUCUGUCCUACUUUGCUUGACAGUAGCAAAAAUACGACAUAAAGCGCUGCAGGGCAUGGCGAGUGGCAUUGCCACGACCACGACCACGACCACCGGAGGCACUAGGAGGAGGAUCCAUCAAAGGAACAUGGGGCUCAUCAUCAGCAGGCUGCUCAUGGUCACGGCCACCAACAUCAGUUGCAGGCUCUUUCCCUUUGCUAGCUUUGGCUUGCAACCUUUUCACAUUCCAAUCCGGAUGAGAGACAUCAUGGUGAAAACCCAAACCAGUGACUUGCUCAAUGAUAUACAUGAGAUAUGGAGCAUAAGGGAAAGAUUGACUGGAGGUGAGGGAAACUUCCUGAAUGUGACGCCACAUAAGGUCGGUGACACUAAACCUUUUUCCAAGCCCAAAGCAGACAAGAAUGGUGGGAGCAUGAUUCUGCAUAGUAGUAGCAUCACCGAUCUUGGGAUCAAUAGUGGCCCUGAGCAAGUUGUUGAGCACAUAGAAGUAGGGCUUCAAACCAUCUGUCUUGCCAUUUGCUUUGGUUGGAUCAAUAUAGAGAGCUGCCUCAACAAAAUCCCUACACCAUUGGGAUAUAGAUCAUAGAGACUAGGUGUUGUGCGAUCAUCCCUGUUAAAACCAAGAAGGCGAGAAAACUGUCGGUAAUCACAGCGGUAAUGAAAGACCUUGUGCUCUUCAUCAAUAUAUAAUGUAGCCCAGAACUGGCAAAGGAUCUCGGAAUUCCAAUCUUGUUUGAAAGUCAUAAGAGGCAAGAUGCGCCAGUCCUCAAGGCGCUGGAUGAGGGCAUCUACAUCGGGAUGAUUAUGACUUUGAAGAGAAAGAAAAGUGGGUGCCUUGUGCAUAAUGAUAGGAGUAGUGAGACCUCGGAUGCCCCUCUUCAUGCAGACAGACGAAUAAUAAUCAUUAUGAAACUGAGACCAGAACCUAUCAUCUACACCCUCAAACUUAGACCAAGCAAAAGGGUUGUCUUGCCGCAUGCGCUUUACAUCAGAAGAUUGGGCUUUGUAAUCAAUAGGACGCCUUGGAAUGCAGUCACCAGGUGUGCUAGGGCCAUGAAGAUGAGGAUAACGGUUCUGAGGAUGCUGAAGAACUUGGUUCAUGGUGAACUGUCCAAUACGCACCGGAGAGUUGCGAAUAACCUCAGGGUUGAUGGCCCGGCCUUCAACCUCAAUCUGACUUGGAGCAACAGAGUCAUGGACCACAGUGCGAUGGAGAGGAGGAGGACAUGGAAAGGUGGACCGAUCUGGACAGGAGCGAGGCCCUUCAUCAGCCGAUGCCGGUGCGCGAGAGGACGAAGGGUUGGUGGUGCGACGAGCGCGAGCACCACGAGCACGAACCUCCUCUCCAUCCCCCAAACUCUGAGGACGGGGACGAGCAGAGUGAGAGCGAUUCGCACGGCGAUCCGACAUGCUGCAAAAGACAUAAGAGAAGAAUGAGACUGAGAUAAGGAAAGGCAGCAACAGAUAGAUACGAGGAAAUGUGAGCGCAUGGUGUCCAUGACCCACCGGAAGUUCCGGUGCAUGAACCGGAAGUUCCGGUCCAGAGCCACGGACACCAUGUGGACCUAUUCCGACAAAUCCAUCCAAGCAACUUGCAAGACAGGCAUUCGUAGACCUCGAAGAGAUAAAGAACUACAAGCACGUGCAAGGAUUCGACUCAAAACAAAGGACAUUGGCAGAUCGGGCGCAAAGACCCCAUACCUUGGCCUUAGAUGAAGAGGAAGGAGAAACCCGCACGUGGAUCCCUUCCGCAGCCCGCGUCCACCUCCAAGACGACCUCCAAGACAAGGGCAAGACUCCCCACGAGUGGAUUUUGAAAAGAAUGGAAGAGAUGGGAGAUCUGGAGGAGAAUGCGGUCAACCGCCGCCGCCGCCGCCGGGAGGGAGAGAAGAGGACGGGAGUCAAAGGAUAAGUUUACCCAGUCAGCGCCUCAGCGGUAUAUAUACCGCGGUAAAAAGGACGACCGGAAGUUCCGGUCAAAAGGACCGGAAGUUCCGAUGCCUCCCAGAACAGCAAGGAACUGGUGAACCACACCGUAUUCCUAACCCAACUCGAAGAUGUCCAGAUUUCAUGAAGGCAUUACAUAACUAUGAACAUCUUGGGGUUGUAUAAAAAAUAGAUUUGUAAAAAGAAUCACACAGCUUUUCACAACGUUUUUGCCUAUUUCUAAAACAACAAGUGAGUGCAAGACAUCAAACUAUGUUACGAGAAUCAACGAUAUUGAGUUCACGCCUCAAAGCACAAAAUCUUGACUCAUCUAGAGGUUUAGUGAAGAUAUCGGCUAACUAAAAUUCGGUUCUCACAUGUUGUACAGCGAUAUCUCCUUUGGAUUGGUGGUCUCUCUGGAAGUGAUGACGGAUGUCUAUGUGCUUUGUUCUAGAGUGGUUUACAGGGUUAUUAGCGAGCUUGAUUGCCCCCUCAUUGUCACAUAAGAGGGGAAACUUGCUUUGCUCACAGCCAAAGUCUCUCAAAGUUUGCUUCAUCCAAAGCAGUUGGGCACAGCAGGCGCCAGCCGCCACAUACUCGGCUUCAGCGGUGGAAAGGGCAAUGGAGUUUUGUUUCUUAGAGGUCCAUGACACCAAAGACCUACCAAGAAAUUGGCACGUCCCUGAUGUACUCUUUCGCUCUACCCUGCAACCGGCAUAGUCCGAAUCGGAAUAGCCAAGUAGAGUAAAAGUGGAGCCCUUUGGGUACCAUAAGCCAAGAUUAGGAGUGAACACAAGAUAUCAAAAGAUUCUCUUAACAGCCAUGAGAUGACAUUCUUUCGGAUUAGCUUGAAAUCUUGCACACAUGCACACACUAAGCAUAAUAUUAGGCCUAGAUGCACAAAGGUAAAUCAAAGAUCCAAUCAUGGAGCGAUAUACCUUUUGAUCAAUAGCCUUGCCGUCUCCAACAAGGUCAAGGUGUCUGGUUGUUGGCAUUGGUGUCUUUAUGGGUUUGGCCUUGUCCAUGUCAAACGUCUUUAGCAUAUCGGUGGUGUACUUAGUUUGGCUUAUGAACGUGCCGUCCUUGAGUUGCUUGAUUUGAAAUCCAAGGAAGUAAGUCAAAUCCCUCAUCAUGGAUAUCUCAAACCUUUUGGUCAUGAUCCUACUAAAUUCCUCACUGAAGUUCGCAUUAGUACUACCAAAUAUUAUGUCAUCGACAUAUAUUUGGCAUAUAAAAAUAUCAUUAUUGACUUUGCGAGUAAAUAAAGUGGGAUCGACUUUUCCAAUCUCAAACCCUUGUUUGAGUAGAAAAUCCUUGAGACAAUCAUACCAAGCUCUAGGGGCUUGCUUAAGCCCAUAGAGUGCCUUGUCCAGCUUGUAGACAUGAUCGAGAUGAUGUGGAUCUUCAAAACCUGGUGGUUGCUCCACAUACACGGUUUCGGAGAGGGGGCCAUUGAGGAAUGCACUUUUCACGUCCAUUUGAAACAACUUGAAAUCAUGGUGAGCAGCAAAGGCAAGUAAUAUGCGUAUAGAUUCAAGCCUAGCUAUAGGUGCAUAAGUCUCCCCAAAAUCCAAACCUUCGAUUUGAGUGAAGCCUUUGGCAACCAACCGAGCCUUGUUUCUAGUGACCACACCAUACUCAUCUUCUUUGUUGCGGAAGACCCAUUUGGUUCCUAUCACAUUUUGCUUGGGUCUUUCCACCAAGGACCAGACAUCAUUCCUAGUGAAGUUGUUCAACUCCUCUUGCAUAGCCAUCACCGAAUCCGGAUCCUUCAAGGCAUCUUCCACCCUAUUUCGCAACAUAGAGGAGACAAAAGAGUAAUGUUCACAAAAUCCAACUAAACGAGAGCGUGUUGUUACCCCUCGUUGUAUGUCUCCCAAAAUGCUAUCAACAGGAUGAUCCCGUUGAAUAGAGUGAUGAACUCUUGGGUGAGGCACUGCUGUUCUUGUUUGAAUGGGACCAUCAUCUUCAUCCUCAUGGUCUUGGUUGAUUGGAGAAUCUAGAUCUUGAACGUUUUGAUCUCCGUCUUGGUUUGGUUCUUGUGCUUGAGGUGGGUCUUGUCCAGCUUGUUCUCUUGAGUCAUGACCUCUUCUUGAUGUGGAAGCAUCAUCAUGGGCAUUGGUUGACCCAUGAUGCAAGUUUGGGUCACGAGAAAUUUGCAUGUGUGCAUCUUCUUCUUCUUCUUCUACGGGUUUCACUUCACCGGUAGCAAGCUUUUUGAUUACUUGGCGAGAUGGCUCUUCUUUACCUAAAAUUUCAGCAUUGACUUGCUCUUUUUGAGAGCCGUCGCUUUCAUCGAAAGUCACGUCUACCGCUAUUUCAAUUUGACCGGUGGUCUCAUUGAAAACACGAUAGCCAUGUUGAUUAGUAGCAUAACCAAGUAAGAACCCUUCAUCAACCUUUGGUGCGAACUUAGAGCAUUUGGAUCUUUUAUUAAGUAUGAAACACUUGCAUCCAAGAACUCUAAAGUAAUCCACCUUAGGCUUUUUACCGGUUAGUAGCUCGUAGGCAGUUUUCUUCCUCAACUUGUGGAGGUAUAGGUGGUUGAUAGCGUGACAUGCCGUGUUAACAGCGUCUGCCCAAUAGUCCUUUUCAAAGAUCUUGUAUUCAUCCAACAUUGCUCUUGCGGCUUCAAUGAGUGUUCGGUUCUUCCUUUCCGCCACACCGUUUUGUUGUGGAGUAUAUGCAACCGAGAACUCAUGCUUGAUGCCUUCUUCAUCAAGGUACGCUUCAAUGUUGGUGUUUCUAAACUCGGUUCCGUUGUCGCUUCUCACUUUCUUGAUCUUCACUUCAAACUCAUUUUGAGCCCUUCUUGCAAACUUCUUGAAGAUCCCUUGGGUCUCACUCUUGUCCUUCAGAAAGAAUACCCAAGUGAAGCGAGAAAAAUCAUCAACAAUUACAAAACCAUAUUUGUUACCUCCAAUGCUUAUGUAAGCAUUGGGUCCGAACAAGUCCAUGUGAAGUAGCUCAAGUGGUCUUGAUGUAGUCACAAUGUUCUUCGCGGGAUGCUUGGCUCCAACUUGCUUUCCCGCUUGACAUGCACUGAAAAUUCUAUCUUUCUAAAAAGAAACAUUUGUUAGUCCAAGGAUGUGUUCACCUUUUUGAAGGUCGGCCAAGUUCCUCAUCCCAACAUGGGCUAGAUGGCGAUGCCACAACCAGCCCAUGCUAGAUUUUGCCACUAAACAAGUCUCGAACCCUACUCCACUAGUUGUGAAAUCAACUAGAUAGAACUUGCCCUUUAGUUGACCCGUAAAAGCAAUAGAGGAAUCCGACCUUCUAGAGACUUCCACACCCUUAUCCGUAAAGAGAUAAUUGUAGCCCUUCUCACAAAGUUGUGAGACGGAUAACAAAUUGUAUCCCAACGAAUCCACAAGCAAAACAUUUGAAAUGGAAUUAUCAUUUGAAAUUGUAAUUUUACCUAAACCAAGGAUAUCUCCUUUACUAUUGUCACCAAAGACAAUCCUUUCACUUGUGAUUUUACUUGGUUGAAAGGAGGUGAACAUAUUCUUCUCUCCGGUCAUGUGAUUGGUGCAUCCACUAUCAAGCACCCAACUUGGCCCACCAGAGGAAUAGACCUGCAAGAGAAGAUCAAGCCUUUGUUUUAGGUCCCGAGUUGGAACCUAGGGGGUUAGACACAAAAGAUUUGGGGACCCAAACACUCCUCAGGAUUUGUCUCUUCUUGAGGGUGCCCACGUAUUUCACAACAAUCUUCCCAUCCUUGUCCCAACAACACAUGUAGUCACAAAUGUGAUUACGUGAGAUAGGUGCUUGUUGCUUGGACACUUCCACUUGCUUCUUCUUGAUGAUCUUGUUGUCUUCAAGUGGGAUUGUAGGAGUGGCAACAUUGUUCACCUUAUCAACAAGGUCAACAAGAGGCACACUCUUGUUGAACUUCACACAAGCCACCCCAUUUAUCAUUUUUCUCCCAUUGGCCUUACCAAUGUACUGAUUAUAUCCGAGGCCAUCCUUGAUUAUGGGGUGCCUGGAUGCCUUGAACACAUUUACCGGCUGCUUGUCCUUGCACUUGCAACCAAUCUUGACAAUAGUGUUCAGUCUUUGAAUUUCUUUGUCCUUUUUGGCUAACUCAUCAAGGUUAGAGACACAUGCCUUUAUGUCAACAUUUAUGCAUCUUUCACAGCUUUUACUUGUAGAAGCCUUUGAACCCUUGGAAGCGGUAGAGGUGCUAGACCAAAGCUUUUCAUAGUUUAGUUCAAGCUCAUGAUAUUUUGUUGUCAAGCUUGUGAGGCUUUCUUGAGCCAAACUAUGAUCAUUCUUUAGGCUAGUCAAAGAGCCAUUGAGUGAGGAAUGUUCCUUAGUCAAUCGCUCAUUGGAGUCUUUGACUAGAGACAAUUCUACACCCAAUUUCUCAACCCUCUUCUUUUCCUUGGAGAGACAUACUUCGAGCCCUUGGUUCUUCUCCCUUUCCUCUAGGAGCAAUUCGCCUUGUGACUCGAUGCAUGACUCAAGCUUGUCAUUAGCGUAUAUUAGCUUUAGAAUUUUAGUUGCAGCAGUUUUACCAUAUUUUUUAAUGAGAUUGUUAGCAUAGUUUUCAUCAUCUUCAUUAUCACUAUCAUAAUCACCAGUUGUUUGAGGAGAGGAGUCAGUUUGUACCUUGUCUCCUUUUGCCAUAAGGCAUGUAGGAGUGUCAUCAUCGUCAUCGGAGAGGUUGGCGAAGAGCCUAGGGGAUGAGUAGGUGCCGGAGAUGAGCGCUGUAGAUGAGACAAUGUUGGUGAAGAUCUCGGUUGAGGAGGAUCUUUCUUGUACGGCGAUGGCAGCUAUACUCUUCUUCUCAUUGUCAUCAUCAUCACUGUCACUGUCCGAUUGCCAUUCUUGCCCAAGGUGAGCUUCCCCUUUCUUCUUGUCCUUGUACUUCUUGUCACUUUGCUUGUUGUAUCUUGACUUCUUUCCUUUGUUGGGACAAUCAGCUGCAAGAUGGCCAGUGUCACCACACUCAUAGCAAAACCUCUUCCUAUAUGGUUUGUUUCCCCCAUAUCUCCUCAUCUUAUCUUUCUUCAUUCUCAAAUAUUUCUUGUAAUUUCCCACUAGCAUGGCUUGUUCUUCAUCAAGAUCAUCAUCAUCUUUGUGCUUGUGCUCACAACAUCCUUUGUUACAAUGACUUGACUCACUUCCAUGUGAAGCCGUGAGUGCUAUAUUCUUCCUUUUGAUUUAGGGCUUCUUUGGCUUCAUCAUCCAAGACCUCAUGAUGCAUCAACUUUGCUAGCAUUUCUUGAGGAGUCAUAGUGUGAUAGUUGUCUUUCUCCAUGAUGACGGAUGCAAGCAUGUUGUUCCUUUGUCUAUGCACUCUACAAAUCUUUCUUGCUGCAGAGUUAUCAUCCCAUGUUUUUGCUCCAAGUGCUCUAAUUUGAUUGAUCAAUGACAUGAAUCUAUCAAACAUGGCUUUUGUUGUUUCUCCCUCAAGUAUGCAGAAGUUCUCAAUCUUACUUUGUAGAAGCUCAAUGUUUCCUACUCUUACACAUUUGUCUCCCUCAAAUGACACCUUCAAGGUGUCCCAAAUCUGCUUAGCAUUCACCAUACCAUUUACUUUGUUGUUGUCUUCUGGGGUAAGACAUUGUAGAAUCAAGGUGGCAGUUGUUGCAUUAAGAUGAAAGUCUCUCUCAUCUUCGGGAGUCCACUCAUUUGGAUCUUGCGGUGGAUUCACACCAAUGUCCACUACUUCCCAGCAUCUUGCGGCAAUGAGAUGUAACUUCAUUCUAUGAGCCCAAUCGGUGUACCUUAUACCAUCAAAUGGAGGUGGCUUUCUAGGGUUGAUCAUUGGCAAUGUUGAAUUCUUGCUCGAGCUGCUAUAAUCAAACCCAGUCUUGUUGUAGGUCUUUGACACCUUGCUAGCAUCUUCAUUUCCACCUUCACUAUCCGACUCGUGAUUCUUUUUACCUAGGAGUUCUUUCAUCUUGUCUAGCUCUUCUUGCAUUUUCUUCAUUUGGUCCUUCUGCUGCAGCUGCAAGGAUGCUGUGAUCUGUGCUGUGAUUUGCUCAACCAUUUGUUGUUGAGUUGUUGGAUCCAUCUUGGCCAAUGUUACUCCUCACGCGGUUAAGCGUAUGAACGAGGAACCUUGCUUUGAUACCAAUUGAAAUGACCUAAUUGGCCUAGAGGGGGGGUGAAUAGGCCUUUUGAUAGAAUCUGAAACUCACAAACUUGAACUUGCAAAAGUUAGUAACCAGACCGGAAGUUCCGGUAGUCUGGAUCGGAAGUUUCGGUCGGCUUGAUCAGAACUUCCGGUGUAGACUUCCUGAGCUUCCGGUUACCUAAAGAUACUGCAAAAUCUAAGAAAAGACAAGGGGGAGUUCAGAUCUAGUGUCACCACACACUCCUGGAGAUUGUUGAAGUUGGUGUUGAACUUCACCGACUUCUUUUCACUCCUAGUUGCGGAUCCAAGAAUAUCACCCUGUGAAAUAGGAGGAGGAAAGGACAGACAACAGCUCACAAAGCAAGAGGGUGGUCGAAGCCACCGCCACAGUAGGACAAGAGAUUUAAUCCGAGGUUCGGCAAUCUCCACUAAGGAGUUCCUACGUCCUCGUUGUUGAGGUGACCACUAAGGUCUGACCACGAAGGUCUCCUCUCUCAAGCAACCACAAAGGUUAACUUAAGAUAUCCACUAAGAGUCAAGAGGUAGUUACAAACACUUCGGGGUGCCCUCACUAGUAAAUCAACACGGGCAACCAUGAAGAACACCUAGCCGGCUAGGGUUCAGAGAACCCAAGAGUAAUAAACACAAAACCAGCCUGCAAGAAGGGGAAACCAAGUGCUCAAGUCGUAGAUCUAUGCUCCAACUCUCUAAUCUCACUUCCCUAGCUCAAACAAUCUGGAUUGAGAUUCGAAGACAUAGGGGGAGAGAGAGUAGGUGAGUCACAGCUUAGACAGGAUGGAAGGCUCAGCUAGAGAGUUGUUCUGAUAUCUCUAACGGUUAGAAAGAGAUAAGGAUAUAUAUAAAGGAAGGUACCGGAACUUCCGAUAACAAGUACCGAAACUUCUAGUUUACUCACGACUAACAGAAAGUGCCAGUACAGGCACAUUGGAACUUCUGCUCACUGACCGGAAGUGAAAAACGAAACGCGAGACGCUCCACAGAAAACUUACAUCGCGGACUUCCGGUCCUGGACCGGAACUUUCGGUCAGCCACUGGAAGUGAAAGCUGAGACGCGAGACGGUCCGCAGAAAACUUACAGCGCGGACUUCCGGUCCUGGACCGGAACUUCCGGUCCGUACCGGGACUUCCGGUCAGCCAUCGGAAGUGAAAGCUGAAACACGAGACGUGACCCUAAGGCUGUCGGAACUUCCGGUCUGAAUGACCGGAACUUCCGGUCUGCUAACUCCGCUAAGAAAGGCACCAGCAAUGAGAGCACUUUUAUCCCCACUUUGCCAACCAGAUUCAUGUCCCUCUUGAUAGUGCGGCGUUUCCUAUUACCCAAAAAGAAAGAACAAAGUUGAAGACAGGGUCGAAACGUCUUUAGUCCGUAUGAGCUGCAGGUUACCGAAGGUUCUUUAUUUAACUCCAUCAAAUAGGCUAUUUCCUGUAGAUUUGCACUUUAAGAGCAGAUUAGUCCCUAAGUUGAUUAUCAUUAAUUAUCCAAAACCCACAAUGGGAGCGAAUGCACUUACAUCGCCGAUAUAGCGUGCAGACGAAUCUGAUCGGCUUCUUCUAUCUCCUUCAUGUCUUUAUCGGCAGAGCCUUCCACUGGCUUCUGCUUCUUCUUCAUCUGCAGCGCCUUGCGAGCUUGGACGUUUCGCUCUUGUUCAAGGGUUUUGAUCGUCUCGGGCAGCUGACUUUCCUCCUGUUGAGCUUGGGACAGAGCCUCUUCUACUUGUUUAAGCUCCGCCAACAGGGUUUCCCUUCUUGCCGAUAGGUCAGAGAUCUUUGUUUCAGCACAUCUCCUGAGGAUUUCAGAAUGUCGAUGCUCUUGUGCUUUUCAUCGGCAAGGUGCUUUACCUUCAUUACCUCCUCUGAAUGCUGAGCAUGGGCGACUCUAUCGGCAAGGCGCUGAGUGGCCUUUUGGUACUGGAGCUGUCGACUCUCCAAGUGUGCAGCCUUGAAGAGGAUUUCCUCGCGGCAUCGGCAGGGAUCUGGCCUCUGAGAGCUUUAAACAGAGCCUUGGCUGGAUCGGAGUCAUCAACUAGUUGGGCUGUAUCUUGAUGAAGCAGGGCCAGCAGAUCUUCCAACUUUGCUCUGAUUUCUGUCGAUGAAAUACCGAAUUCUUGAGAAGAGCUUGCUUCCUCGCCAUCAUCAUCGGAAACUUCGAUUGCAAAGGAGAAUAGGCUGUCGGGAGAAUCUUGUUCCUGAAAAGAAAAGGAGAUAGGUUAUUUGAUGAUGAAUAUUGGUAAAAUAAAGAGUGAUGAUCAAAUAGCUUACUUGUUUCAGAGCUAUUUCUCGCCUCUAGCUAGUUGAGGCUGAUGGUACUAUGGGUUGAUCGACCGGAGUUGCCGAUGAAACAAUGUCAGCUGUAAAAUUAACAGGGGUAAUUAUAAGAUGGAAAGAUAGGUUCAUCGGCAAUAAUUUCAUAGAUAGUACUUUACCUUGAGGGGGUGCAGUGCUUGUCUGGAUGGAGGAGACCACCGAUGAAAUGAUUGAUCCCACUGGAUCGAUGGUCUGUUCAGGUAUAUCGGCUGAUAUUUCUUCUUGCUGAGGUAUCUCUUGUGGCUGAGGUGGAGAUGGUGCUUGCUGCAUCUGGAUUUCUAGAGAAGAAGGGGAUGAUUCCACUUGAAUCGGUGACCCUAGGGGAGGAGGAGGCGUCGCUGUUCUCUGACGCUUUGCUUGUGACUUGGUACUCUUGGGGCCCUUUCUCUUUACUUGGCUGGACUGGGGGGCAUCGGCACCCGUCUUGGUACUUCUGGUCUUUGCCGAUUUGCUGGUUUGUUGAUACAACAAUAAAAAUUUUAUAAGUACAAGGGUAACAGAGUAUUGAUGAAAUUUUGGUUGGGACGGUAGAAGUUACUGAUGAAGUUCCCUUAGCAGCCGAUGUGUCCUGAAAAAGUUGUGUAAGUAUAAAAUUGAAUCGGUAUAAGUUAAAAAGUAAAGAGUGUACCUUGAAAGCUUGUGCCAAAGCAGUAGCGGCUACCGAUGGGGAUGUCUUCGCUCGCCUGGUGGUAAUUUUCUUGAAGCGCACACCCCGGUGCAUUAAAGCCGCCAAGCUUAGUGCGUUGUUGCUGAUCAAAGAGAUCGGGCCUGAUGGGAGAAGUUCGAUCGGCCUACCACUUCUGCUGACCGACGGUGGAGUAUCAUCGACCUGUGUAAAAUAGAGGAAGUAAGUUGCCGAUAAAAGCAAAAGUAACAAGAUUGAGGCAUCGGUUGAAAACUUACAGUGUUAUCGGGGACCUUGUACGCGGAGUCGAUCAUACCGCGGUAUGUGAGAGUCGAUCUGCAGAACAAGUGCUCCUUCCAUUCUGCCCACCAUUGUUUGUACGCCUGGGUGAUGAAGAGAGCUGGGAUCCAGGCUGAUAGGUCGAUAUCUAACGUAUCGGCAUUUGGUGGAAGUUGGGCUAUUCUAAUCCACUCAAGACCAUUGGUGAUGGUUUCCCUUGGUUUUACCACAUCGGCGUAGCAAAGCGCAUUUGGCAGCUAUCCAAAAGCUAGUUGGUGAACUAGUGCCGAUGGGUUAUAAAACUCAUAGGUUAGGUUGGAGGCUUUCCCGCUACCGAAGAAGUUCACUAGUAUGGCUCUCGAAGUAAUGAUUGCCAUCAUUUGGUCUUGGUCCUUGUUGAGAGCAUUGUCAAAGGGGUGGAAAGUGAGUGGGAACCUAGUCUCUGGAUCCUCAUAAGGCAUCCAUGCCCGUUGAUCUUUGGCCAAACCUUCAUAGAGAGUCUAAAAGAAUCGGCUGACCUGGUCCUCAUUGCCACCAGUACCAGGAAGGACUAUGGUAGCUUCACCAUAGUUUAGAGGAGGGCAAGUUGCCAAUUCUUCUUCAUCCAACUCAUAAUCUUCGGCUAUGUCUCUUGGGAAACUCUGUGCGAAGAGGUCAAAUCCAAGGCGUUUAUGCAUAUGGACACUGAGCCACAUGUUGACAAACCACCAAGGUCCCCCUAAGUUGUCGAUAGAUUGGCCUAGAAGGAGUUUCUUGGCUACCUAAUGAAGGAGGUGAUAAGCAGCACCAAGCAGGUAUCGGCCAAGAGGAAAUCGGCCACCCUUGGCAAGUUUCUUCGCUGCCGAUAGAUAGACAGAGGUUGGUCCUGCCGAUCGCCCACAGAACACGAACUUAUCCAACCACAUGUUUAGGAAAAUUGCCUGCUCCCUCUCCCCGACAGAUCUUGUCUUUUGGUACUUCUGAAUAUAUCUAGACCAACCGCCGAUAGCGCGAGUUUCUACUUUAGCACUGGGCUUGGUGUCAAUCAGGUGAUUGCUAUCGGCAGUGGAUAUAUCUAAGCCGGUGAGCAUGAGUACAUCGGCAAGAGUGGGUGAAGCAGGGCCAUGGCCGAAUAUAAAAGCAUUGAGCGUGUCUGACCAGAAAUACGAGGCAACUAUCAGCAGUGACUCGUUUCUCUCCAUAUCGGCAAGAGAUAGUCUAAUGCACUGAUCUAGUUUCCGUUCACCCCAAUGAACUUCAUUUGAAUGGCUGACUCUCAAGAACCAGUCUUUCCAUCCCUUGGUAGGACUGGGCCAGGAACGAAAAGCAUCUUUCCAUAGAUCUAAAGAAAAGUUUUCAGCUCUAAAGGGGAUUCUAUUUGUCUCUGCAUUUAUUAGAUCGGUGGGAUCUGGGUUUCCUAACGGACCGAGACAUUGGAAGUGAGGUUGAUCGGUAGGAAUUACGAUCUUAUCGGCCAAAUCCUAAAAAAGUUUUGAGGAAGGAAGAACAGAAAGAAAAAGGGAGUACUCAGUAAAAGAAUUGCAGAUGAACAGGAAUACAGCAAAAGUAAAAAGGAAGAGGGAUGAUGAACCAACCUCGGGGACGAUGAAGUUGAUGGCCAUUUCUUCUUGAGGGAAGGAGAAAUCGAAGGCUUUGAGAGUUGUUGGAGAAGAUCCUUGUUGAAGUUCUCGGAGUUCUCAGGCAAUGCCACCGCCAGGAAAGUGGAUUUUGAGCUGUAGAAUGAUAAGAUGGGGGAGGAGUACCGGAGAAGGAAGUAUUUAUAGGACAAAACGGGCAGGGGCAAAUCUGACUUAUCUCUUUGCCGCAUCCGUGAAAUCUGAGGGUGUUUAGGUGGAUAUGGUAACUGUUCGCACGGUAAUUAAGGGAUUGUGCAGGUGAUUUGACGGCAAGCGGUCAUAAUUUUGAAGAUAUUUCACUGUGCAAGAUCGCCUGGUCGGCCCAUCGGCAGCUUUCUCUAACGGUAAUAUUGCCGAUGAGCGCAUAAAGUAGAGAGAUUUGGUUGAGAGGUUGAGAAAUUCGAGGAAUCUGCAGAAGAAUCGGGCUGAGGUUCUUUAGAUUUGGCGACUGAUUAUCAAAUUAGGAGAAAUAAUUGCGGAAAGGUGUUAUUUCUGCAGAGAAUUUUGGAGCAUUAAUGAUUUUAUACUCCGAAAUUGGGGGGCAUGUGUUGACAUCGUUUUUUGACAUGUGUCUCUAGAUACGCAUCUGGAGUUAAUGAAGCGUAGAUCGGCAGAUUAGGCGAUGGUGGCUAAUCUACAGGGAGGUUGCAGAUGGAGGAUGGUGCCGAUGGAGAAACAAUUGAAUAUGACUAAGUCCAGGGGUGGUGAUGCCGAUGACCAGUGCCAGUGUUUACCGAUGGAUGCAACAGGCAGUCUGUCGAUGACUCUGAAGAAAAGCGCGGAGGUUAUCGAUUGAUUCGUAGCGGUGUCCCGAUCGGUUACGGGGGAUAGUUUAAUGUUUUCCUUAGUUAUUAAAAUUUGUUUUGUAUACGGCUUCUGUUUAAUUAAGAAUUUGAGUCCUAGUCGUGUCUGGUUGUAAUUCUUCAGACAGGGUAUAAAGGUAGACCCUAGAGCAAUGUAAUGAGACAAUCUAUCAAUCAAUCAAACACAAGUUUUUACUCAUAUUCCAGCAUCUACUUUUUCGACGACUUCGUCACAUUUUCUUUUUACUACGAGUUCUUAUGAAUUCGUCGAGUCAAACUCGACGUGUUCUCAAGUUCCGCAUGAUCACCUCUUGGCCGUGAUAUCCGGACGUAUCGCUGUUGUCGGGACCAAAGUGGUCGAGUUACCACCUUUGUCGAUUGUAAGGUCAAAUCGGAUGGCACACCUUAACGUUUGAAUCGGGUAUUAGCCCUUUGUAUUUGCAGAUCAGCUUUUGCACCAACACAUACAAGCUCAUCAUAUCAUUAAACUGUUAUUUUAGUAGCAAAGCAAAAAUACCAGACUUGUGCUUCAUAGUUGAUCAGUGGACAUUCGAGCACACAUGUAUAUUCAAAUGAUAAAUAUAUCUCAGGACGUAAACGAGAUACUACAUGCAUGCUUAAGGUAAUUGAUAUAUAUUUCUAAAUAGCGGGUAGCAGCUUUGACGAGGAUAAUCCACACGGGCGCAGACGAUUCUAUGCAAUUGAUGAUGAAAUAGCAAAGUUAUAGUUUAGUGGGUACCUUCGUAACGAGCAUCCAGAUAUUUAUCCUUGAGGUUGUCCAGUCGCUGCCGCAGGGACGAAGGGAUUGACUUUAUACCUGGGCAGUCAUUAAUUAUAAGCUCACAAAGAGAUGAGUAUGCUUGUGGCCCAUUGGGCAAGAAUGGUGCGAGGCUUUCGCAAUCUUGAAGAAAGAGGCGUUCCAGCAUCUGGAGCUCUCCGGAGGUAGAUUCCAGUGAUCUCAACAUUGUCCAUGUAUCAAUGUCUAGUGUUCGGAGUGCAUCCAGCUGACCCGAGAGGAGUUGUAGUUUGUGGCAUUCCGAAAUAUCUAUUUUUCUGAGGGAUGGUGGAAGGUUGGCAACCUCUGACAAGCUGCCACACUGCCAUAUGAAAAGAGAUUCAAGGCAUCGAAGGAAGUGAUCCUGACUGGCCGAUGAAGACAGCUCUGGUACAGCAGCUGUGGAUGCCAUGACGUCAGUGGUAGGCCCUUGAUUCCAUGUCGUCUUGUCCUGUGCUUGCCGAAUAUGGACUUAAAAGUUUAGGACACCUCCGAACCUCCAUUUUCGGACUCCAUGUGUUGGUUGAUGGCAAGUUCAGGACUGACAAGACCUACGGCUUCAUGGGUAUGCACAAAUGUUUCUUUCUUGGGUAUGGCAAUUUAACAUUUCUCAUUUACUCUUUUUUUUUUGAUGUAAACAGGAGGGGAAUCCCCCUACUGUGCUUUUAUUGAUUAAUAAAAAGAAGGCAGCUGUACAUAGUCUCAAGAAACAAAGAAGGAAAGGAAAAAUAUAAGCCAAAUUACACAUAAGCUUCUAGUCAUUGACAUAAAAGAGGGACUAAACUACUCUUUGCUCGAAGAAUAACUUGAGCAAAUUCUCUUUUGAAAACAGCCUUGCAGCUUUGGAUUGAGGGCUGAGCAUUCCUGAAAAUUGCAUCAUUCCGGACAGACCAAAUUGACCAACACAUGGUGACAAUAAUUUCCAUGAAGAAAGGCUGUUGGAUUUGCUGUCUAAAAGACUCCAGAGUUGCGAAGGGAUCUGUUAUGCAGUUAUGUUGUCUAUUUGCAGAUGUCAUUUCCAUUCCAAAGACUGGUGAGAACUACAGAAUUCUCUAUGACACCAAGGGUCGCUUCCGUCUUCACUCUGUUAGGGAUGAGGACGCAAAGGUGAGCACUAGCUGAGGACAUAAUGUAAUCUCACACUAAUCCUUGGCAAGGAAUGCAUAUGGAAAUAUAAGUUUGAAUGCUGUGCUUUGUCAGUUGAUGGUUCAUUGUACCGGCUUGGUUAUUUGAACAGUUUAAUUUUCCUUACAUUCUCUGGAGUUCACUUUUGUAAGGAUAGCAAUAUUAUUCCUUUAGAAACAUAACUCUGAUAUGUAGUUGACAAUGUGUAUUCUUAAUUGCACUUUUAGUUAGAACUUAGAACUCAUUGUGAUGUAUCAACUGUUGCUAUUCUACAAACAAUCGUGAUUAUUAUGUUUCUACCUCUUAUUUUCGUGCAGAAUUUUUAUUACCGAGAUUGUAAAAAAUUGUCUCUUACUGCAGUUCAAGCUUUGCAAGGUCCGUUCUGUCCAGUUUGGUCAGAAGGGCAUUCCGUAUCUGAACACAUAUGAUGGGCGCACCAUCCGCUAUCCUGAUCCUCUUAUUAAGGCAAAUGACACAAUCAAGAUUUAUCUGGUGACAAAUAAGAUCGUUGAUUUCAUCAAGUUUGACGUGGGCAAUGUCGUUAUGGUACACUAGUACAGACGGUUCGCAACCCCUUUAUUCAGGCGGAUUGACGAACUGCCAGUGGCUAUAGGCUUGUAGAAAUAAAAGUUUCCACAGGCGGUUAACUGAGAACCGUCAGGCGGUUCAUUUAUGUGAGCCGCCUGUAGAAAUUCUACAGGCGGUUCUUAUAACAGAACCGCCUAUGGUAAGAUUUUCCAAUUUAACAUAAUUUCCAAAUUUUCCUGCAAACCCUAUUUUUAAUAUUAUAAUAUAUAUAUAUAUAUAUAUAUAUUAUAUACAUUAAUAUUGAAACUAUGUUAGGCUAGAAGAUUCAACCAAUACAACAUGCAAUAUAUUUAUAUAUAUCAUUACUUUGUACAUAAAAUUAUAUUAAUUACAAAUAUCACACAUCAAAGUUUUUUGUUCACAGACAUAUGAGGUUUCACAUUAGAAACCUCUGCUCUAAUAACCCGAUCGAGAUAGCUUUAGCCUACUAAUAUCUCUUAGCGCUCUAAACUCAGGCUUUGCAAGGACGCUGGUCGGGUCGUGAUAUUCUCCUUCGGUGGGAAUGGCUUCUCUCAAGAGAAAAGUGCAGAGGUCCUCAACUAUGUUGUAUAGAACAGUUUCAGUCACGCUCUUCGUCUUUUCCAACUCAUGUUGCUGCAGAGGAAGUUAGAAACAUCAUAAAUUUAUAGUUCAUAUAACACAUGCUUAGCAACAAAAAAUGACACAAUUAUAUAAACGACUAUUAGAGCAAUACCUUAGAAGGGUUAGUUACAUAUCUUCCGGUCUCUCUCAUGAACUCGCAGACGUAGAAUCCACAGUGGACCGAUCGACUGGUUGCUUAUGGCACUGAUGUAUGACAAAAAAGUGGAUAUUUAUUAGUUGCAACAUCGUCAUAUGCAUAUUAUAUUUAUAAAAGACAGUUUGUGAUAUUUUGGUACGUACCGGCCAUUUAUAAAAUAAUCUCAAUGGCUGCCCCGGUUCUGAUGAAUUGCACCUUCCACCUUUGAUCUUAUAAUACCUAUAGGCCCUAUAGUAUCGAAUACACAAUCCUCAAGUUAUUCUGAAACUCUCAUAAAAGUAGGUAUGAAUAUUUAAUGUACUCAAUGUUGACGGUUCUUAAGUAUCAAUUUUAAUUAUCAAAUAAACAAGGGAAAGGACCAAUAUACAAACAACACCUAGAAUUAGGGUUUGAUCUGACAGAAUUCCAUGAGUUUUGUUGUUUAUCUGUUUCUGCAGGGGGUUAUCAGGAAAUAAGGAAGAAAGGCCCACAUGUCGGGAUUACAUAGAGAUAUUAACGCACCGCGUAAUUUUCUACCAUCUAGAAGACUCCAGAAGCCACGGGAACGAACGGGAAGGCGAUCGGGCCAGGGGGCAGGGCACCCGCCCUGGUGUUGUGCCCAAUCAUGUCCAAACUCGUGGAUCAUGCUCCACCAUCCUAAAGGAUCAAGGAUAACCGUUCAAUCAAUGUCGGUUUGAUCCAACAGCCCACGUUCACCUGAGAGGACUAUAUAAGCAGACCCCCUGGCCCCUGGAGGAGAACAAGUUCAUCAUAGAGUUGAGAGGUGCCCUCGAAGGAUAACCUUUCCUCUAAAUAGACUUAGGGCUUAGCAUCUAAUGUGAGUAGACUAGAUCUACUAGAUUGAGAGAGAUAGAGUGGAGGUGUAGAUCGGAGAAAGCCCGGCAUGUCGGUGUCUACUCUGAGGUUGUGCCUGCGGGAUCAAGUUCUCCUAACUCGAAGCUUGCUCCUAGGAUUCUUCAGUAUUUCAACUUCUAAAUACUAGUAAGUUCUUGUUUUAUUGUUCUUUGGUUUAUGAGUUUACUUUAAUCUCUUCGCAUAGAGUUUAGAGUAAUCAUCUCUAGCGUAGGCGCGGUGUUUGGGCUAGGAUACUCAUAGAUAUCCCCUGACUAGCUGGACCAUGGUAGUAGCGAGGAACGUGACAUUUCCGAGUUACCUUUGCAACUCAUAUCCCGUUAGUAGGAUCGAUAGGGUUUAUAGGUGCGGGUUGAACAUCCUCUGUGGUGUCUAGAUUCCGUGAGCCUCCCCAACAGAACAGUAGAUUAUCCUUACCAGGGUUAGAAUGAGAUUAAGGUUGUAGUCUUCUCUAUAUAUCGCUCACAUCGAGAAACAUUCUUUGUAGCCUAAAGAUUAGUAGUAAUAGACCGGGUUAGUCAGAUGCACUCUUUCUCCUAGUGGUAAAAAUAUAAAUACGAUACUCUGGAUAACAUCCCGAGUGAAGUGCUCACCGAUAUCCGUACGCUUGCGGAUGAAUUCCUUAUUGCGUUCCUAAAUAUCAACAAGCAUUUCUAGCGCCGUUGCCGAGGAGAAAGACGAUUUGCUGAGAUAACCUUGAGUCUUACUACUAGCUUGUAUUUAUACUUUUAUCUUUUCUUAUCUUUUUAUAUUCUUUACUUUCUUUAUUCUUACCUUAUGGAAAACCAAGAUUCUAAAUCAAUCUAUCAAUUUGCAACACCUUCGGAGACUGACCUUUUACCAUGGGAGUCAUCAUAGCCUAUCCAAACAUCCCAGUAUAAGUUAAGUUCCAGGUUGAUUGCUAUGAUUCAAAACCUAUCUCUUUCAGGAAAGGAAGACGAAAACCCUUACCAUCAUAUUAGAGAUUUUGAGCAAACAUGUGAUUGUCUUCGCAUUGAAGGCAUUUCUGAUAAAACUUUACGUUGGAAGCUUUUUCCUUUUUCUUUAAGGGGAGAAGCUAGACAAUGGUAUAAUCAGAAUGUAAGUCAACAACGAGGUGAAUGGGGAGUUUUACGAGCCAACUUUUGUCUAGAUUUUUAUUCCCUCGACCGAAUCAGAGACCUUAGACUCGAAGUCCUAUCUUUUAAACAAAAAGAUAAUGAAACUUUGGGAAAAUCCUGGAAACAUUUUUCUGAUCUUUUAGAAUCUGGUCCAAACCUUAAUCUUGAAGACCCUGUUCUUUUAUUUCACUUUUUUCGAGGUCUUCAGAAAGAUCGUAAACAAAUGCUAGAUACAAUGUCUAGAGGUUCUUUCUUUCGCAUCCCUACUGAUGAUGCUAGAGUGAUCCUAGAUAGAAUCCUAGAAGCUGAGAUGGAUAAUACCCUUCAUGAUGAAACCCACGAAGCCGAAGUAGACACUCUGCCAAAUUCUCCAUCUACUUUAGCUAUCCCAAGUUCUGAGCCACAAAAGGAAGAAAUUCCACCACCUGAUUUCAUGCUGGAUACAGAAUCUGAUCUUUUUGCCGAUUUUGGAAACAUUUCAAACUACCAUUCUAUUGACAAACCCCAAAACGGCCAUUUUAGCAUUUGUUUGCCAACUGAAUAUUAAUUGAGAGAGCUUAUCUCAGUCAUGAGUAGCGAAUGGUUGGAAGGGUUAGAGCUAUCCUCUGAUGUGAUCCGUUUGGACACACCUCCUAUAACUAUACGCUGUGCUUAUGAUUCGGAUCAAUUUGAUGCUCUCUAUAAUCCUGUUGUGGGGAUCAACGUCAUGUAUGAAUCUUUUGCACUUAAAUUAUUUAAAAAUUUGGUCUUAACCCCCACAACAAAGGUCAUAAAGGAAUCUUCGGGACGAUUAGUCCCCAGUCUUGGAAUCAUUAAUGUCCUACCCCUCAUGGUAGAAGGCUCCAUGGUUCAUUUGAACUUCUAUAUCUUUGAUACAUGGGACUUCGACCUGUUGAUAGGACAACCUUUUAGAAGACUCCUUUACGAAGGUCAUACUGGAAAACUACACAUUUCUUUUGGAAAAACUUCUAAAUUUCCAGUAACAAUUUCACACUCCUUAAAUAAUAAGGCUGAGUCAUAUCUUUUGCCUGAUCCUAUGGAGGAGGUAAAGGCUGCAUCUCUAGAGCUUUUAGAAGAACCAGACUUAGAAGACGAAGCUCCCUUCUUCACAGAAGAAGAAGCUGAACCAUCUGAACCUAAACCCUUAGACGAGUUUGCAGAAACGCCUAGACCUCCCAUAGAGGUUAAAACUUUACCACCCGGUCUUAUCUAUGCUUUCCUAAACAAUAAUCCAGAGUUUCCUGUGAUCAUUAGUGAUAAACUCACUCAGGAGCAAACUCUGGGAUUAAUGACCAUUCUUGAGAAACAUCACUCAGUUUUUGGCUACUCACUCCAAGAUCUUACAAGAAUCAAUCCUAUGAUUUGCACCCAUCGUAUUCCGACAGAUCCUUCUGUUUCACCUUCUCGAGAGCCCCAACGUAGACUAAAUAAUGCGAUGAGAGAGGUAGUUAAAAAGGAAGUUAUAAAGUUGCUGCAUACAGGGAUUAUAUAUCCUGUGCCGCACAGUGAGUGGGUGAGCCCAGUUCAAGUUGUGCCUAAAAAGGGAGGCAUGACUGUUGUUACGAAUAAAAAGAACGAGCUAAAUCCGCAACACACCGUCACAGGGUGGCGGAUGUGCAUAGACUAUAGAAAAUUAAACAAAGCCACGAGAAAAGAUCAUUUUCCUUUACCUUUCAUAGAUGAGAUGCUAGAGCGAUUAGCGAACCAUUCGUUCUUUUGUUUCUUAGAUGGAUAUUCAGGGUAUCACCAGAUCCCGAUCCAUCCCGAUGAUCAAAGCAAAACUAAUUUUACAUGCCCAUACGGAACUUAUGCUUACCGUAGAAUGUCUUUUGGGUUAUGUAAUGCACCAGCUUCUUUUCAAAGAUGCAUGAUGUCUAUAUUUUCUGAUAUGAUUGAAGAGAUUAUGGAAGUUUUCAUGGAUGAUUUCUCUGUUUAUGGAAAAACUUUUGAUAGUUGUCUUGAAAACUUAGACAAGGUUUUGCAAAGAUGUGAAGAAAAGCACUUAGUCCUUAAUUUCGAAAAAUGUCAUUUUAUGGUUAGGGAAGGAAUAGUGUUGGGACACCUAGUGUAUGAAAGAGGUAUUGAGGUAGAUAGAGCUAAAAUUGAAGUAAUUGAACAACUACCUCCACCUGUGAAUAUAAAAGGAAUUCGAAGCUUUCUUGGCCAUGCUGGUUUUUAUCGCAGAUUCAUAAAAGAUUUUUCAUUUAUUGCUAGAACACUUACUCUUUUGCUAGCCAAGGAUGCUCCUUUCGAAUUUGAUGAUGCAUGCCUAACAUCUUUCAACUUAUUAAAGAAUGCACGCAUCUCGGCACCAAUCAUUCAACCCCCUGAUUGGUCGUUGCUGUUGACGGUCGUUAAGUACUAAAAUUAAAAAUCAAAUAAACAUGGAAAAGGAUCAAUAUGCACCAAACAUCUAGAAUUAGGGUUUUAUCUGACAGAAUUCCACGAGCUUUGGUGUUUAUCUAUUUCUGCAGGGGGUUAUCAGAAAAUAUGGAGAGAAGGCCCACAUGUCAUGUUUACAAUGAGAUAAUUACGUGCCGUGCAAUUUUCCUCAAUCUGGAAGAGUCUAGAAGCCAGGGAACAAACGGGAGACCGGACGGGCUCGGGGGCAGGGCGCCCGCCCUCCCCCCUUGGGCGCCCGCCCUAGUCUCGGGGCCAAUCCGAACCAAACUCUUGGAUCGUGUUCCACCGACCUAAAGGAUCAAGGAAAACCGUGCGAUCAAUGUCAGUUUGAUCCAACGGCCCAAAUUCACUUGAAAGGACUAUAUAACCAAGGCCUCUCCACCUCUGGGGAAGAGAAGAGAAGAGGAGAAAUCAUUAUCAGAGGUAGCCAUCAAAGUUAGGGUUUAGAGCUUCUCUCCCACAGAGAAUUAGAAUUAGCUACUCCCUAAUCCUACAAGUUUAGAGGAUUGAUUAGAUAGCAAUUAGAGAAGUAGAGCACUACGCUAUGGAUUCGGAUCUUCGGUAAUAAAGAUUGGUAUUAUUCAUAUCUUUCUCUAAUACUUUGUUCUAAUUACAUUAUGUCUCUAUUUAUUAUGCUCUUAGUUUGCUCUAGUUCUAUAUUUGAUAUAGUUAUGAUUGAUAAUGAGUUUAUGUAUAAGUUUGCAAAGCGCUUAGCUCUUAACUCGAGGGAGUUAAGUGGUAGAUCACAUGUGGGCGAGGUGCUUAGAUGUUAUUUACCUGCAAAUGUAUCUUAUUGGCCGGGUCGUGUGGUAGUUCGCGAUAGUGACAGCUUCGUUGAUUCUUAUAUAGUCCACCCUCCGUCGAUAGGACAGGCAGAAUUUGUAUUACGGAGUAAGUCUUAUGAUGUUCUGAUUUACUUUAGCAAUGUUCCUUAUACAUGAAUGAAGAGUCUUUUAUGCUAUACAUGAUCUUGUAGAUAACUAGAGUAGAUUGUGACUUAGUAGAUAGUAGAUAACUUAGAAUCCAUUCUCUAGCUAAUCCGACGUCACCUACAUAUAUGAGGAGUAGUCUAUUUUCUAAUCGCUGUGUUAUUUACCCAUGAACUUAUAAUUCAUUAUCAUUAUCUUUAUGGUUUACCCCCUGCCAAAGUAAGUGACUGUGUCACGAGUUUCUCAUUAGUAAUCAUGUUCUUGCAAGUUUAUCUCUAGUCUAUACCGUGAUAGAUUUAAUCCUUAUUUUAAUUUCACCCCUUGUUCUCUUAAGCAAAAUUAUAAAUAACGAUACCUAGAAUACUUAUCCUGGUGAAAUGCUACAAUGAGGUGUUUUAUCUGUGCGCUUGCGGAUAGAAUAGAUUAUUUUCUAGAGAGCCUCCAUACUUAUAAAUACCUUUGUACACUCUCGCAUCAUGCUGGGGAUGACAACCUAGUAUUCUAGUGGUGUUAGCUAGUGUCAACAAGCAUUUCUAGCGCCGUUACCGGGGACCAAAAGGGUAAUACAUAGGAACGGUAAGGAAAGUCAGGAAAUCAGUCAAGGUUAUUCACAUAAAACAUUAGACUAGACUAUAGAGAAAUAAUUGCAUAAAACAGCUACUAAGUGAGAAAUCAUAACAAGGCACCUCUGCUUUGGUAGGUUCACCUUGUUGUUUUUCUAUGUUUAUAUUUUUAUACAGGGUAUAUUAGGAUUGACUUUGGGUACAUUCAACUCUUCAUCAUCAGAACCAAAGCAAUCAAGAAAGAAAGAAGAAGCUAGCUACCAAUUGCUGAAGCUAUGGCACAGAAGACCCUGCAAGAAUUCUCUGCUCCAAGUCUUGAGAACAUUCCAACUGGUCCAAGAUUUGCAGUAGAAGGAGUACCCGAGUUUGAGCUCAAGUCAAGCCUCAUCAAUUUGGUGCAAGCUACACAAUUCAGUGGAAAGGCACAUGAAGAUGCUAGUGCACACUUGCAGAAUUUCUUAGAAAUUGGAAGCACAAUCCACAUCAACGGAGUUGACAAAGACGUCAUACUGCUUCGCCUUUUUCCAUUCUCACUAGAAGGGAAAGCAAGGAAGUGGUUCUACACUCAUCAAGAUAACAUCAACAACUGGACGAACUUGUCAAAUGCCUUUCUAUCAAAGUUUUUCCCUAUAGGCAAAACAACUACCUUAAGAGGAAAUAUUGUCAGUUUCCAACAGCAGAAGACAGACACCAGAAGCAUGGGAGCGUUUUCAAGGAUACAUAUCAGAUUGUCCUCACCAUGGAAUGGCCGCAUGGUUACUUAUGCAAACCUUCUACCAUGGAUUAACCCAGAAGGCUCGUGAGUGCCUAGAUGCAUCUGCUAAAGGAUCAUUCUUGGAGCUUACAAUUGGAAAAGCAGAGAUACAUUUGGAUAAGAUAGCAGAAAACCAAAGCUAGUUCCAAGAUAAAGCUCAACAAUUUCAUCAAACUGAAGAAAUACCAGAAGAAGUAAAUGCAUUAUCAACCAAGAUGGAAAAUUUGCUCCAUUGGAUUGACCAGAGGGCCAAGUUCAAAGAAGAUCAAAGGGCCAUUGAGACAACAUACAAAUAUCAACCCACUUCGAGUCAACCCAAUAGCAAAGGUAUGAAUUCAGGUAACACUUUCAAGCAACUUUCAUUAAAAGAGAUAAUUGCUCAACAAACCAAAAUUAAUGAUGAAGUUAAACAAAGGCUAGAUACAAAUGAAUCAUCUCUAAAAGAUAUACACAAUAAAAUGGAUUUUCUAUUAACUGCCUUUGAUGAGCAAAACACUCUUAAUAAAAGGGUAGAGCUUAAAUUAAUAAAGUUAGCUGCUGCACUGCCUGUUGCUACUAACAUUGAGCAGGUAAAGAAUAUAACUACUAGAGGAGGCAAAGCCACCAGGGAUCCCCCAUACCCAAAAGAGAAACAAAGAACAUCAGCACCAGUGCAACCAGCAGUGAUAGAAGAAGAAAGUCCAACUGAAGCAGAAGAUCUGCUACAACCACCAAGAGCUGGAGAAAUGAGGAAAGAUUUUCACGACACCAACUAUUUGCCAUUUCCUAGAAGAAACAGAGGACUGCAGUCGGAUGAGCAGUUUGGUAAGUUUGUAGAGGUCAUUCAGAAAUUAUAUGUCAACAUACCUCUACUUGAUGCCAUAUAGGUACCCACAUAUGCAAAGUACAUCAGAGAUAUUCUUAACAAGAAGAGACCACCGCCCACCACUGAGGUUAUGAAGUUGACAGAAGAAUGUAGUGCGGCCAUCCUCAAUAAACCACCAAGAACGAAGAAGGAUCCAGGAUGCCCCACUAUUGAUUGCUCAAUCGGAAACCAACACUUCAAUAAUGCACUUUGUGAUCUCAGAGCAAGUGUCAGUGUGAUGCCAGCAUCAGUCUACAAAAAGCUUGAGCAUACGACCCUAGAACCAACAUCAAUGUGCCUACAACUAGCAGAUCAAUCAGUUCGACAUCGCUGAAAACAUUCCAGUCAAGAUCAGAGAUUUCCUUGUGCUAGUAGACUUCGUGGUACUGGACAUGAGUCCUGACUCAAAAGUGUCCAUUAUCCUUGGAAAGCCAUUUCUGAGCACCGCCAAUGCCCACAUUGAUGUCGAGAAAGGAGAAAUCAAGUUCAAUAUCAACGGAAAAGAAGAACACUUCACAUUCAAGCCCAGACCAGAGAGAGACUCUACAGUGAAGGAAGUUCAUGAAGAAGAACCACUGGAGACACCAUCUCUGGAGGACGGUAAUUCAGAAGAUUAAAAGAUUUGGAGGUCCAGCUCGGGGGACCUAAAAAUCCCAAACCCUCACCGGGAGGUAAAUCGGUAUUUAUCCACAUUGUUUAAAUUCUUGCAUAAUUAAUUCUUGCAUUAGUCAUAUUUAUUCAUAGCAUUAUUAUAAUAAUAAAAAGCCAAUAAUAUUUAUGGUGUGUAAUAACCCAUAUUUAUUAAUUAUUGUGGAGGCACAAAAAUAUUUUUCCAUUAUCAUUUCAAUAAGUUUUAAUUCUCAUAGAUUUUUCUGCAUUAUAUUUAAUCAUAGCAACCUUCUAGAAGCAUGACCCACACUCCUUGGGUCCCACAUGUCAUACACCAUACCUCACAUACAUCCCAUCACAUUAUUUGAUCCACCAACAUAACUCCACUCACUAGCACUUUUCCACCGGCCAACCACCACCCAUGAUCCAUUAUUUUGCGUAAGAGUUAAGCAAAGAAGGGAGUGGAGAAAGGGCAGCCAGGAUGGGCACCAAAGGUGGGCGCCCGCCCACCUAUAGAGGGCGCCUGCCCUGUCCCCUCUUCCUCCUAUAAAUUGCCACCUCCUGCCUCCAUCUCCAUCACACAAGCAUUCCAGAAAACCACGCAAGUUUCAGUUUCCAGAGAAGGAGCUCUUGUAGUGAAGAGAGAAGAGAGUAGAGAGGAAGAGAAGAGUGGGAAAGAAGUUGGAAGUUUUUGAGUAAGAGAGUGAGUUUCACCUAGUAAGUAGUGAUCCUGCUGUCCAAAGCGGAAGUAAAAGUUGUUAGGGGAGGUUCUGCCAAAAUAAAAACUUGUCUUGAAUGACUAACCCCUAGACUACUGACAUUCCGGACAGCUGACCACUAAUAUUUUCUCUCACAUUUUCCACUAGUUGUGUUUUUGCCAACUUUUGUUUACAGGAUGUUCAAGAAGGUGAAGAACGCAGGGAAGGCCCUCAAGAACAUAGGUACAAGGAGUUCAUCCCGACACUCCUCGCACCCAUCAAAGAUGAGCGUCGACCCGACGUGCACACAAGCUCCGUCAUCUUCAUCUGAUCAGCAAGUCAAGGUCCUCCUCAAGAUAGGAGACCUUGGACUAAAGACCCGAAGGGAAAAGGAAGUUUACCAGCAACUGAAGAACAAAGAUUUCAUUCACACCCCUACUCUUGAUCCAAUCUUGCUACAAGAAACAAGUAUGGAUACAGAAUUCGACUUAAUUUUCUAGAUGUUAGGUUGGACAUAUUUUUGAAACAUAACUGAGCUGGGUUCUCAUCUUCUCACCCUUGAAUUUCUUUGCACUUUACAAUAUUAUGAGGGGGGAAUUGUUUUUCGGAUGUUCAAACAGGAGAUUAUGUUGUCUUGGAGAGAACUGAGCGACCAUCUUGGUUUCUCUUCAAGAUGCAUCCUGAACAUUGACUCCGACCUACCUAAUUUUGAGAGACACCAGUUCUGGAUAGAGAUAUCUAGAGAUAAUUUUUAUAGUCAAGCCCGAACCAGUGACAUGGAACACCCCACUCUUAGGAUGUUCCACAAAUGGCUUGGGUACAAUCUUUUCUAUCGUGAUGAUAUUAGGAAAGUAAGAGUAGGAGAUUUAUAACUUCUAUAUGCUACCAUUAAUAAAGUACCCACUUCACCUGUUACACUUUUGGUUUCUCAUUGGCUUAGUAUACCUAGUCUUCAGGGACCAGUAGGAUGUACUUCACUUAUCACUCGUCUAGCCUCUAAUCUUCAUUUACUAGAAAAUUCAUAACUGGAAUUCAUAGAUGAGUUACGGAUUUACCAUGGCUAUGACACAUUUAGACAAGCUCGGAUGUUAAAGAAAGAGGGGAAUAUAAUGUAUAUGCUAUAUGAUAAUAAAGGCAAGAUUCGGUUAUCUAACCCAAACCUUGGCCUCUACGUUGUUCAAAAUUUUUUGAUUGAGAUUGCAGUAACACAGAUAAACCAGAGAGCUCCACAGCGAGUGGCAUCUGAAAGGAUGACCACCCAUCAAGAACGCACCUGGUAUGGAGCUGAUCCCGGACCAGAAGAAGCAGCGCACCUGCAUUAUUGCGACUACAACCCCCGAGUCCUUCGAGACCCAUGGGUUUGACAUGCGCAACCACAAGAGCCAACACAGGAGACAUGGCCGGAGAGUCUAGAUCACCAGUGGACAAACCCGCCUUUUCAUACGGGUAGGUACUCCACUGAUCCAUAUGGAGCUUCAGGGUCCAGACCUCCGCCCCAAUUCGAUUCAUGACAAUACUCCGACGCCUCCUACGCUUUCACGAACGACUACUACCAAGAGGCCGGUGCUUUCUUCACCCGUACCGACAACACUCUCCUCGACAUCCAGAACAUGCAAGCAGAACAUGGACGACUCCUGGAACAGCAACAAAAAUGGAACCAGGACCACGCCACUGCACUACAAGAACUGAGACAAGACACCACGACAAUGAACGACAACAUCACCACCAUGAUGCGAUUCUGGAACAUUGGGUAAGACCGACGACCACAUCCAGCUUGGGGGAGUUCCUCCCCAAUUUAUCAAGUAAGUUUUUAUUUGCUCUUCUUAUUUAUUCUUUUCUAUUUUAGUAUUUUAUCUUAAAGAGAAAAACUUAGAAAACCCAAUAAAUAUUUUCUUGCUUUAAUUUACUGCAUUCUAUAAACAUGAAAACAAAAUAAAAAGAGUGUGUAGAUAAGUGUGCUUUAUUUUUUCUGUUAAAUUUAAUCUCUAGAAAAAAUAAAAAGACCAAAAAAUAUAUAUAUAUGAUGGAAAUGAUGAACAGUUGCUCUGUUUACUUACUUACAAAUACCUAGCUUUUAUAUUAGAGUUCUUCCAGGAAUUACUAAAAACUGAAAUUACUAUCUUUGGGAAGCAUAAAACUAAAGUCUAGGUAAGAGAAAGACAUGAUAUAAAGUUUGAGCUACUAUUUAUCUUAUUCCUACUACACUAAGUUCUGGAGAUUUAUUUUGGAAACUUACAAAUCACAUGAUGAGUUCCUAGCAUUACAAACUUCCUACCACAGCCUGUGGGGGUAUAAACCCCUAUACCCUCAUAGUCCUAUAUGGGCCGCACCAUUAGAGGUGGCUCGGCCCACAGGAUGAAGACGUGCGGCGCACGACUGGUCGGCGUGCACCGCAAGACUACAAGAUAUUGUACCAAAUAGGAUAGUUUACUUGUAACUCUGUCCCUUCACGAUAUAUAAGGAGGGGCAGGGGUCCCCUAGAGGACAAGUCAGACAUCAUUAUUCUCUCAACACAAAUCAAUACAAUCAGACGCAGGACGUAGGUAUUACGCCAACUUGGCGGCCGAACCUGGAUAAAAAGCUUGCCUGUGUCUUGCGUCACCAUCGAGUUCGUAGUUUGCGCACCGUCUACCGAUAAACUACUACCGUGGGUAUACCCCAAGGUAGACUGCCGACCAGCUUUCGUCGACAGUGGCGCGCCAGGUAGGGGGUGUGCGUACAACUUCUCCGACGAACAAGAUGGUCAUAGUUCCAGCUUCCGCGGCCGUACCUGAAGGCCUCACGUUCACCGUCGGCCAGAUCACAUGGACGACGCGUGGCGGUGCUCUCACGACCACAGUUUCGGAAGAAACCCACAUCCAAUCUGGGAUGACGUCGCCUCCGACCACUCGGAUGACGGCACCGAGCGCCCGACCACCACUCCCACGCUACAAGGGGAAGGAGGUCGACUGCUCGGACCUUCUCCAAGCAUUUGAUCGCGCUGAUUCCAAGCUACUCGAAGCUUCCCAACUAGUAGAUGGGAUCUCGCGGUAGCCUGAUCAAGCCACUCUAACGGAUUUUUUCAAAUCCCACCGGCCAACUCGUGUCGUUACACACGAACGGCUGAGAACGUCUAUGACAAUAACCUCAACUCCCUCAGGACGAUUCGUCAAGCGUGAGGCUAACCCGGAGGAGGAUUACCCAUGCGGUCUGAACAACUCGGCCUCCCUCUACUCACGGCACGUCCAACCCCUUUUCAACAAGGCGGGUUGGCUGCCAAAACGGAACGGUCGACCAGCUCGUAAUUACGUCAACAUGGUGACGAUUUGAGAGCUACGGGACGGCCAGGCCUCCAGCACAAACUCGAGCACUGGUUCCGUCCCCACCGAGGUCAUAAACUCCGACGACGAGGACAACGAUCUGGAUUUGCCUUCACAUCCUCCGGGCUUCUCUCGUUUCCUGGUCUUCCCACCACGGCGAGGAGACAUCGUUUUCAACGUCAGUGCUGACGAGCUGGUCGUCGAUGGAGAAACAGACGAGCAGAGGCAGCUCCGCGAGCAACGUAACGCCGAUCGCGCCCGACGACGCGCGGACGAGGAACGUCAAAUCCCGCCGCAUAAUCUCAGCGACGCUUUCGACAUGGUCGGGGAUCAGCCAGUUUACAAAACGCCAAGCGCCAACAUGGCUGUGGCCAUGGCCAAUUUAGAUCGGCUCCCUGACACUCCCGAUUGCCAGGGCAUCCGAACCAGCGUUCGAGCACAUCUGAUCGCCGCAAUGGGACAGACAGCCACUCUGCUCAAAAGAGUCCAAGCCGUCUCCUAUACGGAGGCCACCUCCGACCAGACUCACCGCCGCCGGACCUCACCGCACCGUUCCACCGACGGUCAUCGAAAAAAUUCACGGCGUGACGACGGCGGUCGGGAUGCUGGCGGUCACCGCGAGCAGAACCAUGGGCGUGGUGAGGAAGUAAACCAGCACAGGGAUCUUCGAUACAACAUCCCUCCCAAAGACGCCCGAGACCGCAUCAACAGGCGCGCCACGGAGAGAGCAGUCCACGAAAACCUGCGUCGUAUCAAAUAUGAUGCAACUCACGGCCCCCCGGGCCUGAGGCAGUUCUCCUCACAUCUCCGCCAGGUCGUGUGGCCCCGCAAUUUCAAGCUCGAGAAACUCAAAAAGUACGACGGCAUGGAAAAUCUGGAAAACUGGAUCACUCUUUACGAGAUCGCCGUCCGAUCAGCAGCAGGAGACGAGCACGUCAUGGACAACUACUUCCCAGUAGUCCUCGACCAGGCUGGUCACCAGUGGCUUCUUGGCCUGCCCGAGGACUCCUUCGACUCUUGGGAAGAGCUGCGCCAGGCCUUCAUCGACAAUUUUAUCGCCACAUGCGAGCAGCCUGGAAACAAAUACGACCUCGAAAGGAUAAGGGACAGGAAAAACGAGCCUCUGCGCGAUUACAUCCGGCGAUUCUCAGAUAUGCGCCUUAAGAUCCCGAAGAUUUCCCACGACGAGGCCAUAUCUGCUUUCAUCAAGGGGCUGCGCUUCCAUGAAGCACUGAGGAACAAGCUGUUGCGUAAAAGGCCAACAACGAUGGCCGAGCUCCUCGCCACGGCUAAAAAUUACGCCGACGCCGACGACGCAGAAAAACUCAUCCGGGACGAUGCGAGAGGUCCCGACCAGCCUCCCCGGCGAGAUGAUAGUCGCGGUCGUUUCGACAACAGGAACCACCGACGUCCCGACAACCGUGACCACAGGGAGGGUUGGGAUAGGCGGCGCGACAACCGCGAUGAUUUCAGAGGAAAGCGCCCCCGCGACCAUGACCACAAAGUAAAUACGGUCAAACGCCCCAACGGACGGCGGGACUACCAAGAAGACUACAACAAAACGUUGAAGGGACCGUGCCAACUACAUCCAAAGUCCAACCAUACCAUGGAAGAGUGCCGCGUCCUCAAAAACAUUUACACACGACGGGCCGCCCAAGACGACUCUGCCAAGAAGAAUGGGAAGCAAGACGGACGCGACCACGAAGACGAGGACGAGGACCAAGAUAGGGACCCACGACACCAGUAUGUCAGUCCCACCGACGUGGUCCACUCCAUCUUCGGGGGCAAGGUCUCCAUCGAAUCUAAGCGAGAAAGAAAGCUCCUAAAAAGAGCCUGCCUCAACAUAGACAGCUCGGACGACCUGAUCGCAGACCCAAAAUUCCCCCCGUGGUCACACAGAGAGAUCUCCUUCAGCAGGAAGGAUCAGUGGGCCGCUAUCCCAGAGCCAGGUCGUUUCCCUCUAAUCUUGGACCCCUACAUCAAUAGCAUCAGAUUCGAGCGGGUACUCGUGGACGGAGGAAGCUCCAUUGACAUCCUUUUCCGUAACAGCCUGCCCGCUCUCAAGCUAUCUCCGGCACAGCUAAAACCCUACGACGCUCAGUUCUGGGGAGUCCUGCCUGGCCAGAGUUCAGUGGCCCUCGGACAGAUAACGUUGCCUGUCCAAUUCGGCACAUCCGACCACUUCCGAACAGAGUUCGUCAACUUUGUGGUCGCUGACUUUGAUGGGACUUACCAUGCUAUACUGGGCCGACCGUCGCUAACAAAGUUCAUGGCAGUCCCACAUUACUCAUACCUGGUCCUUAAAAUGCCCACGGAGAAAGGCGUCCUAACCGUCAGGGGCAAUGUCUACACUGCAUACACUUGCGAGGAGGAGAGCUUCAAGAUCACCGAAGCAAUCGAUCUCUCAAUCCGCAUGGCAGAGACAGUAACCCAGGCUGCACAGCUACCUCCCGACCAGCUUCGACUACCCGAGCAGGAGACCGCCAGGAAGAACUCAAAGUCCAAGGAGCAUAAGGAAGUACAGCUGGUCGAAGGCAGUCCCGAGAAGACGGCCCUCAUCGGGGCCAACCUAGACCCUAAAUAGGAAGACGCGCUCGUCAGGUUUCUAAGGGACAACGUAAGCGUUUUCGCAUGGAAACCUGCUGACAUGCCCGGCGUCCCACGAAACCUGAUCGAGCACUCCUUAAAUGUCUCGAAGACCGCAAGACCCAUCAAGCAAAAGCUGCGACGGUUCGCUCGUGACAAAAAGGAGGCUAUUAGGACAGAAAUAACACGGCUUCUAGCAGCCGGAUUCAUAAAAGAAGUGUACCAUCCCGAUUGGCUUGCCAAUCCGGUUCUUGUACGCAAAAAGAAUAAUGAAUGGAGAAUGUGCAUUGAUUACACUGAUCUCAAUAAACACUGUCCUAAAGAUCCUUUUGGUCUCCCUCGCAUCGAUGAGGUGGUCGACUCAACGGCCGGAUGCGAACUCCUUUCUUUUCUAGAUUGCUACUCUGGUUAUCACCAGAUCUCGCUAAAGGAAGACGAUCAGAUCAAAACAUCUUUCAUCACUCCUUUCGGCGCAUAUUGCUAUACGACCAUGUCUUUCGGACUCAAAAACGCCGGGGCAACCUACCAAAGGGCCAUCCAGCAAUGCCUCCACGACGAGAUUCGUGAUGACCUCGUCGAGGCUUAUGUAGACGACGUCGUCGUCAAAACAAGGGAUGCCAGCACCCUAAUCGACAACUUAGACCGAACCUUCAAAGCACUAAACAUGUAUAAGUGGAAACUCAAUCCCAAAAAGUGCAUCUUUGGGGUCCCCUCCGGUCUACUACUCGGCAACGUCGUCAGUCGGGACGGCAUACGGCCAAACCCUUCAAAAGUAAAAGCAGUACUUGACAUGCGACCACCUAAGAAUGUCAAGGAUAUUCAGAAGCUCACCGAAUGUAUGGCCGCUCUCAGCCGCUUCAUCUCAAGACUAGGAGAAAAAGGCCUCCCCUUCUUCAAACUCCUGAAGGCGUCAGAAAAAUUCUCCUGGAUAGAAGAGGCUGACGCUGCGUUCACCCAGCUUAAGACCUUUCUCACUUCACCGCCUGUCCUUACAGCGCCUCAGCCCAAUGAAGACCUACUACUUUACAUUGCUGCAACUGACAGGGUUGUGUCGACGGCAAUAGUGGUCGAGCGAGACGAGCCAGGCCACGUCUACAAGGUCCAGAGACCCGUUUACUUCAUAAGCGAAGUCCUAAACGAGUCUAAGGCCAGAUAUCCGCAAAUACAGAAGCUCAUAUACGCCAUCCUAAUAACAUCAAGAAAGCUAAAGCACUAUUUCGACGGCCAUCGAGUCUUGGUAACCACCAGUUUCCCUCUUGGGGAUAUCCUGCGCAAUAAAGACGCCAACGGCAGAAUUGUAAAAUGGGCAAUGGAAUUAUGCCCAUUCUCCUUGGAGUUCCAGAGCCGCACCACAGUCAAGUCUCAGGCCCUGGUCGAUUUCAUCGCAGAAUGGACGGAUCUCAACGAGCCUCCUGUUCCCGACGUCUCCGACCACUAGUCGAUGUUCUUCGACGGGUCCUUAAACAUCAACGGCGCCGGCGCUGGGGUACUUUUCGUGUCGCCCAACAAGGACAAACUGCGUUACGUCCUUAGGAUCCUUUUUCCGGCAUCAAACAACGUCGCCGAGUACGAAGCAUGCCUUCACGGCAUACGAUUAGCCGUUGAGUUGGGAGUCAAACGCCUUUAUGUCUAUGGCGACUCCGCUUUAGUUAUCAACCAGCUCAACAAGGAAUGGGACGCAACCCACGAGAAGAUGGAUCUCUACUGCAAAGAAAUUCGCAAAUGGGAAACCAACUUCUAUGGCAUAGAGUACAUCCACGUGGUCCGGGAUAAGAACCAGGCAGCAGAUGCGUUGUCAAAAUUAGGGUCAUCUCGGGCCCAGAUCCCGCGAGGUGUUUUCGUCCAGGACAUCCAUGAGCCAAGUGUGGGCAAAGAUCCGCCUGAAAAGCAACCUAUUGAGGCAAUGCUCAUAGACGACGUUACUCCGACAACCAGUAACCGCGAUUGGCGCACCCCAUUCAUCCGGUAUAUAUCGGACGGGACAGGCUUUCAAGAUAAAACAGAGAACGAGCGCCUCAUUCGAUGAUCAAAGAAUUACAUAUUGGUGGACGGCAAACUUAUGCGAAAAAAUGCAAGUUCUGAAGUGCUGCUCAAAUGCAUAUCCCAAGAUGAUGGCAUCAAGCUCCUAGACGACAUACAUGCUGGAUCCUGCGGCAAUCAUGCUGCCUCGAGAACGCUGGUCGGGAAAGCCUUCCGAGCAGGUUUUUAUUGGCCAACCGCGGUCAACGACGCAGAAAAACUGGUCCGGCACUGUGAGGGAUGUCAGUUCUUCGCUAAACGGACCCACGUGCCUGCUCAUGAGAUUCAAACUAUACCGUCGUCCUGGCCUUUCGCUUGCUGGGGGCUCGACAUGAUCGGGCCAUUUAAACCGGCCCCUGGUAACUUCAAGUUCAUCUUCGUAUUAAUCGACAAGUUUUCAAAGUGGAUUGAAUACAUGCCACUGGUCAAGGCAACCUCCGAGAAGGCCGUGGAGUUCCUCAAUCAAGUCAUACACAGAUUCGGGAUCCCAAACAGUAUAAUCACCGACCUGGGUACUCAGUUCACUGGCACCACAUUUUGGGACUUCUGCGAUGACACAGGCAUAGUCAUAAAAUACGUGUCAGUAGCUCACCCAUGGGCAAAUGGCCAAGUUGAACGUGUAAACAGAAUGAUCAUCGACGCCCUAAAGAAAAGGUUGUACACCGAGAAUGACAGAGCACCUGGUCGAUGGAUGAAAGAGUUACCGGCCGUGGUCUGGGGCCUCCGAACACAGGCUAGUCGGAACACCGGGGUGUCACCCUACUUCAUGGUUUACGGCACCGAGGCAGUACUGCCAUCUGACAUAACCUUCGGAUCUCCAAGGAUUGAAAAGUUCGACCAGUCAACAGCCGACAACACCAGGGAACUCGAAAUCAACUGCAUGGAACAAAAGCGUCUAAAUUCGUGCCUUCGAACAACAAAGUAUCUUGCGGCAAUCAGACGAUACCACAACAGGAACGUUAAGGACCGUUCCUUCGUGGUCGGUGAUCUGGUACUCAGGUGGAAAACAAGCCAGGAAGGAAUGCACAAGCUAUCCACUCCCUGGGAUGGACCCUUUGUGGUCGCCGAGGUCACACGACCCACAUCCUACAGAUUGGCAUAUCCAGACGGAACACGCGUGCCUAACUCUUGGCACAUAGACAAACUGCGCCGAUUUUAUCCAUAAGUUCUAGUAACUUUUGCUUGUAAGUUUCUUAUAGUUGGCAAUAAUAAAAGUUUUUUCUUUUUGGCUAUACUUUGUUUACACGCAGAGCUUUCGGCAAAGAGCAACAAUGUCCUCUGAGACGGAAAUGAAUCAAACACAGUGACACGUCACUCAGAUAACUUCACAGCGCUCAAAAUAACAGUCAUGACAAAAGCAAACUUUAUUACAAACUUUACAUACAAAGUUUACAAUAAAUACCCUGACGGGCAGUCACUAGUCUACUCCUACAGACUACUCUACUGGCCUACUGCUCGGGCUGAUCACCCGCUUGGCCUUGCUGCCCGGACGAAGGGGUCGGGGCCACCGGCGCCUGGCUGGUCGAGACCGCAGGCUUCGACCGCCCAUCUCUGGCAAUGGACGCCCCCGAUAACUCCCUGGCUGACCUGUCUGAACCCGGCUGGUCGGGGGGAGUGGCCGUCCCGCAUAGAUUGAUGUCGUCGAUCACCGUCGACGACAAGUCUAGCAGUCCAGCCCUAAGCUCGUCCGCCUCCUGCGGGCCGACUUCUUUGGGGUACCCCUUCUCCAGCCUGGACAAGUCGACCAGGGGGUAGUGGGCGCGCACCAUGCUGAGGAUAUGCACGCCAGCAAACUCCCCGGCGUCCUUCACGAACUGCUGGAGCCAGUCCCACGCCCGUUGUGCCUUUUCCACUGGCGUCAGUCUCGGCGCGCGGGGCUGGCUCUCCGGAAGCUCGGGGCUGAUCAAGUCCAGGACCGGAGAUACUUCUUUCCAGAUCCUACAACAAUUAACCUUCCAGGAGUCCCGAUCCUUGACCAGCUCGUCCAGGUGCUUCUUGGUGUUCGCUUUGAGCACUGAUAAUCAAGCAAGAUGUUAGCUUCAACAUAUCGAAACGGGCGAUAAGCGGCAAACAACGGGAGCGGCGCGUAUUACCAGACAGCUCCCGGUCCCUCCGGUCCAGCUCCUCUCCUGCUCGGCGCCCGGCCUCCAGCGCCCCGGCAAGCUCUUGGCUGAGCUGUUCUUUCUCUUGUCGGAGGCGAGCAACCUCUUCCUCCAAGCCUACAAUAACACAUUCCUGGUGAGCAGAUCUAAUCACACAGCUAUAUGCAGCUGUUCGGAGAAUGCAACUGACCUGUCCUUUGCCGAUACUGAUCGGCUAGGCGCCGAGUAAGCUCGAGACGGCGCUCCUCCUGAGCACUCAUCUCGGCCACCUUCUCACCAACUUCGGACUGCAGCUGGUCCAGCUCCGAGGAUAAGGCCUUAUUCUCGGCCACUAUGCCCUCGAUCUGGUCGAAGCACCGUUUUUGGUACUUCGCCGUUUUCAUCGCGCCCUGCAAGGAAACACAUAUGUUGAGCACAGGAGCGCUACAUAUAACUGCUGAACAAUGAACAGACCACCUACCUUGACUUCAUCCACGAGAGGCUUGGCCGCGCGCUCUACCCUGUCGGCCUCCUCCGUCUCCGCGAGCUCUUCGUGCCCGAUGAAGUGGUCCCCGCGUUGGCACCACACGUACACAUGCUGGCGGCCAUCACGGGGGCGACCUUCUAUCUCCUCCACCUCGUCGUCGGAGGCCGCCUAGGUUUCCUCGUUUGCCGCACCGCCACCAGUCGUGGUCGUAGGCAUCACCGGCCCCUGGACCAGGCCCGGGGAGCCUGCGGACGAAGAGGCCCCCGCCUGCGGUGGCGUUGGGACUCCCCUCUCUUCCGCAGGGGGAGGGGUCGAGGCUCUGUCUUCCCCUUCCGCGACGCUACUCGGAGGAGCGGUCCUUGCUGCUUCCCCAUCCCUCAGCAGAGUGCUCGCCGCGACACUCGCCGGGGCAGACUCUCUCUCGGCGCCUGUAGCAGCAGCCGUUGCCGCAGGCUGAUCUGUGGUCUGCGGCGUGGCGUCCUCAGCAGCACAAGCAGGCUCGGCCACCCUCUGGUCGGCGGCGUGGUCGGGGUUGACGUCCGACGCCGCGCUAAAGAACAAAGCAGCAUUUUCAAAAAAAACAAAAACAAUCGCCAAAGUACGUAAGUUGAACACUCACAGGUCUGAUCGACGAUGGGCCGCGGUGAACCUCCUCCUAGCCCUGCCGGUCGGCACCUGCGCCCCCAUUUCCAUAACAUGCGGUGCAGGAGGGGCGCUGGCCACCCGAUCAGUAGUGGUCGGUGCACUAUCCGGGCGGCUACGAGGCCUUCGGACCAGAGACGGUGCGGCCUCCUCCUCCUCCUCGUCGUCGUUGUCGGUGAUCCGGACGAGCCGACGGCGCUUUGACGCUUGGCUGCUCUCUGCCGGCAGCGUCGGCGCAGGCGAAGGAUCUGCUGCUAACAGCCUUUUCCCCGCCACUCUCUCCUCGGUGGUCGGGGCCGGACGGGCUUGCUCCUCUUCACUGCUGGUCUACCGAUCACACCGAGCAGCGUCCUCCACCGGCGGAUCCUCCCCUGCGGGAUUCUCCAUCCCAGGCGCCAGUGACACAAACACUGUGCACCGGUCAACAUCUCCGAUCUGCAAAAGUAACAAAGACAAGUCAGCAGCUGACAAUAAUAACUGCUAAGGAGAAAUAACUGGUAAGAUACCUUAGGUGCUGGUUGCCCCAACUUGAAGGCUUGCACCCGAUCACUGCCACGGACGAAGCCCCCGUCCGCGAAGUUGAACAGCUCGUUCAACAGCUGCUGCACCUCUGCCUUCUCCAAGACCUCAGACCGCAUCCUGGUCGGGUCCAGGCUCCCGGCAUACUCGUAUGCCGAAUGCACCCUCUUCUGGCAGGGCAUCACCCGACGACAUACAAAGUUGCCGACCACGCCCAGCCCGUCCAAGUGCGACCAGUCGAUCAGCUUCAUCAGGUCCGCCACUUGGCCGUCGAACUCUGGGCGGUCGCAGAACGUGGAGCUGCCUGGUUCUUCCCUGAUGUAGAACCACUUCUUGUACCAUUUGGUUAGGGAAGUGUUCCAUGGGCAGUGCAGAUAACGGUUCUUCAUCCCGUCGCGAAGGUUGAGGUAUACUCCACCUGCAACCUUGGAGCCUCCAACCGCUCUCUUUUUUCUUAAACAAAAAAGAUAGCGAAAGAGAUCAAAGUGCGGCUCUAUGCCAACAUAGGCCUCGCACAGAUGGAUAAAAGUGGAAAUGAGAAGAAUUGAGUUCGGGUGCAGAUUGCAAAUCCCGAUCUCAUAAUACAAAAGAAGACCUUGAAGAAAAGGAUGAACAGGCACCCCAAAACCCCUCUUAAGGAAAUCCUCGAACACUAUGAUCUCACCAGCGCGGGGGUCGGGGUAGCUUUCCCCCUCAGGCGCUCUCCAGCCGCCGAGCUCCGGGCUGUGCAGCAGUCCCAUAUCGACGAGGUCACCGAGGGACUUUGCGGUGCUGCGGGAUUUCUUCCAUUCCUUGGCCAUCAGCUCGGCCCUCUUCGCCAUUGGAGAUACGGGAGUGAUUUCAAGCUAGGAGGGUGGUUCCUGACGUCGGUGGUUCAAGCUAGGAGGGUGCAGGUGGUUGAAGAAGGCGAGAGCGGAAAGCUUGAAGGCAAUGGCAGGGUAAGCAAUGCGGGGUUAAUGUUAGGAUUUUAUAAAUCGCAACUCCACCCCUCCCACUUCCCGCAUUCUGGGGAAGUGGGCGGGCCAUACGGCGGACACGGCACUUCGGUUUUCAAUGAUUAUCGACAAUUAAUGCGGCGGAGUUUUCGUACAAAUUGAUGGUUUCCUUUUCUCAAACCGCGCAAAGGGCGGCUGUACAGUUGCCAGGCGCAACUUUUCAUGCCGCCAUCUGACAUCCCGUCAGGAGGUCUCGUCACGUCAACCUUUAUGUGGUAAAAUUUUUCAAGACAAGCAGACAGAACAUGGUAGAGUGUCAACAAUCCAAGGGCUGAACCGACCACCGAGCACUUGAUGCUCGGGGACUGGUCGUCCAGUCUAUCAACUCGGAACUUCAAGGAACGCACCGACCACCGAGCACUUGAUGCUCGGGGACUGGUCGUUAAAUUUUUUGGGACUGCACCGACCACCGAGCGCUUGAUGCUCGGGGACUGGUCGCCUAGUCUAUUAGUUUGGGAAUCAGCGGGCUGUAUCGAUCUCCGAGCAUUGUACGCUCGGGGACUGGUCGACCAGCUCACCAAUUUGAGAAUUCGGGGACUGUACCGACCACCGAGCGUUCUAAGCUCGGGGACUGGUCGAUUUUUCUAUUCAAUUGCAGAUGAGCAUGAUAUGCUCGGGGACUGGUAAAUUCAAUUUUUUAGACCUUGCUACAAGGCUCAUACUUCGUCUUCCAGCAAGCUCGGGGACUACAUCGGUACGAUGCAUCUGGCGAUGCAUCUCAGUUUCAGAAUUUCUUUGAGGACUUUUCUUUUGACCCUGGCACCACGUGCCUACGUCACCUACUACCAGGCUCGGGGACUAAGUGGGCACACUUCACCUUGCGGUGAAUAUGCUUGCUUUUUGAAAGACUAUACUUUUCAGAAAAGUAAAGUGGGCACACUUCACCAGGAAAGAAAUCUUUUUUGAUUAAGAGCACCAUGCAUUCUUUGAACAACCUGCUUCUUCGAUGUCAUUGUUGAUCAACUGUCUUUUGAGUCGGUCAAAAUACCGUAGCAACUGUUUGGACGAAUUUCCUGCUUAUUGAAGACGUUAAGCCUCACUGAUCGAAGAAGCUCAAGACGGCGUGUUACAUCACAAUACAUGGUGCUUGGGGACUAGCUGUGGGGGUAUAAACCCCUAUACCCUCAUAGUCCUAUAUGGGCCGCACCGUUAGAGGUGGCUCGGCCCACAGGAUGAAGACGUGCGGCGCACGACUGGUCGGCGUGCACCGCAAGACUACAAGAUAUUGUACCAAAUAGGAUAGUUUACUUGUAACUCUGUCCCUUCACGAUAUAUAAGGAGGGGCAGGGGUCCCCUAGAGGACAAGUCAGACAUCAUUAUUCUCUCAACACAAAUCAAUACAAUCAGACGCAGGACGUAGGUAUUACGCCAACUUGGCGGCCGAACCUGGAUAAAAAGCUUGCCUGUGUCUUGCGUCACCAUCGAGUUCGUAGUUUGUGCACCGUCUACCGAUAAACUACUACCGUGGGUAUACCCCAAGGUAGACUGCCGACCAGCUUUUGUCGACACAGCCAUACUUGCUAUAACAUCUUUUACAUAUAUUCACAUUGAGUUGAUCGAGCUGUGUAGACCCUUAGGAGCUUUUCAUGUGGUUAAAUUAAGAUAUUCACUUGCACACAUCUACUACACCCUCCACCACCAUCCAUUAAAAUUGCUAAAAAUUAUCACUCACUGUCCCAAGUGUUGUUAUUCUCUCUCUCUAAAAAGAUCCAAUAGAGAAGAGGCAUGGGUUAUACAAAAAUAUGCGAGGAAAUAAAAAGGGGCAAGUGCCUGGAACCUCAGAUAAGAAAGAAAGAAAAAGAGUGAGACGAGAGGUAAAAAUGGACAAGUGUCCGGAGUAGAAUUAGGGGUACAAAGAUGCCCACUUGAGCGGAAAAAAUGGACAAGUGUCCGACAGUAGAAUUAGGGGUAUCUACUACCCACCUAAAAAAAGAGAGAGAUAGCCUAUGUUCUCCCAAAGCAAAGAUCAAAGAAGAGGAGAGGUAGUAAUAUGAGGAGUAAUGAGAAGUAAGUUUUAUUAUCACUUAUACAUUCUUUUACCAUCACUAUCAUUUACUCCACCACACAUGCACAUCUUGAUUUAAUUAUAUGCUGAGUUCCUUUGGAUCCAUGGCUCGAUUAGACAACAUAUGUAUGAGCUGUUUUUCACACCUAUGAGCUCCACUUAAAUAUCCCAUUAGCUAUAGGUAAGUGACAUUUUUGGUAAGGAUCCACAAAUACCACAUAUAGAGAGACUUGAGAGAAUCAUUGCUUGGAACUCUAAAUUUAUUUUUGAAAACUUAUGAAAAACUCUGGAACAAAGGUGAAGUAUAGACAGGAGGAAUAGUGCUUGACUUAAUUAUUUUGUCUUUCAAUAACUUAAGACUUAAGUGCAGGUACUAAGCUCCAUGACACUUCACUCUAAUCUGGAAGAAUUUUUAUAUAAAAGCAUGUGUGCCUGUCAGGAAAGAAAACAUCAUAGCAACUCCUGAUCCAUCUGAGUUUAGCUGUUUGCUCAGGGACGAGCAAAGGGUAAGCUUGGGGGAGUUUGUUGACGGUCCUUAAGUACUAAAAUUAACCAUCAAAUAAACAUGGAAAAGGAUCAUUAUGCACCAAACAUCUAGAAUUAGGGUUUUAUCUGACAGAAUUCCACGAGCUUUGGUGUUUAUAUAUUUCUACAGGUGGUUAUCAGAAAAUAUGGAGAGAAGGCCCACAUGUCAUGUUUACAAUGAGAUAAUUACGUGCCGCGCAAUUUUCCUCAAUCUAGAAGAGUCCAGAAGCCACGAGAACGAACGGGAGACCGGACGGGCUCGAGGGCAGGGCGCCCGCCCUGGUCUCGGGGCCAAUCCGAACCAAACUCUUAGAUCGUGUUCCACCGACCUAAAGGAUCAAGGAAAAUCGUGCGAUCAAUGUCGGUUUGAUCCAACGGCCCAAAUUCACUUGAAAAGACUAUAUAACCAAGGCCUCUCCACCCCUGGGGAAGAGAAGAGAAGAGGAGAAAUCAUUAUCAGAGGUAGCCAUCAAAGUUAGGGUUUAGAGCUUCUCUCCCACAGAGAAUUAGAAUUAGCUACUCCCUAAUCCUACAAGUUUAGAGGAUUGAUUAGAUAGCAAUUAGAGAAGUAGAGCACUACGCUCUAGAUUCGGAUCUUCGGUAAUAAAGAUUGGUAUUAUUCAUAUCUUUCUCUAAUACUUUGUUCUAAUUACAUUAUGUCUCUAUUUAUUAUGCUCUUAGUUUGCUCUAGUUCUAUAUUUGAUAUAGUUAUGAUUCAUAAUGAGUUUAUGUAUAAGUUUGCAAAGUGCUUAGCUCUUAACUCGAGGGAGUUAAGUGGUAGAUCACAUGUGGGCGAGGUGCUUAGAUGUUAUUUACCUGCAAAUGUAUCUUAUUGGUCGGGUCGUGUGGUAGUUCGCGAUAGUGACAGCUUCAUUGAUUCUUAUAUAGUCCACCCUCCGUCGAUAGGACAGGCAGAAUUUGUAUUGCGGAGUAAGUCUUACGAUGUUCUGAUUUACUUUAGCAAUGUUCCUUAUACAUGAAUGAAGAGUCUUUUAUGCUAUACAUGAUCUUGUAGAUAACUAGAGUAGAUUGUGACUUAGUAGAUAGUAGAUAACUUAGAAUCCAUUCUCUAGCUAAUCCGACGUCACCUACAUAUAUGAGGAGUAGUCUAUUUUCUAAUCGCUGUGUUAUUUACCCAUGAACUUAUAAUUCAUUAUCAUUAUCUUUAUGGUUUACCCCCUGCCAAAGUAAGUGACUGUGUCACGAGUUUCUCAUUAGUAAUCAUGUUCUUGCAAGUUUAUCUCUAGUCUAUACCUUGAUAGAUUUAAUCCUUAUUUUAAUUUCACCCCUUGUUCUCUUAAGCAAAAUUAUAAAUAACGAUACCUGGAAUACUUAUCUUGGUGAAAUGCUACAAUGAGGUGUUUUAUCUGUGCGCUUGCGGAUAGAAUAGAUUAUUUUCUAGAGAGCCUCCAUACUUAUAAAUACCUUUGUACACUCUGGCAUCAUGCUGGGGAUGACAACCUAGUAUUCAAGUGGUGUUAGCUAGUGCCAACAGUUGCCUUUUGAGAUUAUGUGUGAUGCUAGUGAUUAUGUUGUGGGGGCAGUUUUGGGACAAACUAAAAAUAAGAAGCAUCAUGCAAUUGCUUAUGCCAGUAAAACUUUGACAGGAGCUCAACUAUAUUAUGCAACCACUGAAAAAGAGCUUCUCGCUGUUGUCUUUGCCAUUGAUAAAUUUAGAUCUUAUUUAGUUGGAGCUAAAAUAAUUGUUUACACUGAUCAUGCUGCACUAAAAUAUCUGCUCACUAAAAAAGAUGCUAAACCUCGCCAGAUUAGAUGGAUCUUAUUACUUUAAGAAUUUGACUUAGAAAUAAAAGAUAAAAAGGGAAUAGAAAAUUCUGUUCUUGAUCACUUGUCUAGAAUGUAUUUUAGGAAUCCACAGGAAACCCCCAUCAAUGAUUCACUCCGGGACGACAUGCUCUACGGAAUUAACAGGUCUGACCCCUGGUAUGCAGAUAUUGUUAAUUUUAUGGUUUCAGGGUAUGUACCACCAGGAGCAAACAAGAAGAAGAUUAUUCAAGAAAGUCGUUCACAUAUAUGGGAUGAGCCAUACCUCUUCUGAGUAUGCUCUGAUGGCUUACUCAGGAGGUGUGUGACCACUGAGGAAGGAUGGAAGAUCAUCGACAGAUGUCAUUCGUCACCAUAUGGAGGUCAUUAUAGAGCAUUCCGUACACAUUCAAAGAUCUGGCAGUGUGGAUUCUAGUGGCCUACAAUGUAUGAAGACACAAAGCAAUAUAUCAGAAGAUGUGGGCCAUGUCAAAGGCACGGAAACAUAAACACAAGAGAUGCCAUGCCACUCACCAACAUCCUUCAGAUUGAGCUCUUUGAUGUCUGGGGAAUAGAUUUCAUGGGUCCAUUUCCCCCAUCAAAGAAGUGUGAGUUCAUCUUGGUGGCAGUUGACUACGUCUCCAAGUGGGUAGAGGCACUACCUUGCAAGCAUGCCGACAACAUCAGUUCAAAGAGGAUGUUUGAAGAAGUUAUAUUUCCAAGAUUUGGAGUUCCUAGAGUAGUGAUAAGUGAUGGAGGAGCACACUUCAUCAACAAACGCUUCAAGCAAUAUCUAUCAAAACAUGGAAUCCGUCACAACGUCGCUACUCCCUACCAUCCUCAGACAAGUGGCCAUGUAGAGACUUCCAACAAGCAAAUCAAGAAUAUUCUUCAGAAGACAGUCAAUGAAAUGGGAAUGGCAUGGAAGGACAAGUUACCCGGUGCACUCUGGGCAUACCGGACAGCAUACAAGACCCCAAUUGGAAUGUCCCCAUACCAAUUGGUGUACAGGAAGACUUGCCACCUACCUGUUGAACUAGAAUUCAAAGCACACUGGGCCAUAAGGUGGCAUGACAAGAGGAUCAAGAAGAAGGAGUUCGCACCCGAAGAUAAGGUAUUACUUUUUAAUUCCAGGGUGAAGAUUUUCGAGCAUGGAAAACUCUGGAGUAAAUGGAAAGGACCAUUCAAGGUAAUCAAUUCAUCAUCCCACGGAGCUAUCACACUUCAAAAUAAUGAAGGUACGUUAUUCAAGGUAAAUGGUCAACGUCUUAAAUUAUUUUUAGAGCCCAAUAAAGAAUUAGAAGAGAUAGACGUGAUCCAUUUUUACCUUCCCAUGGAGAUUUAGAGCCCAACCUUUUUAAGCUGACGUUUUAGGGCCAUGCAUAUAUUUUUCUAAUUAAGUCUGCAUCUAGAAGCACGCUCGAGGAAGUGGGCCCACAGAGGGGCCAGGCACAGGGCGGGCGCCCUGAUGAAGAGGGCGGGCGCCCAGCCCCUGCCCCCUCUCAGUCCUGAUUUCCUCCGUCGCAAUAAAUACAUUUAUGGUAAACCAAAUAAUACUACAGAUGGAAAGUUUCGCACGCACGGCGGCGGGAGUAGCCCGAGCAAACCCUAGAGGCACUUUUUGACCCCUAUAUAAACAGACCCCUGACGUCAGUUUUCAAACACCAAUCCAUUCAAGCCUUCUCUCCUUCUUCAAUUAGAGCUUGCUUAGUUCCCUGCUGCUCCAAUGGCCGAAGAGUUCCACGAUGAUUGCGAAGUCAUUCCCUACAACCUCAAAAAGAAGCCCAAGGAAGACCCCGACGCCCACGCUCUCGUCCCGGCCAAAACAGAGCGACAGCUAGAAGCCAUGCCAUUACGCCAGCGCAGCUCCGCCCAAUCCUAUCAUGCUCAACCAGUUCUCACCGCACCGCCACAACCCCUAUUUCUCAAGGGACCAUCAGCCAAGAAGGAGGCCACCAUCAAGGUGCCAGCCGGUACAAGGAUCCUUCCACCUAGACCCAAUGAGAGGGUCGUUGGAGUCAAGACCAACCGGAGCGAUGAGAUCAGCAGCAUCCGCUACACUACGGAGGAGGAGAGGCCUUACUUUGAGGGGAUUAGAGCAGCCAAAGUCCGUUUCAUCCCUCCAAAGGCAGCCCCGAAGCACGCUCUCAAUGCUCUCGAGACACCUCCUAAGUGUCGCAAGACUAUAGUAGAUAUUGAUGAGAACGUUUGUAGGCUAGACAAGGUCAUCAUAGACCUCCAGUCCUCAGUGAACUCUAUCACUAGGCAGCUCUCUAACCAGAACACCAUUAUACUAGGUCUUAGGCAUGAUCUUGCUAGUGCCAAUAAGAAGAUCAAGGAGUUAGAGCGCCGCUAAGUUAUCUAGAUUAGAUCUUGAGGCAAUGCAUCUUAGUUAUUUAUCUUUAAAUUUGGUUUAGAUUUACUGUUAGCUUCAGUUCAUUACUAGUCAUUUGUAAUAAUUGCCUCAAGAUUAAUAAAGAGUAUUAUUAUUUGUCUUGUGUGUCUCUACUUUCUUUUUAUACAAGAAAGCAGAAAAUAAGUAUGGGGGAGAUCCCUCGACGUGCCAAAUACACUUCGACUACACCACUCCACGAUUCAGGUACAUACUCUGCACACUUUACUUUACACAUACACAUAUAUCUUGGAUUGUGCAGAAUACUGUCUCCGACAUGAUAAAUUAAAAAGAUUAACAUCUUUCUAAUCAUGAUUAAUCUCACUCUGUGAUAUUUCCUGAAACUUGCAAUUAUCAAAAAAAUCAUUUUAAAACCCUGUGUUACUUAAGUCUUUGUGGAAUGUGAGAUGAUAGAGUAUGAGUAUCUUAUUCUUGAUAUCAUUGCUGCUUGGAGAAUUUAUUUCAAAAUCUUCAAAAAAAUUCUAGCUACCAUCCUCAAUGUUUUAUAUGCAUGAUAAACCUGAAAAUAUAAUAAUAAAAGCUAUCUACUCUGUAUUGAGUUUGUCAAAAUGAGUUAGACCCUUGUUGAGAGAUUUAUCAUGCUCCUAAGAUCAAGAUAUUUAUUCAGAAAGAUUCACUCUUCUGAAGUAUUAUUGCAUUAGAGGCAUGGGCUAUGCAAAAAUAAGGAAUAUUUCGAGGAAAUAAAAAGGAGCAAGUGCUCGACAACCUCGCAGAAAAAAUGGACAAGUGUCCGGUAGUAGAAUUAGGGGUACCUCGGUAUCCACCUAAAAAAAGAAAGAAGAAAAGAAGAAAAUGAUAGCCCAUGGUCCCUCUAAUAAGCAAUAUGCCAGCAAGAGUUGACCAGUUUUUAAUUUCCAAAGUCUUUGAUCUAAGAGUAUGGCAUUCUUCUCCUCGGAUCCCGUUUUGAUCAGGCAAUAAAUGCAAGGUAAGUAUGCUUGAGAAUUUUUGCAAAUUAAAACAGCCUCAGUGAGAUAUAAAAGAUAAUGAGUGACCUGAGAGAACCUAUGAGGAUAAAGGUAUGCUAGAUUUCUUUUCAAAAAUAUACAAAAACUCCAAGUAAUAGGAUUGAGAAGGAAGGACCUCUACUCUUGAACAUAUAUUUCCCUGACAACGGUACACAGUGAAUUUUUACAACACCCUGCAGGUAUGAAGAAAAUGCUUUACAAUGUUUUAACUCCAGAUAUUUUUCUUAACCAUCAUUUUCUCGAGGAUGAGUAAAAGCCUAAGUAUGGGGGUAUUUGUUGACGGUUCUUAAGUAUCAAUUUUAAUUAUCAAAUAAACAAGGGAAAGGACCAAUAUACAAACAACACCUACAAUUAGGGUUUGAUCUGACAGAAUUCCACGAGUUUUGUUGUUUAUUUGUUUCUGCAGGGGGUUAUCAGGAAAAAAGGAAGAAAGGCCCACAUGUCGGGAUUACAUAGAGAUAUUAACGCACCACGCAAUUUUCUACCAUCUAGAAGACUCCAGAAGCCACGGGAACGAACGGGAAGGCGAUCGGGCCCGAGGGCAGGGCGCCCACCCUCCCCCCUAGGGCGCCCGCCCUGGUGUUGUGCCCAAUCAUGUCCAAUCUCACGGAUCACGCUCCACCGACCUAAAGGAUCAAGGAUAACCGUUCAAUCAAUGUCGGUUUGAUCCAACGACCCAUGUUCACCUAAGGGGACUAUAUAAGUAGACCCCCUGGCCCCUGGAGGAGAACAAGUUCAUCAUAGAGUUGAGAGGUGCCCUCGAAGGAUAACAUUUCCUCUAAAUAGACUUAGGGCUUAGCAUCUAAUGUGAGUAGACUAGAUCUACUAGAUUGAGAGAGAUAGAGUGGAGGUGUAGAUCGGAGAAAGCCUGGCCUGUCGGUGUCUACUCCGAGGUUGUACCUGCAGGAUCAAGUUCUCCUAACCCGAAGCUUGCUCCUAGGAUUCUUCAAUAUUUCGACUUCUAAAUACUAGUAAGUUCUUGUUUUAUUGUUCUUUGGUUUAUGAGUUUACUUUAAUCUCUUCGCGUAGAGUUUAGAGUAAUCAUCUCUAGCGUAGACGUGGUGUUUGGGCUAGGAUACUCAUAGAUAUCCCCUGACUAGCUAGACCGUGGUAGUAGGGAGGAACGUGACAUUUCCGAGUUACCUUUGCAGCCCAUAUCACGUUAGUAGGAUCGAUAGGGUUUAUAGGUGUGGGUUGAACAUCCUCUGUGGUGUCUAGAUUCCGUGAGCCUCCCCAAUAGAACAAUAGAUUAUCCUUACCAAGGUUAGAACGAGAUUAAGGUUGUAGUCUUCUCUAUAUAUCGCUCACAUCGAGAAACAUUCUUUGUAGCCUAAAGGUUAGCAGUAAUAGACCGGGUUAGUCAGAUGCACUCUUUCUCCUAGUGAUAAAAAUAUAAAUACGAUACUCUGGAUAACAUCCCGGGUGAAGUGCUCACCAAUAUCCGUGCGCUUGCGGAUCAAUUCCUUAUUGCGUUCCCAAAUAUCAACACUCAGCUUACUGUUCCAAGUGUAUAAUGAAUUUUUCAUAACUUGAAGGAUCAUAGUUUGCAGAGUCUAGGACUAGCACACGUCCUAGACUAGGAUUAAUGAGGAGGCAGAUCCAGUGGUCCCUGAGAGAAUCAAAUUUAUGAUGCAAUGCCCAUUGAAAUUACUAAUACGACGAUGAAUACAAAUUGACACUUACCCAAAUUACUAAUACGACGAUGAAUACAAAUUGACACUUACACAUUCUCGAUCUUGAUACUUGAGCAGUGCCAAGGCUAUGUAGAGGUCGUAUUUACAUUCAUAAUCUAGUCGACUUUUAUCUAUUAUCUUCUUACGCUCAGCGGGAUCCAAACCUUCUAAGGAGUCAUGUUUGUCUCCGAUUCUGAAGUUGUGCUGCUCCUCACAUAUCUUCAUCGGGCUCAGAUACGCAACCCUUUUACUGGUAGACCUAUCUGGAUCCAAACCGUACCGCAUCUCUUGUUGUUCAAAAUUCAUUCUGCAAUGAGCACUUGUAUGUUAGAUGUUGAAAAUUGAUGCAACUAAAGAAUAAAAACACAAGAUAGUACGAGUGACACUUACAAUGCAAACACAGUUACCAGCUGCACGUCUAGUCUCUGGAGGUUCAUCAUUAGCCACAUGUCCUCGAAGGUAACGAUUGCCUUUAUACGCUCACUGUUGAAUUCUUUUGGUGGUAUAAUCACAUUGAUCGUGUCAAUGCCUACAGAAGCUGCUCUCAUAUACCAGUCAUGCAUCCUUUUUAUACCAGCUGGGAUCUUUUUGAGUUUGUCCCAACUAAGUAGUGGUCUGCCUGGCUCAUAUAUUUAGUAGGGACAAAUUUGUAAUCAUCCUUCGUUGGUGGCCUGAUAUUGACAAUACGUGUUUCAAAGCUUUUCGACCCCUCCUUCUCAUGCUUUGCCAAGUCAACAAGUUUUGAAGUGCGGCUCCUUGCAAUUCUGGACAAAAAUAGGGUCGUACCAGCGGCCUUCUUCUUUGGCUCGUACGGGGAAACCAAUUUGGGGACCGAGAAUUUUGUUUUCUUUGGUUGCAGUGGUGUCUUAUCAUCAUUUUUGGUUGCCGGUGGUGUGGAAGAUUGCGGUGUUGAAGCAUGGGGUUUAGGUGAUGGUGGUGAAGCCUGGGGUUUAGGUGAUGGUAGGGGAGUGGGUUUUGAUGGUGGCGGGGAUGGUGGUUGAGGCAUUAUUGGUGAUGGUGGUGGUGGGGAUUGUGGAUGCAAGAUUGGAGAGGUUGGUGGAGUGGGAAGAGAUGUGGGAUGGGACAACUCCUGAGUCUGCGACACUUCUCGGGGUGAUGGUUCUGGUAGCUGAGACAGCAGGACGUUCCGUCGAGGCUAAAGAAUAAAAUUCUUGAUAGCUUGUCCCAGUUUCUCAAUGCCAUUGAGACCGGGAAUGUCUAGCAUGUCGUCCUCAUAUCCUUGGACAACUGUCAACACUUCCACCCUGCAGUAGUCCUUAGGGAUCUCACUACCAUGGAAUUGACGCCCCGGGAUCGCAAGUCCUGUGGCUACUUCCCUUGUACGGUUAUUGUUAAAACCAUACCUUAUGACUAGGGAGCAAGGCACAGGACUAUCAAUCUCAUCAACUGGAUAGAGGACCUUGUCUCUGGUAGAUGCAAUACUGCUUGGGACGACCGGAGCUUGUUCUGUGGUUGUCGGGGUGACAACUAGCUGCAUUUGAGGAGGUUGCUGGCCACUUAAUUGGCUAGACAUUGCGGUCGCCAAUUGCUGCAUCAACUCAGGAGGAGGAUUGGAGAGGAUUUUAGACAUCACCUCUUCGACUUCUUUCUUAGCCUCCUCCUUAAAAUAAUUAGACAUUUCUUCCUUGUAGCGAUCCCGUUUCCUAUACAUUGCUUCUCACUCUGGUCCGAAUCCUUCUUUUCAUCCUUAUUUUGAUGAGAUGCCUCGUACACGACUAUGAUGCUCUGGGUUACUCAGAGCAACAGUAAGGACAUCUUUCUCCCUUUGAGGUUUAAAUUCGCCCGCUUGCUGCUUAGCUGCCACCGCGAGAAUAUUCGUCGCUGCCUCUUCGACCAUUGGGUUAGAAAAUGAUAAGCCAGACUUGGCUUCCUUUGCCGGUACACAAGCAUGAGUCCACCUCGAGCCCCUGCGACCAAGUUGGUCAGGGAGCGCUGGCAGACCCUUAGCCCUCUGCGCUUCAUCCUCUUGCUCCCAUUGGGCAAGCUUGCGCUGGUAACCACCUGUGCCUAGGUGGUGGUGGUACUUGUUCCUUUUUGCGAGCUCGGAUUUAGAUUCGCUCAAAGCUUUGAACUCCUCGGUACUCCUGUGCUCUAGAAACACUACCCACUGACCAGCAGUGAUUUUAUACCUUUUUGUCGGGUCCAACCCUUUCUUUGCCCACUUAGAAUUCAACUCGGACUUGUAAUUCCUAAACAUGUUUCCCCACUGCUUCAAUGUGUACUCCUUUACUAGGUCUUUUGAACCCUAAGGUAAAACAAACCAUGUAAGCAGCUUGUUCCAUAUUCUUUUGAUUUCAUUUUGGUCCACUUUUGCCCACUCUCUGACUGUGAUGUCAAGAUGGUCCCUAACUAAGAAUCCAAGUGCGUUACGCCACUUAGGUAAGGCCUCUGGAGGAGCUACGGGUAGUCCUGUCGGGCUCACAUCCAUAAUUCUAAACGUGACUUUUGGAAACUGAUUCAAUCCUCUAUCACCUCGUUUCCUUUUUCUGUCAUCUGUCUUCUCGGUGGUCUUCUCGGUGGUUGUCUCCGUCGUCGGUUUGGGUGCACCUUCAUGUGGAUAGGAUCUCUUUCAGUUCUGAGAUAACACCUCACGUUCAUGUUAAAAGUUAAAAACAUAAAUCAUUCUUGUACAUAUACUGAAGGACAUAAAAGUUAGAAAGAUUUAAUUAUGGAUGAGUAAUUCAUCACCUCAUCUCCUUCUGGAAUGUAAUCAGGGUCACGUUCUAAUUCACGACGAGCGUUCCUCUCUAUGCGAGGAUUUGGAAUGUCGCUAGGGGAGGUCUCGUACGAAAGACUUGAUUCACGUUCUUUUGCAUUCUCCGUGUGGUCCGACCCUUGUGCUUGCUUAGUGUUGUGUGACACUUGCACCUUCUCUGUGUGGUCCGAACCUUUUUCCGGUGCUUGGUCGAUGCGGUCAGACCCUGACGCUUGGUUUGGGGUUGGCGAAGUCAUCGUGAUAAUCUAUACAAAUAAUUACUUAGCAUGCAUCAUGCAUUAUAAAUAGUUGCAUUAUAAAGAAAGAAAUAAUAUUACUAAUUGUUUUUAUACACAUAUAUAUAUAAUUGCAUUGUAAAUAAUUGCAUUAUAAAUAAUGGUUAUACAUAGACACUUAAACUAAAAGCAAAUAUUAAUUAUUUAUUAUUUUUACACAUAAAUAAAUAUUUAGGACAAUUAAUAACUAUCUAGGACAAUUAGUAAUUAUUUAGGACAAUUAAUAAUUAAUAAUACAACAUACACAUUUAUUUAAGACAAUUAAUAAUUAUAAGAAAAAUAAAACAUCCUAUACAUUUAUUUAAGACAAUUAAUAAUUAAUAAUUAUUUAGGACAAUUAAUAAUUAAUAAUUAUUUAGGACAUUUAAUAAUUAUUUAGGACAAUUAAUAAUUAUUUAGAACAAUUAAUAAUUAAUAAUACAUCAUACACAUUUAUUUAGGACAACUAAUAAUUAUUUAGGACAAUUAAUAAUUAUAAGAAAAAUAAAACAUCAUAUACAUUUAUUUAAGACAAUUAAUAAUUAAUAAUUAUUUAGGACAAUUAAUAAUUAAUAAUACAUCAUAUACAUUUAUUUAGGACAAUUAAUAAUUAUUUAGGACAAUUAAUAAUUAUAAGAAAAAUAAAACAUCAUAUACAUUUAUUUAAGACAAUUAAUAAUAAAUAAUACAUUAUAUACAUUUAUUUAGGACAAUUAUAUAUCAUAUAAGAAAAAUAAAAAAUAAGAAAAAUAAAACACUAGCCGCUGGUGGGCUGGCCCAGCUGGGCAGGCGGCCCACCGGCCCCUUCCCCUCCCCCUCCCUCUCACCCUCGUCCUCUCCACCGGCCGCAACGCCGCCGCCACCUCGGGUGACCAUCCCGACGCCCCGGUCGCCUCGACUCCCCUCGCCUCCCAACGCCACCUCGACUCUCCCACGCCGGCCGCACUCGCCGCGUGGCCGCCGGCGAGCCACGGCCGCCGCGCGCGCUCUCUGCCUCCACCGCAUCGGCCGCCGCGCGCAGCCGCGUCGCACCCGCACCUGUCACAGUCGGGGAGCUUACCUCGACCCGUGGAAGCGCAGAUGCCGGCGAUGAAAGGAGAAGGGUGGUGCGCCGGUGAGCUCGUCGGAAAUUUGGGCAGCCUGGCGGCGUGAGUUUGAACAGAGACUGGCGCCUUCAGACUUAGAAAAUUUCGGGUCUGCGUGUGGGGUAUAUAUGGCCUUAAUUUCUACAGGCGGUUGGCAUUGACCACCGCCUGUAGAAAUGCUUUCUAUAGGCGGUGGUCCAUGCCAACCGCCUGUAGAAAUAGCUCUAUACACGCGGUGGUCAAUACCACCCGCCUGUACAAAGAAUUUUGUAAUUUUUUUUAUUAUUAUUGUUUUCUAUAUUUUUGGUAACUAUUUUUUAUUGCAUAUUGAUAUUAUAAUAUAAUAAUAUUUUAACAUAAUUAUUUCUAUAUUCUAUAUUUGUAACAUAAUUAUAUUGUUUCACACUUAUAUAUUAUUUUUAUAUUAUUUUAAAUUUCAAAUACAUAUUGCAUAUUGUAUGAAAGGUAGAGCUUGAUGAGCUAUAACUCCUCUGUAUCCAAAACUUUUUCAUUUGAAGAGUUUUAGUGCCUAGUUUGACCUAGUCAAAUUUUAAAUUUUAGAUUUCCACAGCUACACACACGUUUUCGAAACCCGAGACGUCCCCAACUCAAAAAGUCAUGAAUACAAAGUUUGUUCCACUCAUUAAGAUAUACAUUUCAUACAUAGGACAUUUUUGCAUUUGACAAAGCGUUUCAAAAGUGUAGUUCUAAAUCCACAAAUCUCACAUAUAGUUUCAUAAAGUUUGUGUGAGAUUCAAAACUUUGUGACUAGAGUUUACCAAUCCUUUCCCAAAUGUCAAAAUAUCCUAUGUAUGGAAUGUGUAUCUUGAGGAGCUCUAAAAUCCACGUAUUCAAAAGUUUUUCAUUUGAGGUCAUUUAAUGCCUAAUUUGACCUAGUUUGACCAAGUCAAAUCUUGGAUUUUUUCUGAAAAGUCACUUUGACCGGACCCUUGGUAGUCUCGGAUACAAAAGUCAUGAAUACAAAGUUUGUCCAGCUCAUCAAGAUACACAUUGUGUGUAAGGGUCAACUUUUCAUUUGAGAGAGUUUGGACCACUCAAAUUUUGAAAUUUCAAAUUUCCACAGCUACACACACGUUUUCGAAACCCGAGACGUCCCCAACUCGAAAAGUCAUGAAUACAAAGUUUGUUCCACUCAUCAAGAUAUACAUUUCAUACAUAGGACAUUUUUGCAUUUGACAAAGCGUUUCAAAAGUAUAGUUCUAAAUCCAUAAGUCUCACAUAUAGUUCCAUAAAGUUUGUGUGAGAUUCACAUACAUUUCAUACCAGAGUUUACAUGAUGAAACACAGAUACAAUCUAGGCCGCUACUAUUCUUCCUUGUCCAUCAGGGCGCACCCAUGGUAAAGAACUCUGUGGGAUGCUUCGCUCAAUAUUUUUUAUCUUCAUAGGAUGGUCCACAAAGAGGGACAUAUCACUGAACUGGUUAAAAUCCUCAAGAUCCGAUACACCGUCAACUCCAACUGCUUGUUGCUUUCCUAGAAAAACUACAUGAUUCGGUUUGUCGGUACUUUUCUUCUCAUUCUUACAAAGGAUCUGUUCAGCAUAGAAAACCUGUGCAGCACGAUUAGCAAGGAUCCACGGGUUAUCUUUAUAUCCCACCUUACUUAGAUCAAGAACUCUGACCCCAUAAUUAUCCAUUGUGACAUGUUUAUCUUCAACCCAUUGACAUCGAAACACAGGGAUCUAAAAUGUACCAUAGUCUAGUUCCCAUAUAUCCUCGAUAAAGCCAAAGUAUGCAAUAAUAUCACCAGUUUUGUCAUCUACGGCCUCGCAUCGAACACCACUAUUUUGUGUCAUGCUCUUUUGGUCCUUGGACUUGGUAUGAAAUGUGUUGGUGCAAAAGCUGGUCUGCAAACACAAAUGGCUAAUACCCGAUUCAAACGUUAAGGCGUGCCAGCCGAUUUUACCUUACUAUCGGCAAAAGUGGUAACUCGAAUACUUUAGUCCUGACAACAGCGAUGCGCCCGGAUGUCACGGCUAAGAGGUACUCACGCGGAACUUGAGAACGCGCCGAGCUUAAGUCGACGAAUUCCUAAGAACUCGUAAUGAAAAAGAAAAAGGUAUGACGAAGUCGUCGAAAAAGUAGAUGCUGGAAUAUGAGUAAAAACGUGUGUUUGAUUGAUUGAUUGAUUCUACUAUUACAAGGCCCUAGGGUCUAUAUUUAUACCCUGCUCAAAGAGCUACAAUCAGACACGACUAAAACUCGAGUUCCAAAUUACACAGAAUCCGUAUACAAAACGACUCAAACAACUAUGGAAAACAUAAAAUUAUCCUUCCGUGACAAACUCGAACAAUUCCACAGACCGAUCGGCGGCCUCCAGGCUCUCCCUCCAUAUCAUCGGUAUACUCCCAUGUCAUCGGUAGACUUCCUUGUCGCAGCUAUCGGCACAGACAUGUCACCACUUAUGGACUUAAUCACGUUCAUUCACCCUUCCACCGGCAACCAUCUCCAUCGGCAACUCUUCCUGCAGACCAAACACCACCGCCUUAUUCUGCCGAUCUAUACUUUUACCGAUUAUGGACACGUGCCCAAAAACGGUGUCAACACAUGCCCCCCAAUUUCGGAGUAUGGAAUCAUUAAUGCUCCGAAAUUCUCUGCGGUAAUGAUGCCUUUUUCCCACAAUUAAUGCUCCUAACCUGGCAACCAACAACCUUAAUCUGAACAACUCUGACCUUAUCCUUCCGCAGAUCCCUCGAAAUCCUCAACUUCCCUAAACGGACACUUCCAUCUGAGCCGCGUAUCGGCAAUAUUACCGUUACAGGGGAUUUACCGAUGUACUGACCAGGACACCUGUUAUCUUAUCUUUCCAAACGGCUAUCUCCACAUCUCUCUCCCAUCGGCAAUAUGACCGUUACCAGGCACCGCUAAUGGACCGACCAGGAGAUCCCGCACAGUAAAAUAUCUCUAGAUAAUGACCGCUUCCUGUCAAAUCACCUGCACAAUCCCUUGAUUACCGUGCAAACAGUUACCAUAUCUACCUGAGUACCCUCGAAUUUCGCGGAUGCGGCAAAGAGAUAAGUCAGAUUUGCCCUUGCCCGUUUUGUCCUAUAAAUAGUUCCUUCUCGGGUACUCCUUCCCCAUCACAUCAUUCCAGAACCCCAACUUCUUCUUUCCAGCGGCGGCGCUGUCCCAAAGCUUCAAGAUCUCCGACGAGGCUCCUUCUUCACCAACUCCAAAACUCUCAAGCUUCUCCUCCGUGGCAAAAUGGCCGUCAACUUCAUCAUCCCUGAGGUCAGUUCUUCGCACUAUCCUUUGUACUUUUUCUCGCAUCCCUGUUCAUCCACAGUCUUACUGAGCAUUUUCUUUUCCCCUCUUUUUUUCUGUUUUUCCUUUUUACCUCCAAAACCACUAGGAAUCAGCUAACAAAAUUGUCAUCCCCACCGAUCAACCACACCUCCAAUGCCUUGGCCCACUAGGGGAUCCAGAUCCAACCGAUCUUAUAAAUGCAGAAACCAACAGAAUCCCUUUUAGGGCAGAGAAUUUUUCUUUGGAUCUAUGGAAGGAUGCUUUCCGUUCCUGGCCCAGCCCUACCGUGGGAUGGAAGGAUUGGUUCCUGAGGGUCAGCAACUCUAAUGAAGUUCAGUGGGGUGAGAGAAAUCUAGCCCAAUGCAUUAGAUUGUCCAUUGCCGAUAUGCAUAGGAACGAGUCACUGUUGAUAGCUGCAUCAUACUUCUGGUCAGACACGCUCAACGCCUUUGUCUUUGGCCAUGGUCCUGCUUCCCCUACACUUGCCGAUGUAGCUAUGCUUACCGGCCUGGACGUUUCUUCUGCCGAUAGCACCCACUUUUUCGACACCAAACCCAGUGCCAAGGUAGAGACCCGCACCAUUGGCGGCUGGUCGGGGUAUAUCCAAAAAUACCGCAAAACAGGCCCUGUUGACAAAAAAGAACAGACCUGCUUCCUGAACAUGUGGCUGGACAAAUUCGUGUUUUGUGGCCGAUCAGCAGGACCAACUUCUAUUUAUCUAGCAGCAGCAGAAAAUCUGGCCAAUGGUGGCCAAUUUCCCCUCGGCCGAUACCUGCUUGGUGCAGCCUACCACCUUCUCCACCAAGUAACCAGGAAGCUCUUGCUUGGCCAGUCCAUCGGUAAUCUAGGAGGUCCCUGGUGGUUCAUUAACAUGUGGCUCAACCUCCACAUGCACAAGCGUUUGGAGUUCAAUCUUUUUGCACAGCGCUUUCCAAGAGACAUAGCAGAGAACCAUGUGCUAGGUGAAGAAGAAUCGGCAACACGCGCUCCCUUAAACUUUGGUGAAGCUGUCAUAGUUUUGCCCGGUUCAGGGGGUAAUCCAGAUAAGUUCAGCCGAUUCUUUCAAACCUUAUACGAGGGCCUGACCAGAGACGAGCGAGCAUGGUUGGCUUAUGAUGACCCAAACACCGUGUUUCCUCUGGUUUUCAACCCGUUUGACGAAGCUCUUGACAAAGACAACGAAGUAAUGAUGGCAUUGGUGACCCCCAGAGCCAUACCGGUGAACUUCUUUGGCAGUGGGAAAACAUCUCCCCAGACUUAUGAGUUCUAUAAUCCAUCGGCACUAGCUCGCCAACUAGCUUUCGGCCAGCUGCCGAUUGCACUCUGUUAUGCCGAUGUGAUAAAGCCCAGGGAAAUCAUCACCAGUCUUCUCGAAUGGAUUCGAGUGGCCCAACUGCCAUCAAGUGCCGAUACCGAUGUAGACCUAUCAGAGUGGGUCCCAGCCGCCUUUAUCACUCAGGCAUACAAGCAGUGGUGGGCAGAAUGGAAGGAGCAUCUAUUCUGCAAAUCGGCCCUCACAUACCGUGGCAUGAUCGACCCCGAAUACGAAGUUCACAGUGAUGCCGUAAGUACUUUCAAACCGAUGUUUCAAUUCUUUCAAUCUUAUUUCCAUCGGUAACUGACCCUUUGUGUGAUUUUUCAGGUCGAUGUCACUCCUCCGUCGGUCAGCAAGAGUGGCAAGCCGAUUGACUUGUUUGUAUCAGGUCCAGUUUCCUCAAUCGGCCACAAGGCCCCUACUCUGGCUGCUAUCGUGCAUCGGGGUAUACGCCUCAAGAAGGUCACCACCAGGAGAACUCAGACAUCGCCAUCGGUAGCCGCUUCUACCCUAGCGCAGGCUUUUAAGGUAACUGCUAAACCUUCUCACCUAUACCUUCAAUCUUACUUUAACAUCGGCUGUAUUGGUACUGACAAAUUCCUUUUUCUGUAACAGCAAACCAGUGCAUCGGCAAGAACUAAAAGCGAAGGUGCCAAUGCCCCCCAGUCCAGCCAGCAGAAAAGAAAAGGUGCCAAGAGUACCAGGGCACAAACCAAGCGCCAGAAAGUAGCAACUCCUCCUCCUCCUCCGGUAUCUCCAAUCCCGGUAGAGUCUUCCCCUUCUUCUCCAGAAGUCCAGACGCAGCAAGCACCAUCUUCCCUACCAAUGCAAGAAGCACCACAGGUGGAAGAACCUCAACAAGAAGUACCUCAGCCAGAAGACACAUCGGCUGAUGUGCAUGAACCAACUGCCAAUCCAGCAGGUUCUAUUAUAGCAUCAGUAGUCUCUUCCAUCCAGACAAGAACUGCCCCUCCCCAAGGUAACACAUUUUAAUAACAUUACUGCUAAUGAAUUUGUUCCUUUUCAGCCUUAUAACCCUCUCUGUUAACUUUCAGCUGAUGUAGUUCCAUCGGCCAUUCUAGCCGAUCAACCCGUGGCUCCAUCGGCGUCUUCGAGUCAGAGGCAAGAGAUAGCCUUGAAGCAAGUAAGCCAUCCAAUCUCAAUCAAUACUAUUUGCCGAUGCUCUGAUCAUGGAAUAACCCACUUUGUUUUCCUUUUCAGGAACAAGAUUCUCCCGACAGUCUAUUCUCCUUCGCCAUUGAUAUCUCCGAAGAUGAAGGUGAAGAAGCAAGUUCCUCUCGGGCAGUUGGGAUCGCAUCGGCAGAGAUCAGGGCCAAGCUAGAAGAAUUGUCGACCCUCCUUCAUCAAGACACGGCUCAACUGGUCGAUGAUUCUGACCCGGCCAAGGUUCUGUUCAAGGCCCUCAGAGGCCAGAUUCCCGCCGAUGCCGAGGAAACCCUCUUCCAGGCCGCACAUCUGGAGAGUCGUCAGCUGCAGUACCAGAGGGCCGCUCGGCGCCUUGCCGAUAGAGCUGCUCAAACCCGGAUUUCUGAGGAGAUGAUGAAAGAGAAGCUCCUGACCGAUGAGAACCACAAGACCAUCGGCACCUUGAAAUCCUCAGGCGAUGCAUUGAAGCAGAAGAUCUCCGACCUAUCAGCGAAACGAGAAGCCCUGUUGGCAGAACUCAAGCAAGUGGAGGAUGCCCUAUCCCAAGCUCAACAGGAAGAAAAUCAACUGCCGGAAACCAUCAAACACCUCGAGCAAGAGCGAAACACCCAUGGUCGUAAAGCCCUGCAGCUAAAGAAGAAAUUGAAGCCAAUAGAAGGCUCUGCCGAUGAAGAUGUCAAGGAGAUAGAAGCAGCCGACCAGAUCCGCCUACGCGCUAUAUCGGCUAUCCAAGCGCUGCUAAGUAUGUAAGUUCCUCAUCGGCAACACACUUGCCUCUGCCUGCUCUUCAGCUGUCUUGAUGUUCAGUCUAGCCGAUAGGACUGUUAUCGGCAUCUUUUGAAACAUUAAGUUCUGCCCCAAACAUUUUAAUCCAGCCGAUAGGAGUGUUAUCCGCAUUUAAACUUCAUGCAUCGACCCAUAUGCUGGGGUAGUACUUCUUUAAAUACUUGCCAUUUAAUGCUCUGGGAAAUUCAACUCCUUUGAGAGUCUCUAGAAUGUAGGCAUUACCAGGAGCCGAUCGAUUUAUCAGAUAGGGAUCUUCCCAAUUGGGAGACCAUUUGCCAAACUUUGAAUUUUUGUUCCGAUCGGUAGGAUUAACUUCCAUACCAAGUCCCCAUUGGCAAAUUCCUUAGCCUUUACCUUCUUAUCAUACCAUCUGGCAACUCUUUUCUUAUUCUCUUCUAUACUCAUCAAAGCCCUCAGCCGAUGCCUUGCCAGAUCAUCCAACUCGUCUGUCAUCAAAGUAGCAUAAUCAUCGGCAGCCAAUUGAUCUUGAAAAGAUAGUCGCCUAGAUCCAGCCUUAACUUCCCAAGGCAAUACCGCAUCAUGUCCAUACACCAACUGAUAGGGUGAAACCUUGGUUGAUCCAUGACAAGCCAUCCGAUAGGACCAUAAGGCUUCGUUUAACAAUGUGUGCCACCUUCUAGGAUUUUCUUCAAUCUUCCGUUUAAUAAGCUUAAUAAUUCCUUUGUUAGACGCCUCGGCCUGCCCAUUAGCUUGAGCAUAGUAAGGAGAAGAAUUCAAUACUUUAAUCCCCAUGCCGAUCGCAAAUUCCUCGAACUCCCCUGAUGUAAACAUAGUGCCCUGAUCGGUAGUGAUCGUCUGAGGGAUUCCGAAUCGGUAAAUGAUAUUCUCCUUCACAAAAUCAAUCAUAUUGGCCGAUGUGACUUUCUUCAAAGGAAUAACUUCAACCCAUUUAGUGAAAUAAUCGGUGGCAACUAGAAUAAACUUAUGCCCUUUGCUAGAUGGUGGAUAAACUUGGCCGAUCAAAUCAAUAGCCCACCCCCGGAACGGCCAAGGUUUGAUAAUAGGAUUCAUAGCCGAUGCGGGUGCUCUUUGAAUAUUGCCAAACUUUUGACAUCCUUGACAUCCUUUGAAAUACUUGAAGCAAUCUUCAAGUAUGGUCGGCCAGUAAUAUCCAUUCCUUCUAAUCAUCCACUUCAUUUUGAAAGCCGACUGAUGCGCUCCACAUACCCCCUCAUGGAUUUCUCCCAUUAAACUUCUAGCUUCAUCAUCAUCCAAGCAUCGGAGCAGAAUCCCAUCAAUAGUUUGGUAGUACAAUUCAUCUUCAAGGAGCACAUACUUGGUGGCUUGGAACCGAACUGGCCUUUCAACUUUCUUGGAUGGAUCUUUCAAAUAAUCAACGAUUUCUUUUCUCCAAUCAUCGGCACCAAUUGCCGAUAUUGCAUCAAUCAUAGGCUGAUAUCCCGAGGCAUGUUGAGCCAACCGAUUGGCUUCUUCAUUAUGCAAUCGAGGAACAUACUCCAAUCAGAAAUCUUUGAAUUCCAUGAAUAAUUGCAUGCUUCGCUCGUAAUAAGUUAUGAGAACUUCACUUCGGCAUUCAUAGCUUCCGGUUAAUUGAUUUAUAACCAGCAUAGAAUCUCCGAAGACUUCGACAGCAUCAGCAUGAACCUCCCUCAAUAACUCCAAUCCCUUUAUCAAAGCUUGAUACUCAGCCUGAUUAUUUGUCGACGUGGCAACAAUCGGCAAGGAAAAUUCAUACUUCCUUCCCCGAGGGGAAACUAACACUAUGUCGAUUCCUGCCCCCCGGUCACAUGUAGACCCAUCAAAGAAAAGCGUCCAAGGCACAAUUUCCAAAGUCUCCACUGUACCGCAAUGCUGGGUUACAAAAUCGGCUAUAAUCUGUCCCUUAACUGCCUUAACCGAUUCAUAACGCAGAUCGAACUCCGACAGCGCCAAAAUCCACUUACCGAUCCUGCCACUCAUAAUCGGCAUGGACAGCAUGUACCGGACCACAUCAUCCUUGCAAAUAACAGUGCAUUUGGCCGACAGCAAGUAAUGCCUCAACUUGAUACAAGAGAAAUAUAAGCACAAGCACAAUUUCUCAAUAGCCGAAUACCUGGUCUCAGCAUCAAUCAACCUCCUGCUUAAAUAAUAAAUUACACGCUCUUUUCCUUCAAACUCCUGAAUUAAAGCCGAACCGAUGACCAUCCCAUCGGUAGACAAAUACAAUCAGAAGGGCUUUCCUUGCUGAGGUGGAAUCAAAACCGGAGGAUUCAUUAAAUACUUCUUGAUUUCAUCCAAAGCCAACUGUUGUUCCUCCCCCCAAACAAACUCUUGAUCGGCCUUUAACUUAAGAAGAGGGCUGAAAGCACGAAUUUUACCAGACAAGUUAGAAAUGAACCUUCUAAUAAAAUUUACCUUGCCGAUCAAGGAUUGGAGCUCAGUUUUGUUGGUAGGGGCUACUAUCUUAUUGAUGGCAUCAAUAAAUCUUCGACUGAUUUCAAUUCCCCUCUGGUGCACCAUGAAACCAAGAAAUUGCCCUGCCGACACACCAAAUGCACACUUAUUGGGAUUCAUCUUCAAUCCAUGCUUCCUUGUGCACUCCAACACCUUUCGCAGAUCGGCAAGAUGCUUUGCGAAGUCCCCAGACUUGACUACCACAUCAUCAAUAUAAAUUUCCACUAUCUUGCCGAUAAACUCGUGAAAUAUAAAAUUCAUGGCCCUUUGAUAAGUAGCACCAGCAUUCUUUAAGCCAAAGGUCAUGACUAUCCAUUCAAACAAUCCAACAUGCCCAGGGCACCUGAACGCAGUCUUUGGAAUAUCUUCCUCAGCCAUGAAUAUUUGGUUAUACCCUGCAUUGCCAUCCAUAAAGCUGAUUAUCCGAUGUCCUGCCGCAGCAUCAACCAACAGAUCAGCAACUGGCAUCGGAUAUCCAUCCAUCGGCGUGGCCUUGUUGAGAUUCCUGAAAUCAAUGCAGACCCGAAGCUUCCCAUUCUUCUUGUAGACCGGAACGACAUUGGAAAUCCAUUCGGCAUAUCGACACUGCCGAAUAAACUUAGCUUCAAUAAGUUUGGUGAUUUCGGCCUUAAUAUCAGGGAGAAUAUUAGGAUUACAUCGGCGAGUUGGCUGCUGAUGUGGCCGAAAUCCAGACUUGAUAGGCAACCGAUGUUCAACAAUUGAUCGGUCCAAACCAGGCAUCUCAGUAUAGUCCCAAGCAAAGCAAUCUUUAUAUCCCUUUAACAAAUCAGUUAACUGUUGCUUACACUCAGAAUCUAACUUAGCACUAAUAAAAGUGGGUCUAGGUUUAUCACCACUACCUAUGUCUACCUCUACUAGAUCAUCGUCGAUGUGAAUCCCUGGCCUAAUUUUCCAUCAUCGGCGAACCUAUCCAUUAAAAACCUUCGUCAGAACCGACUGCUUGGAUCGGUGGAAUCUCGUAAUCGGCAACCUUGAGAAAAUCCUUCUCCCAAACUUCUCCUGAAAUACACCUAGUCCUUUCAUAGGUGUCCGCCUCUGCCGACGCAAUAACAUAAGAAGAAUCUCCCAGGACAAUCUCAAUUUUAUCUCCUACCCACUGAACCAAGCACUGGUGCAUUGUAGAUGGGAUGCAACAAUUAGCGUGAAUCCAAUCUCUUCCCAAUAGCAAGUUGUAAGCACCCUUUCCACUGAUCACAAAGAAGGUUGUCGGCAAGGUUUUGCUGCCGAUGGUCAACUCUACACAUAUUGCCCCCUUGACUGGAGACACAUUCCCUUCAAAGUCUUUAAGCAUCAUAUCGGUCUUGGUGAAAUCAUGAUCCCCUUUCCCAAGCUUCCGAUACACUGCAUAUGGCAUGAUAUUAAUAGCAGCUCCACCAUCAACCAGAAUCUUGGUCAUCGGCUGACCAUCUACUUUUCCUUUAACAAACAGGGCCUUGAGAUGCUGCCUUUCAUCAUCGGCAGGCUUCUCGAAGAUAGCCGUCAUCGGAUCCAGAGCCAACUGAGCUAUUUGGUCGGAAAACUCCCCCUCAUCAUCGCUAGACGGCGCAAGGAACUCCAUCGGCAACAUAAAUACCAUGUUGACAUCUGCCGAUGGACCUUCCCCCUUAGGACCUGAUUGUUGUUGAUCCCCAGACUGUCCGGAGUUCUCCCCUUUGCUCAACCCUUCUCGCCUUUCACGCUGCAAUCUUCUCUUCUGAGUCCUGGUCAAACCCUCUAGACACCAUGGAGGAAGUUGCUGCUGUCUUGCUGCUGGGCGACGAUACUCCCUUGACUCCACCCGAUGCGUAUUGGCAUCCCUGCAAAAUAUGAAUUCGUUGGGAACUCGUGCAUUAGCCAUCUCCUCAAGUUCUUCCUGGUUCAUGGGAAAAUAUUGGACACGAUCACCAAGCCUGUCGUGCACACUGAGUCUGCCCCCCAGCCGAUCAUGGACGGAUGCUCUCCCUCUAAUCGGCCCAUCGAAGCGUCGAUCAUUAUCACGAUAGCUCCGAUCGGAUCUGUCGUACCGAUCAUAACCGUUGCACUCAGGGCAAUCUCUGACAGUAGGAAGCUUGAUAUUCUCCUCCCAGCAAUGGAUGAAGAACGGACAAUUCCAGUGAUCCUUAUGCCGAUUCCACUCCUGUCGCCGUCUUUCUUCUUCCCGACGAUAAUCUUCUUGCUGGCGCUGGUACCGAUCUUCUCAUUGCUGCCAAGUUUCCUGAGGCCUUCUGUGAGUUAUUACAAUCCCAGAUCGAGGAGGCCUUUCUGAGCUGGUUCCUUCCUGGACCAAGCCCCUUCCUCUCGCAUCGGCAGUAGUGACUUGAUGCUGAGGAUCCACCGAUGCACUUCUUUCGGCUGCUUCUGAUGUUAAGACCUUGGCCUUUCCCUUAGCAUCCACCAUGUUUGUUGGGAAAUGAUGUUGGUCAAUCUUCAUCGGCUUCUGGGUCUUGGAACUAUCAAAUUUGAUCCUCCCAGAUUCUAUAGCCGAUUGCAGCUGCUGUCUGAACACCUUGCACUCGUUAGUGUCAUGAAAAGUUGCAUUGUGCCACUUGCAAUAUUUCAUCCUUUUCAAUUCUUCAACCGAUGGGAUCACGUGAUUAGGUGACAGUUUGAUCUGGCCUUCCUGGAGCAGAAAGUCAAAUAUCCUAUCGGCUUUAGCAGUGUCAAACGCAAAUUUCUCUGGUUCUUUAUGUCCAAAAGGACAAGACAUCGGCUUCUUGUUUUUCACCCACUCUGCCAAGCCGAUGACUGGUUCCUCGUCAGAAUCCGAGCUUGCUGCUUCAUCAACGAACGACACCUUUUUGUUCCAUGCUCUCUUAGGUUCAAAAGGCUUGAUAUCUUGAUCACAAAUUCUCUGCACCAAAUGACUUAAGCUUUCAAACUCCUGAGAAGCAUACUUAUCUUUGAUGUGUGGCAACAAACCCUGGAAAGCCAAAUCAGCUAGCUGCCGAUCGUCCAGAACCAGACUAUAGCACUUGUUCUUGACCUCUCGUAUCCUCUGCACAAAACUUUCAACCGAUUCAUCAUUGCGCUGCCUCAAUUUGACCAAAUCGGUGAUCUUCUUCUCAUGGACCCUAGAAAAGAAGUACUUGUGGAAUUGCUUCUCCAGAUCGGCCCAAGUAAUCACCGAGUUGGGAGGCAGUGAUAUAAACCAGGUAAAAGCCGAUCCAGACAAUGAUGACGAGAAUAGGCGAACCCUUAACUCGUCCCUGUUACCAGCUUCCCCGUAUUGGAUGAUGUACCUGUUGACGUGCUCCAUGGUCGACGUGUCAUCCUGCCCAGAAAACUUAGUAAAAUCCGGUACCUUGUACCGAUGCGGAAGCGGAAUCAAAUCAUAUGUGGGAGGAUACGGUGUCCGAUAAGAAUAAGUAUUGACUUUGGGCUUUAUCCCGAAUUGGUCUCUCAUUACUUCAGCAAUCUUAUCGGCCCAAUAAGCAUCGGCAUCUUGCCGAUGGGGUUGUUGCGGAUCAGGCACCUGCUGAUAAGCUUCCACGUGUCGGUGUGGCGCACGAUCUGCAUGAAACAUUGGGUUAAUCAUCUAGCCUCCAAUCUGUGGACCGCCAAGCUGCUGCCCACCAAUCUGCUGUCUGCCGACCUGUUGCCCAAGGUUCAUUGGGUGGUUAGGCAUCCCCUGAUUGUGGAACCCCGGAUAGAUCUGUCCUUGGUGGAACCCUGUAGCCUGAUGAUUCGGUUAGGGCGUUUGCGGAAAGACUUGCUGCCCAAGCCAUCCACUAUUAGCGUUCAUCGGCAUAGGCCCUGCCGAUGACUGGUAAUUGGGCAUUAUCAUUGAACUGACAUACCCUGGCUGGAUCAUAGACCUCUGUUGCAUCAGCAUUGAGUCUGCCGAUGCGUUAGGCAUCUGGAACGUUGGAGCUUGAGAAUUCCCAGUAUGCGGUCUUGCAGUAGUAGUUGUGGUAUACUGGGGACUCUGAUUCAUCGGCAUACUUGGAGGUGCCGAUGUCAUAGGAGUCUUGCCUCUCAUGUCAGUUGUCUGUGACGUACCCGGCGUUAACUCCGGAGGCAUACCAUAACCCCACCAGUUAGGAGGAAGAGUCAAUCCUGACACUGCCGAUGCCAACAUAUCUGUAGCGAGUUUGAUCUGCCCAUCUGAAGUCUGUGGAUUGGUUGUCAUCGGCGUAGAUUGUGCAUUAGUGACUCCCAACGUGCUUGGCGGAACAGGGAUCUCCAUGCCCGCAGCGGCCGUAGCGGCCAAUGGAGCUGUGACCACUGGUGACUUCGGUUGGUGAUAAGUGGGACCCACAUAAUCUGGUGGCAGCUGUCCUUCCUUGAAAGUUCUUGCCACGGCAUUGAAGACCGUAUUGGACAGUACACCAGCUUGGUUGAUCAAAGCACGGUUUAUAGCGUUGUCAACCAUCUCUUGAAGCUUGCCAGGAUUGGCUUCAAAAGUAACCUGCCGCGGAGCCGGCAGUGCAUCCUUCUGGAUCACCUCGCCACUCCUGUUCAUGCUGAAGGACCUCAGGCAUUGCUGCUUGUAAUCCUCCAUGGCUUUAGCAAUAGCUUGCUUCUGCUCAUCCUUGAGAUUGGCUUCCGUCACGGGGAUGACGUUCUCUUAAUCAAACUCAGAAGUCAACAUGUUGAUCUUGAUCUUGAAUCUGUCCCACCAGGCGUGCCAAAAGAUGUGUUGGUGCAAAAGAUGGUCUGCAAACACAAAGGGCUAAUACCCGAUUCAAACGUUAAGGCGUGCCAGCCGAUUUGACCUUACUAUCGGCAAAGGUGGUAACUCGAAUACUUUAGUCCUGACAACAGCGAUGCACCUGGAUGUCACGGCUAAGAGGUACUCACGCGGAACUUGAGAACGCACCGAGCUUAAGUCGACGAAUUCCUAAGAACUCGUAAUGAAAAAGAAAAAUGUAUGACGAAGUCGUCGAAAAAGUAGAUGCUGGAAUAUGAGUAAAAACGUGUGUUUGAUUGAUUGAUUGAUUGAUUCUAUUAUUACAAGGCCCUAGGGUCUAUAUUUAUACCCUGCUCAAAGAGCUACAAUCAGACACGACUAAAACUCGAGUUCCAAAUUACACAGAAUCCGUAUACAAAAUGACUCAAACAACUAUGGAAAACAUAAAAUUAUCCUUCCGUGACGAACUCGAACAAUUCCACAAACCGUUCGGCGGCCUCCAGGCUCUCCCUCCAUAUCAUCGGUAUACUCCCUUGUCAUCGGCAGACUUCCUUGUCACAGCUAUCGGCACAGACAUGUCACCACUUAUGGACUUAAUCACGUUCAUUCACCCUUCCAUCGGCAACCAUCUCCAUCGGCAACUCUUCCUGCAGACCAAACACCACCGCCUUAUUCUGCCGAUCUAUACUUUUACCGAUUAUGGACAUGUGCCCAAAAAUGGUGUCAACAAAAUGUGAAUCCACUUAUGUCAUAGGUUUUCCAUGUUAUGACUUGGCGUGAUGGUCCAGAUGCCAAAGCCUUGAUGGUUUGUUUCUCAAUUGUUUCCCCAUAUGGAAUGUCCUGCUCCCUUAGCCAUGUGUACAACUGUUUCUUGUGUUCCUUCAUUACCCAAUCCUCUAUUUGCCUAGGAUUAUGUUCUUGAAGCUCAUUCAUGUGUUGUUCAAUCAAAUGCUCCAUUAUCGAGAGCUGAUGUAAGAUGCUGUGAUGUGCCUUAAGUACUGUAUUGUAAUCUGGUGGGAUGAAUAAUUUCCGUCCAAUCCUCCCACAUCCAUGUAGCCUAGCCUCAUGUCUUGACGGAGGCAAACCUAUUGCAACCUGGUCUUUUAGGACAUUAUUGCAGAAUGGUCCUCCGGACUCAAUCGCCUCUUCGGUACAAUACCCCUCUAUCAUGGACGCCUCGGGACAAGCACGAGUUGAUACAUAGCCAUUUAGUAUUGACAUAAAACACUCGUACGUCCACAUUUCAUGCAGGUAUAUGGGACCCAGUGCCUGUAUUUGUGGAACCAAGUGCACCACAAGGUGCACCAUGAUAUCAAAGAAUGAUGGGGGGAAACACAUCUCAAACUGUGACACUGUUUCCACUGUGAAUUCCUGAAGGGAUUCUAACUCAUCACGGUCAAUUACCUUUUGUGUGAUCUUGUUGAAAAAGUAGCACAAUCUUGUGACGGCCAUCUUUAAGAAUACUAGAUUUAUAGCCCUUAUUGCAAUAGGGAGGAAAGUAGUCAGCAUGACAUGACAAUCAUGUGAGUUGUAGUUGGUGAGUGCUAGGUCUUUCAUUGACACAAAACUCCAUAUGCUAGAGCAGAAUCCAGAUGGGACUUUCAAUUUCUUCAACCACUCACACAGCACAUGUUUCUCAUCUAUGUUGAGGUUGUAGCUUGCUGUUGGGAGAUGGUACUUCCCAUUUUCUUGAAGAACAGGAUGAAGCUCUUUUUUUAUGCCUAACUGCACCAUGUCAAAGCAUGAAUUGAGUCCUUCCUUUGUCUUGGUCUUGAUGUCUAGCAAUGUGCCAAUUAGACUUUCAAACACAUUCUUCUGGAUGUGCAUACCAUCGAUCACGUGUUGUACAUCCAAGUCUUUCCAGUAUGGCAAAUACUCGAAGAAAAUGGACUUCUUCUUGAAUGUUGCCCCUGGAGUUGAUUUGACAUCCUUUCUUAAUUUUCAAUCCUUUGUCUUCUUUCCAAACACAAAUUCAAUGUUGCUCACUAUUUUGAAAACACUAUGGCCUUUGCUAUUACCUAAUGGUGCAUCUGAGUUCCUUUCAUCAUUAUAGUCAAAGUACAUAUCCAUCUUUUUCAGGCGGUACUUGUGUCCUUUCGAUAAGAAGCGUUUGUGCCUCAUGUACACUAUCUUCUUAGAUGCAUUAAGGGACACGUAAUGGGUUCCAUCUAUGCACACCAUGCAACCAACCUUUCCCUUGAAUUGCCCUGAUAAAAUAAAGAGAGCAGGGUAAUCGUUGAUAGUAACAAAAAUAAUGCUCUUAGCGUGAAUGAAUCUUUGUGAUACUCAUCCAACAUUUGAACACCUUUUUCCAAUAACAUUUUCAUCUCCUCCAUCAAUGGCUCCAAGAAAACAUCCAUGUCAACUCCAGGUUGGACUGGUCUAGAGAUAAGUAAGGUUAGUAAAAGGUAUUUUCGCUUCUGCAUCAACCAUGGAGGGAGGUUGUAGAUGGUGAGAAUCACCGGCCAUGUGCUAUGCUUGCUGCUCCUCUCAGCAAAAGGAUUCAUUCCAUCUGUACACAGUGCGAACCUAACAUUCCUUGGUUCGCUGGCAAAGUCUCGGUGGUUGUCGUUGAAAUCUUGCCACUGCUUUCCAUCGGCUGGAUGGCGAAGCUUGCCAUCAUUUUUGUGCUCAUCAGAAGCAUGCCAACUCAUAAAUUUUGCAUCCUCAGGGUUAGCAAACAAACUCCUCAGUCGAUCUACCACUAGAAGGUACCAUAUCACUAAAGCAGGAAUCUUUUUCUGCGCAUAAUAGUCAACCUCUUCUUUAUCUUUGCUCAUGGGUUUUGAACUCUGUUGGGUGUUCUUUUAGGACUUCUUUCGCUUCUUCCCUGCUUUACACAUGGAGGCAGCACAAUCCUCUCGAUAGUCUUUGUUUGUCUUGUACCGACUUGCACCACACUUUGGACAACUAUCCAAGUCCUUGUAAUCAUCACCUCGGUACAUGAUACAAUGAUUUCUACACGCAUGGAUCUUCUUGACACCUAUAGUCAGCGGACUGAUCAGCUUCUUUGCAUAGUACGUGUUAGCAGGCACUUUGUUCUCCUUUGGAAGCAUAUUGCCGAUAAUACUUAAGAACGUAUCGAAUCCAGCAUCAGACAAACCAUACCUGGCUUUUGUCAUUAACAGUUUUAGCACAGCUCGCAACGUUGUGUACUCUUUGCUACAACCUUUAGACUCAUCAUACAAAGGCUCUUCUGCUGCCUUCGUCAAGGCCUUCAUCCCUUUCAUUAAUAACAUUGAUGGUUCAGUAUGACGACGCAACAUUGCCUCCAAGAAUUCAGCAUUUUCCGCAGCCGUAUCAUUUGGUAAGACAUGAGUUCUUGCACCAUUAUUUCCCCCAGCAAAUCCACCAGCGGUAACAUUUGGCCCAACAUGUUCACUAUGGGGUGUCUCGUGAAAAAACUGAUCAGCAGGCAUGCCUAGACCAACGGUGUCGAUGUGUGCUGGGUCCCCAACAUGUGUAAGGCGCUGAGCUACCCUCUCCAUGCUUUGUCCAAAUCAAGUAAUCCUUCAUAAAUCCUCGGCAGACUAGAUGAGAAAUGAUUACUUCAGUAUCUUCAAAUAGAAGAAUAUUUCUGCAGUCGUAGCAUGGACAAUAUAUAUACUUCGUCUUUGUUCUCAAAGCAUGGUUCUUAGCAGCAUCAACAAACCUAUGCACCUCAGGUAUAUAUGAUGGAUCUAGUCUUGAUAAGUUAUACAUCCAUAAGGACCUCUCCAUCAUGACCUGUUGAAAAGUUAGUAAAUUAAUUGAAAUAUUGUCUAGGAAUAUUUGUUAUUAAAAAUAAAAGAACACCUAACAAUUAAAUCAAAUUGAAAAAGGAAACAUGGAAAUGGUGAGAGGAGAGGCAACAUCUUAACCAACCUCAUACAUGAAAAAUGCUUAUCGCGUAAUUAAAUCAAAUUUACAUAAAAAAUAACAUCCUAAACAAUAUAAUUUAAAAAACUAAAAAGAAAACUUAUCUUUCUCUCUCUUCCCAAGCAUGGAAACACCAUUCACGGAAACUACUACAUAUAUAUUUCUUGGAUUCACUAAUUAGAGAAGGAAACAUAAAAAAGAAGAGAGGAGAGACAUCAUCUAACCAUCUUAAGCAACCCCAUUUGAGCAAAUAUAGACCAUACCUAGCUAUUCUACUCUCUCCCUCUCAUGGUGAAACCCUAGAUCUAAAAAGUAGCUUAAAUUGAGCAAGAGGGCACAAAAAGAGGCAUUAGAGGCAUCAACUAACCUUUCUUAGCCACCUCCUUCCAAGAAAUGAAGAUCAAAACCUCUCCCUUGUAUUUUGAAAAAUCUGGACCUCCAAGAUGGGCUGCAAUGGAAGGUGGCUGCGAGCUACGGUUCUGCUUGAGGAGGAAGAAGGGGCUGGGGGUAUUUAUAGGAAGAUAAAUCACAGGCGGUUUGCUAUGUGAACCGCCUGUGAAAAUCUAUUAACACAGGCAGUUCAGUUAACAAACCGUCUGUGAUUUAUCUUCAUAUAAAUAUCCCCAGCCUACACAGGCGGUUCAGUUAUGUGAACCGCCUGUGUUAAUAGAUUUUCACUGUAAAUGGUUCAUUUACACAGGCGGUUUUCUUACAAUAACCGCCUCUACUGAGCCUUUUAUACAUGCGGUUUUCAAUUCUAGCCGUAGAAAUUUACAACACAGGCGCAUUAUAAUUAAAACCGCCUGUGCAAAUGUUUUACCCCCGCCGACUUAGAACCUCUGUGUACUAGUGGAGGGAGGUGGUAAAGAACAGGGAGAAGCACAAGGGAAGCUUUGAGACCAUUCAUGUGGAGGAUGCCUUGGGGCUUGGGCCAUGCCUUUGCCACCCGUAUGGGCAAUGUGUUCACAAUUGGCAAGGGCAACAAACCAUGGGUGAGUCUCCCCAAGGGCAAGGGUAUCAAGCUCAGCAUCAUUGAGGAGCAGAGAAAGCGGGAUGCUGCUGCUCAGACUGCUGCGAAUGCUUAAGUAGUUUGCAUAAAGUUUGCUGAAACAUUCAAUGAAAAUAUGCCUUGCAUCCGAGUUUGGGACUGAAAUGUAACCCUUUUAGGCUAGUAGUUAUUAGUAUUUUGAAAUACUGUAGACAUCUAUCUAUCAGGUUAACAUUAUCUCAUGGCAAGUCAUUACAGAAUGUUUUAUUUGGUUCCAUUCUAGAUUUUGUUGUGCUAUCUUAAUUGCGCUGUUC